Molecule: long non-coding RNA, 93502 nt
Filed under: Citrus x clementina
Lineage: Eukaryota; Viridiplantae; Streptophyta; Magnoliopsida; Sapindales; Rutaceae
Description: Citrus clementina (C. clementina) long non-coding RNA (CCLE_LNC004366)
Source: RNAcentral
AUCUUCUUCCUAUUGUGCUUAUUAAUAUAUAAUAAACAAAAAUUUUGAUAUUUCGGAAAAAAACACAACAAAUAUUUUGCAGAUUUCAGUCAUUGGAAUUUAUGUAUUCCUCUAUGGUCAGCUAUACUUGGUUCUUAGUGGACUGCAAAAAGCACUCAUGAUUGAGGCUAAAAUGAGGAACAUACAAUCAUUAGAAGCUGCCCUCGCCUCUCAAUCAUUUAUCCAGCUUGGGCUUUUAACAGGCUUACCAAUGGUAAUGGAGAUUGGCUUGGAGAAAGGAUUCCUCAAUGCCCUUAAAGAUUUUGUCCUCAUGCAAUUGCAGCUUGCUGCUCUUUUCUUCACUUUCUCGCUCGGUUCAAAAACUCAUUAUUAUGGUCGAACAAUUUUGCAUGGGGGAGCUAAGUAUAGACCUACUGGACGUAAGGUCGUGGUGUUUCAUGCCAGCUUCACUGAGAAUUACAGAUUAUAUUCACGAAGUCACUUUGUUAAAGGAUUUGAACUAUUACUUCUGUUGAUUGUCUAUGAUUUAUUCAGGCGGUCAUAUCAGAGCAACAUGGCAUAUGUGUUUAUCACUUACUCCAUUUGGUUCAUGUCAAUCACUUGGCUGUUUGCACCAUUUUUGUUUAAUCCUUCUGGAUUUAGUUGGGGUAAGAUAGUAGAUGACUGGAAAGACUGGAAUAAGUGGAUCAGGGUGCAAGGUGGCAUAGGCAUUCCACAGGAUAAAAGUUGGCAUUCUUGGUGGAUUGACGAGCAAGCCCAUCUGCAUCGUUCAGGGUUGGGUGCUAGGUUGUUUGAGAUUCUUCUUUCUCUUCGAUUUUUUAUCUAUCAGUAUGGUUUGGUCUAUCACCUAGACAUCUCCCAGCAGAGCAAAAAUUUUCUGGUUUAUGUGCUUUCAUGGAUUGUGAUUCUUGCGGUUUUCCUCACAGUCAAGGUAAAAUUGUUCCACUUCGAAUGAAAUUUCAUUAAGGUUCAAUGUAGAUCUAAGUAGUUGUUGCAUAUUGUAAGCUCAGUCUUUGUAAGUCACUUGAUUAAGAAGCAUUACUUUAGUUGUGAUCUACUCGUUACGCUAACUCGAUCUGAAACAUGAUGUGCAGGCAGUGAACAUGGGAAGACAACAAUUCAGUGUCAAUUACCACCUUGUGUUUAGGUUCAUCAAAGCGUUCCUCUUCCUUGGUAUUCUAUCUACAAUAAUUUCACUUUCUGUCAUCUGUCAACUAUCUUUCAAGGACAUAAUCGUGUGUUGUCUAGCAUUUUUGCCAACGGGAUGGGGUCUAAUAUUGGUAAGGGUUAAAAACAUUCUCGUUCUUUAUUCUUAAACAAUUUUACUCUGUUCUAUCUAUAUUUUGUUUCAUAAACAUUUCGGUUUCUUCAGAUUGCGCAAGCUGUGAGGCCAAAGAUAGAGAAUACAGGAUUAUGGGACUUCGUAAAGGUUCUUGCUAAAGCGUACGACUAUGGAAUGGGGGUCGUUCUUUUUACGCCCAUAGCUGUUCUGGCUUGGCUCCCCAUCAUAUCAGCCUUCCAGACUCGCUUCCUUUUCAAUGAGGCCUUCAAUAGGCAUUUGCAAAUUCAACCAAUUCUUGCCGGGAAGAAAAAGCACAGAUAAUUUUUUGCAGCAGAGUGGCAAGUACUUGUUUAUAACAGUAUUAGAGUUGAGUACAUUAGUAGGUAUAUUUUCAAUACAUGUCAAUAAUUUAGUGUAUAGCUGCAAUUCAAGUAAGAUUAUAUAAAAUAGGAAUAGAAGUUCAACAGCGAAUAUUCAAUUACCUAUUUUAGAGGAUAGAAACUGAACCCAUGUCAUUCAUUUAUCAAUGAGUUCUUAAUAUUCUGAUAAAGCAAUUGUCUUGUAUGUCAUCUCUCCGGCUUUGUUUUAUCACAUAACUUUCUUUUCUCCAAGCUAAGUGGAUUAUUAAAAAUAGGGAAGUAACAUCACUGUGAGUCUGUGACUGACCGAAAUUUUAUGGAGACUUUUUUUUUUGUCCAAAUUACAUGAAUCUCUAUUUUAAUAAUUAUAUUCAUAUAAAAUAAAAUUGAGUUACUUUAAUCAAAGGAUAUACAAUUAUCUUAAAAUGAAGAAGUGAUAUGGUGAGCGAUAAACGAUGAUACUCAACUAAUAAAACUUCUCCUAAAAUAAAUUCAUGUGCUCACUUUUAAAUACAAUUAAUCUCAUUACUAAUAAUAAGUAGCAAUAAAAACCCACUCGAGCAACAAAGCUUGUGAGAAGCGCAUUUUAUUGCUGCUUGUGAGCAGAAAAGAGAACUACAAACCCAUUGACACACUCAUCGUUUUCAUUUGCUUCUGGCCACAAAAUAUGAUCUUACGUUCACAUUUUGCUCGUAACCAUCGCCAAUCAAUCAUUCAAUCUCUUUCUUCUGCUUCAACAAUCACUCGUAAAAGAACUUUCGCACUCGCUUCUCCUUCAGCUUCGCAUCAAGAUUCUGAUCACCACGCCUACAAACUGAAUCACAAAGACUGGCUCUCACCAACCGAAGUCUUGAAAAUCUUUUCAAAUCUCAGAGACCCCAUUUCAGUAAUUUCAGUUUUGAAUCAAUACUCCAAGAGAAAAGACUACAAUCCGAAUGAAGCUCUUUACACUCUUAUCAUCAACAAGCUUGCUCAAGCCAAACGCUUCGAUGCCAUUGAAGACAUAAUGCAAAGAAUAAAAGUUGAAAAACUGUGUCGUUUUUCAGAUGGAUUUUUUUAUAAUGUGAUCAAAAUUUAUGGAAAUAUGGCUGGGAGAAUUAGCAAAGCAAUUGAGACCCUUUUUGAUAUGCCAAGUUAUAAUUGUUGGCCGAGUGUCAAAACGUUCAAUUUGGUGCUCAAUUUGCUUGUUUCGGCCAAACUGUUUGGUGAGAUACAGGGGAUUUACACUAGUGCUGCUAAGCUUGGAGUUGAGAUUGAUGCUUGUUGUCUUAACAUUCUUCUUAAAGGGUUGUGUGAAAAUGGGAAUUUGGAGGCUGCAUUCUACGUGCUCGAUGAAUUUCCUAAACAAAAUUGUGAGCCCAAUGUGAGGACGUAUUCGACGUUGAUGCAUGGUUUGUGUGAGAAGGGAAAUGUGGAGGAAGCAUUUGGGUUGCUUGAGAGGAUGGAAAGUGAGGGAAUUGAUGCUGAUACGGUAACGUUUAAUAUAUUGAUUUCGGGCCUUAGGAAGCAAGGCAAGGUUGAGGAGGGAAUGAAGCUUUUGGAGAGGAUGAAGGGUAAAGGGUGUUAUCCAAAUUCAGCGUCUUAUCAAGAGGUUUUGUAUGGUUUGCUUGAUAAGAAGAGGUUUCCUGAGGCGAAAGAGCUUGUAGGUAGGAUGAUUUGUGAACGUAUGAGUCCUAGUUUUGUGUCCUACAAGAAGUUGAUUCAUGGACUUUGUAAUCAGAAGCUGGUUGAGGAUGUGGAUUGGGUAUUGAAGACGAUGGUGCAACAAGGUUUUGUUCCGAGGAUGGGGAUGUGGAGGGAGAUCGUUGGAUGUGUUACUUUUGGGAAAGACAAUCGUAACCGUGUUUACGUCACAGAAACUGUUGAUAGCUUGGCCAGUUGAGGUUGAUCCAUGAAUGGGAAAAUUAUGUCUUGCUCUGUUGGCCUGUAGAUGGGUAUGCUUCAAGGGGUUUAGAACUGAUCGUCGGACAUAAAAUGGAGGGCGAUGAAGAUGCCUUUGGCUUAAACCAUCAUAAAGAUUUUGAUGAAUUGGUUUGAUCAUGGUCUUCAAUUUGACACCACCAUGCCUGGACCUUUCAAUUGUCUGAGAUUAAUGUCAACUGCUGUACCACUCUCAAAGGAAAAAGAUGUGGAUGCCUAUAUACUCUCUUUUUGUCCAGCCACAUAUGUAUCUCUAAACUUCAGCAGCAAAUUGGCGAUGCUGUAGAAUUAAGUUCUCAGACUCAGAAUCGAUUGUAAUUGUUCGACCUCAAGCUUUAUGCAAAAUUUCCAAAAACAGAAGAGUUGAAAAUUUGCAUUGAAGUGGUUUCUGUAAUAUGCUAUACAUGUGCUAACAAGUAAUACAAACAUACCAACCAAAUGAAAAUGCAAUAUCUAAAAAGCAGUUUCUGACAUUCUAUUUGGAUGCGAUACAAUCUAAUCAAAAAAUGCGCAAAACUUAAACGUUCAUUUCGUAAUUCACACCUAUUUUGCAAUGGUAAAAUUACUAUGAGACAUCAGUUUCAGCUCCUCGGUUUAUAUCCUCUGCCCCCUUCAGAUCCCCUUCAGAAAGCUCAGGUUUUAUGAACUCGAUCUGCCCAUCAUCAACCCCCUCAGUUUUGUUCACCUCAUCAUCAUCUUUCUUUUCUUCACUAUCAGCACUCACUUUAUCUGUUUGGCCUAAUAUGUCUGCUUCAGGAUCACUUGAACUUGUCCGCGUGAUCUGUUCCUUGGUAUCACAGUUGUCAUCUCUAGUGGAGCAGGAGCUCAUGGGAAUGGGAAAAUCAGGAAUCCUUUCAAGUCUAGAGGAUGGAAGAGAUUCAUCAUCAGAGGAAUCAGAAUCAACAUAAAGUUCUCGUUCUGUCACCGGUGAUGUACCUCCUCGACGCUUUGUUGAAUCUUUCCGAGAGAAGGCAUGUUUUAUGCUGCGAGCAUGUUUCUCAGCAUGUUUCAUGAUGCUCUUUGCCAUACCUUUCACAUGUCCCCUGCUAGGACUUUCUGGACCACUUUCGUCCGAACUCACAUUUAUAUCUUUUGUAGCCUUAACAGGAAUAGACCCUGAAAGGCUGUCUUCCACUAUGAACUUCACACCAACGUCCUUUGUAUUGACUGCUCUAAGGUUGACACGUGGAGAAGGAACAGCCUCUCCAAUGCUUCCUGCAUGAUCUUCCUUUCUAGAAUUCCUCUGAAACAUAGAACCAAUCUUCCGUAGGCCCCGUCUUAUUGAAUUUUUUCCCUCCUGAUUAUCAUCAGUGCUGCUGCUGUCAUUGUUCAAGGAUCCAGAUGCGGCAGAAUUGGUACUGUUAAAGGAACCAUUAGGCACUCUGCGGACCAGGGUAUCCAAGCGCCUGUUCUUACCCUUUCUAGGCUCCCAUGUCUGAGCUACUUCACUUCCUGGUUGAUGGACCCAUAUCCCAGUCUCUUGUUGCCCCUCAAUGUUGAUGGGUUCAAAAUUAUCUACCACCUUUGGUGACUUCUCUGACGAUACAGACGAAAAGGAACCCUUGUCAGUAGUUUCAUUCGCAAAGGAUUCCUGUAUAUCUUUCUUGUUGCUUUGAUCCUCCUUGUUUCCCAUACCUUCCUUGUUUAAUGUUCCCCCGUCACAUGGACUAUCAACCCCCUGCUGAAAUUAUGCCAACAGUUCACAUGAAACUUUACUGCUUACCUCGGCAGAAGUGUUUCAUCACAAUUUAAAACAAUAUGUCAAACUGUUAUAUUUUUACUAGUCACUGAAAGCUGAUACAACAGACCUUUGCACUCUCUUCAAGAACUGUUAUUGCGAGAUGCAGCCUGCCUAUUUUAAUGUUCUGAAGAGGUAUCCACAUGUCGUGUCUCUGGCCAUCCCUAAGAUCACUGAUAUUUAUGGUACAAUCACUGUGAAUAACAGAAAAUUAAGUCAAAUAUAGCAAUUGCAGAACAAGCUUUCAUUAGAUCAUGAAAAAUUAGAAUUAAAGAUUGGUAACUAAGCAAGAAAAAUUAAGAAAAAUGAAGGCAGGGGGAAAAACAAAGAAAAUGACUGCCAGAACAAAAGUGCAAGUCAUACCAUAGAAUCUUAUUUUAUAAAUCCCUAUUCAAAAUAUUUUUAGUAAUUCUAAAGGGCAUGCACCAGUAACUUACUAUAAAUGUAAACAAGAAAACUUUUAAAUAAUGACGGCCCGGUAUCCUUACAGCCAAUAUAAAAAGAGAAGUCAAACACUUUUAAGUUCUUUAAGACUACCUCAAGGAACUUCAGGGAAAGCAUCAAAUUCUUCCAAAGGGCAAAAGUAAGAGAGGCAUCAACAUUUCCACCCUUUUCUCUGUACUACACUAUGCUUUAACAAUAUUUCUUCUCAUUGCAAAAUAAAUAUGCAUCAUACUGAUAUCCAAAUUUUGUUAUCUGACUGCCUGUUAUUUGGGGAAUAAUGGCUCCAAAGAAAGAAGCUGUAUAAGCUAAACCAAAUGCGCAUAAAAUCUUAGUAAUUUGGCAUUUAUCGCAUGAAAACCAUAAAUUAAGUGCCGCAAUAGUAGAAUCUCUUAUAGAUGUUUUAUUUGAUUGUUUAUUGUUCUUAUUGAAAAAUGAAAAAAAUGUGAUAGGAAGAUACCUGAAAACCUCAAUGUACAUAAUUAUGAACAAUCAAAAGAAAAAAACAAAACUGCAUUGCCUUUUUUAUAGCAUUAAGUGCAAAGGUUUGCCCCUUAGUACACGAUGUUAUAUAGCAAGGUUUAGAAUAAUACCCAAGAGUAUCAUCAACGAAAUGGUCCUUAUCACGAACUUCAAUAACUAGCACAUUAGGAGAGUCCCAAGUACUUAUGGGAAUAUUAAAUUCCUCAUGCCAUUUUGGAGACAGUGUUUUCCUCUGUGUUUUUGUCCUGAAUCUGUAAGGGCCAAGUUGCCCCUUCACAUAUGGAUCAGCCAGACCUGAAAAUUUCAACCAGUCAUCGCAAAGAAAGAUUUGGAAUACUCUGUGACGGAACAAUGACAAAAAAAUAGUUUUUAACCAAACCAUUUAAAUCCGAUGGUUUCAUGUCAGAUGCUUCAACAACUUCAACUCUGGCAUAUGCAACUGGUUCCUUCACAUCAACAGAGAACCAAUUUCCUGACAAGAAUAUAAUUAAGGGAAUGAAUUUAACAUAUCAAUAGGGGGGAAAGAAAAGAAACUACAGCAUCCCGAACUAUGGCUAGCAAUACAGCAAUGAUCUUCAUAUUGACAUCUGUCUUCAGGUACAAUAUCCAGAUCCAUAUCCACAUCAUAAAGUGAUAUUGAAUAAAACAAAGUUAUUGUUCAUUUGGUUCUGGUAGUACAGCAAUGAUUAAAAUCUCAUAACUUAUGCCUGCAUUUUUUCACCCAACUUCCAUGAAAUAAUCUACUUAAGCUGAUAAACAAUAUACUCGCAUGUGCCCUUCCCACAUGCCAUAGCAAUCCACAUACCAUAUAAAGCAACCAUUUUUCUUUCCCAAAGCUUUUCAGUAGCUUAUUCAUUUUCAUUUAACCACAAGUAAUAUUUCUCAUAACUAUCAUAAGUUCACUUGAGCAUCUCUGUAUCUUACUUAAUACCUAGAGACGGUAAGAAGCCUGAUGGUUUUCUAAAUCUACCUUCCCUUCUAGACCUUACUACUCCGGCUCUUUCCUGGAUCUUAAAAAACGAGUGCAACCCUCUUGUACACUAAAAGAUCCCCUUAUUAAACCCGUAUCUCCACCAACCAAGUUACCUAUUCCAGCCUACAGAUUACCUACCAGUCAACUCCAAAAUUAUGAAGGAACCAUAUUCUACACCAAUGAAUAAUGAUAAACAGAAAAAAUUAUUAACUACUAUCAAAAGUUAUAAACCACAAAUUCGAAACACACUGCAGAAUCCCAGAAGAUUUAGGCUGUGAAUUACCUGGCUGUGGUGAAGCAAAUUUAUCCACAUCAACAACCAGCAUAUUGGGCUGUAAAAAAGAUCAAAUAUUAAGCCAAAACUCAAACCAAAAGAAACAUUGUUGGAUUUGAGAAUCUACAACUUCAUCCCAAAGUCGCGACACUGAUUUUUAGGUUAAAAAAGAAGAAGAAACUAACUACUACAUGUUUGUGAAAUUUAAGCAGCAAAUGAAACUAAAUGAAAGGACAGCUGCUAGUUUGAAGGGAGUAAGGAUAAAGAACUAACCUCCACAAGUGUCUGCUCAAAUGCUAUGGACAGGAGCUUGUCCUAGGAAAAGAAAAGAGAAAACACAUUGGACUUUACAGAAGGAGAGAGAUAUCAAACAAUUGAAAGUCAAUAAUUUAUUUUUGUGUUCCUGUAUUAAACUUACCAGCCAUCCAGCAAUUCCCGGAAAUUCUGUAACAUCAAGCCCGUGAGUGAAGAUAGGUUUCACAGUCAUCUGGAAAUAUGGCGGUUCAGCAAAGCAUACCCUCAACCGGUCAAUGAAAGGCCAUCUCCGAAGAAACUUCACUCCAACCAGAACCUAGAAGAAAAUAAAAGCGUAGCUUAAAGUCAAACAAUUUCACCCCAUAUUUCUUCGAAUAAAAUAAAACACAAAAAAAAACACCAUGCCAUUUAAAUCACCCAACAAAUAUUAGUAUUGCAAGAAUUUGAACUGAUUCGUCAUAUUCAAUCAACCGACAUUUAUCUUAAAGACAGCCUAAAAUAUACUUUAAUACAAGAAUCACAUAUACUGCCCGAACCUUCCCCUCAACAUGCAUGCCAGUCACAUGCAUCUUGGCCCACAUUCCAAAUCCCAGUCUUUUCCUUAAUUUCACAGCAAGUAUUGCACUCAUAUCAUCUGCUGUGAGAAAGUUCAUUCCCAACUCUAAUACCUGCAAUUAUCACAUAUUAAAAUCUCCUUGGAAACAAUAACAAAAUACAUUGUAGAGCCACCACGCUAUAAGAGAAGAUACAACAUGCCAGAUCAGGGUUCAGUGACACAUACCAUGUGGUCAUCAUCAUUGGAUUGGCGAAGAACUCUCAUUUCUGUAAGCAUUGGGGGGUUUCUACCCAGGUACAGAUGCUGAACCAAAGCUUUCUUCUGCAAAUAUAUCAUUGCCAAUACAGUCAUUAGCAGACCAAAAUAUAACGCCAGAGAAAAGCUAUAAGCUUUUGGCACUGAAAAUGGAUACUAUCUAACUGAAGUAAUCAUGUUUGCUAACCUCAACUAACAUUGAAAUAUAAAACUAGUGAAUUCUCAUAAUUCUGUUACCCGUCCUAGAGAGAAAAGGAAUUUUAUAAAGUCAGUUCCAAAAGUAAAUAGUGUCAUACUGCAGUCCAUGGUUUGUACUUCUCCAAAAACCAUGGUAUAAUGGGGAGAAGUAACUUCUGUGAAGCAAUUUGUUCCAUGCAUAUGGGCCACAUCUUUUCAAUAGCAUGAUUCAACCAUCUUACCGUUUCAGAAUCUUUAAGCACCUGAAAAUAAAGAGAAAACAUUAUCAUUUACUCCAAGAAUCAAGAUCAACAUCAAUGCAUCCAGUUUAGUUUUCAUUUAUAUAUUAAACAAAUGUAGCAUAAAGUUAAUAACAAAAAGCUGAAAGCAUAGGCACCUUUACUCUUUGAAAGUGAAAGAAGAAAAACUUUAUCUUUUGAUCCUUUUUCACUUUGUCUUAGUGGAUCAACCAAAACACAUACUAACUUUCCACUGAACCCAGAAAAUAUAAUUUGAUUUUGAGUUUUGAAGACUAAGGCUAACUUCAUACUUAAAGGAAUCAAUACAAAACCUUUUCAUUUUACAAAAUUUCCAUAGAUUCACACUAAAUCUAAAUUAAAAUACCCAUUAAAAUGAAUAAUCAAAAAUAAAAAAAAAAAUCAACAACCAAGAAUCUUACCAUAUCAAAAGUAGAAUAUUAAGAAAUAUAGAAAUAGAAAAAUACCCUUCUUUGAAAAGAAUUCUUUCUCUCCUCGAACUCCACUUUCCUCCUCAAUCUCAUGACGUAUCGAUCAUGAACCUUUCACCAAAAAAUUAAUUAAAAACACAAAUUAACCCACUGAUCAUUCAAAUCACAAUUAAAAACAAACAAAUUAACAUUAAAUUUUAAAAUACAUACCGAGUACAGAUAGAUUAGAGAGAUGAAAUAAGCAGCUGGGUGGCAACGAUCGAAGUAAGAAAGCAACCAAAGCAAAAACAAAACAAUGCCCACAUGGUGCAUUAUUGAUAUCUCCAUCAAACUCAUCUUUUUUGUUCUUUGCUUUUAUCAACAAAUAUUUCUCCCUUCGUUCUUCACGUGACCUAAUUCAAGAAUCACAAGAAAAUUGAAGGAAAAAAAUAAAAUAAACUCCUGAAAUAAAUAUUGAAUUUUGGGUAUUGGGUGGCGGCAGUUUUCAGAGUUACUACUACUAACACAACAUGCUGUGUUUUGUUUGUAAUUAUUUCUUUACGAGAAGAACAGGGAGCGGUUAAUGAACAAAGGUAAAUUAUUUAUAGGAUGAGAUUAUUUGUUUUUUUUUUCCGGUGAAGUAACGGUACCGUAAUAUGGAAGCAAGCGGCCGUAUUUAAACUAAUUAAUUAAUUAGUAUCUGUUUUUUCAGAUUUGGUUCGACUGGCUUUGUUCUGAAAGCACAUGAAAAGUAGUCAGUUUGAUGUUCGUGCGCUUUGACUGCUUGUUCUCCGACACGUGUCCUUUACGUGUCUCAUUGUGGGGCCUUGUGUACUAAGAAAUAUAUAAGAUCCCUACAGAUAAAAUUAUGUAAUAAUCGUUAUUUAAAAAAUAAAUAAACAUUAUGUAAACUGUUAUUUUUUAUAAAGGUUCACUACGUUAGAGUUCAUUUAUAGUGGAGUACGAAUUUCAGUCAUACACGUAAAGUGAUAAAUAAUAAAUAAUAAAUUAUAAUGAAUUUUUUAUGAUUUAUUAUUUUUCGUGUGUGACUAGGAUUCGUAUUCCACCGUAAGUGAACUCUAAUAUAACCAUAGUCUUUUUAUAAAUAUAAAAUUUUAUAACUUAAAAAAUAUAUAUAAAGAAAUAUCAUUAUGUAAAUUGUUAUGACUAUGAACAGAUUAUGAAUAUGAUUAUGUGCAUACCGAACAAGUUUUUUAUAAUUAUUUUUGAAAUUCUAAAUAUGGAUUUAAAAAAAACGUGUUAAUAUCUAAAAAUUAUACAAUUUGAGGACUUUAAUUAAGUGUCGAAAUAAUUAUUUGGGUAUUGGGACAAUCAUGCCCACACGUUCACUUUCUCGAUUUGUGCUCUUCUCACAUGUCUAGUGGAUUAAAAUAUGCGAUCAAGUGUUUUGAAAUUUAGACAAUUAUGAGAAUUUGAAAGAUCAAAAUUACUAAAAACGUUGUACAAUUAAUUGGUUAGAUACUAUUAUGCAAAGGAUUUUUUUAAAACAUUAAAUUGAUUUUUUUGGUCAAAAUUAUUUUGGGUGUUGCUUUCCCUUUCAAAGAUCAAUGCGACAAUGACCGAAAACUAAAAGAAGCUUUAACGGUUACCACUUACCAUCCAAUCCAUCCACGUUAAUAAAUUAUUUAGUUAUUGUAUUCUAAUUGGACACAGAAAUAUAAUUACAGUCGGUUUUUCUCUUUUUCUUUUUCUUUUUUUGAACAGAUUUUUUUUUAAUUAGGAAAAAGAUUUUUAUUAUAUGUAUACAUAUGAAAAAGAGAAAGAAAUGACUUUAAUGACCUGUAUGUAACUAUUAAAGAGAUUGUUAAUUUCUACCGAACUAUAAUUAAUGUAUAGCACUUGUUCCUUUACUAUUUUAAUAAUAACCAAUAACCACUGGCACCAUAAUUUUAUAGUAUUGUUCUUAUUUUUAAAUAUACUUUUAUUCAUAUUUAUUAUUAAUUAAAUAAACCAUAUAAAUAGAAAUAACUAAAAUGAAAUAAUUUAACUACUACAAGUAGGACACAUAGGUUUCAAUGUGAAUACAAAAUUUAUAAUAAAGUACUUUUUAUAUUCCUAAAAUAAAAUAAAAUAAGCAAAUGACCAUUUAUCCCUCAUUUCUUUUGAAAUUUUUUGUAACGGAGAAGUUAUCAACUAUUAUGAAAAUAACAAGUAAUUAGUGGUAUAUAUAAUAUUUCAGUAGAGUGAUACUGGCAAUCUUUCUAACUACUAUAAAAAAUAAAACGACUGGGCUUGCAUUUAAAAUAAGAUAUAGUAAUCAGACAAAACAAUUUGGAAUGAGAUAAUUAAAUGCAUACAAUUAAUUAAAAAAAAAAAGGCAAACCUUAGUUUGUAUAUUCUAAUAUAUUCAUAAGAUAAUUUAGAUUUUUUAAUUCAUAUUAUUUUUUAAAUAAUAUACAACAAUCUAAGGUACAACACCUUGAUGCUUAAAAAGUGAACACUCUAAAUUCUUAGUUACACCUUUAAAUUUGGGAAAUUAUUUCGGCACUACCUUUUUUUUUGUCAUAUGUAUAUCUAACCACCAUAAAAUUUUAACAUGUACUUUGCACCACCUUUGUUUUUAAGUUUGUAUCAAUCAACUAUUUUGACACUAAAAGUGAUCAUUUUAUCCCUAAAUGAAUUAAAAGACUAUUUUAUCCUAUUAAAUUUUGAAAAAAAAACUAUAAUUAUAAGGAUACCCCUAAAUUCAAUAAAAUAAAUAAAUCUCAAAAUCUAAGAUGAUAAUUUUUAAAUGAAAUUAUAAUUAUGAAAAAGUAACGUCUUGUAAGUAUAUUUAUUUGUAUUAUUUUUUUGUAAUUAAAUUAUAUAUUUAAUAAUAUAAUUAUAAUUUUAUUUAAUUUUUGUAAUUAAAUUAAGUAUAAGGAAGUUUACAAAAAUUAACAUGAAGAGAAAAGCUCCGUAUAAUUAUUGUAAACUUUCCUAUAAUUAAUAUUAAGAAACUUCCCCAUACAAAUAAAAUGAAAUUAUGAUUAUAAAAAAUUGGUAUGAUAAUUUUUAAAUGAAAUUAUAAUUAUAAAAAAUUAACAUAUUAGAUUUUAAAUUUAAUUUUUUUUAUUAAACUCAGGGAUAUUCUUAUAAUUCUAAUUUUUUUCAUUUUUUAAAAUUUUGUAAAAUAAAAUGGUCUUUUAAUUCAUUUAGAGGUAAAAUUGUUAUUUUUUAAUAUCAAAGUAGUUGAUUGAUACAAACUUUAAAAUAAAGCUAGUGUAAAGUACAUAUCAAAAUUUUGUGUUGGUUACAUAUGACAAAAAAAAAGGUGGUGCCGAGAUAAUUUUGCUUUCAAUUUUCAUUAAGCCGAAUUUCUAUAUGUUGUAUGUAAUACUAUAUAUAUUUUCAGAGAGUAGCUAUGCUCGGGUCAUUCUCAACUAUAUGUCUCAAAAUGAUGUCGUGCUUUAAGUAAUUAAGCAUCUUAGAUUUUCUCUCGGCUAUCUUAUUUCUGAUCCGUUGAUUUCAAAGUGAAUAUUACUUUUGUUUAGAUUUUAUAUUCUACAUAAAAUCCUGUAGAUCUCUUUCCCCCUUCUCUAUCGCCCGAGAGUGAUUCCAAAGCCUUCUUCAAGCUUUUCCCAUUUUGUCAACUAGCGGGAAACUCCACCGAAGCCCUCUCUCGGUGGAUUUUUUUUACUCUCUCUUUUCUUUGCCUUUAUCUUAGGUUUUGAAAAAAAAUUCUCUCUCCUUUCAUUCUACGCAGAUAUUUAUUUUGGCUUUUUUUUUCCCCUUGAUUCUGAAGCUUUUAGUCUUCAUAUUUUGAAAAUUCUAGCACGUUGGAGGUCAAUUCAUACAGAUUUGUUAUUUUAUCAAUUGAAAAAAUUGUCACGAGCAGUAGAGAGAUAUUCUGAACGAGCUUAAAAGUUUCGAGCACAUUGUAAAAGAAGAAUCUCAAAAGUGCACAAUUCUCUCGAACUUCAAUAAAUAUAUAUAUUCCUAUGAUUUUCUCAAUUGAUUACGUUACCAAAUUAGUGUUUUUUUUCGAUCGUGUUAUUACUUUAUUGUAAAUAGGGAUUAUCACAAUGUUGAGUUGUGUCUCACAUUGAUUAAAAAAUAAGAGAUACUUGAGUUCAUAAGGUGGUAGGUCAUUCUACUUAAAAAGUUAGUAUUUUAGGUUGAAUAUCUAGAAAUCUUCUACUAAGUUCCUCGAACAAGUGAUAUCAGAGCUAGACACUAAUAACUGAAAUGUGGUGGUAAAACAACUCAGGUGUGUCAGACGAAAAAACCGGAGUCCGAUGGUGGUUUCGUCUGAGGGAGAGAUUGUUGAGUUGUAUCCCACAUUAACUUAAAAAUAUAUAUAUUUAAGUUUACAAGGUGAUAAGUCACUCCACCUAAAAAGUUAAUCUUUUAACUUAAAUAAUUAGAAAUCUCAUGGUAAAUCCACACAAUAUUUUAGUUUCUGUUUUAUAUUUUGGAUAUGUAUUUUUAAUUAUGUUUGUAUCUCCACCGUUAGUGGCUUUAAUAAAUGACAUGCUGCCCAUUUCAAAAAAAAAAAAGGAAUCUACAUUUUCAAAGUUGACGUCAUAAUUAAUAUAUAAGUGAAAAAGGGCACCACGUGGCCAAGUCAAGUAAGAUGUCACUAUACAAUUAAAUUCUUUUAUGGCAAAUUAUCAAAUCUACAUGGAUUUUGCGUUUAUAAGCCGCGUCGGCAAGCUAGCUUCAAUCAUUUGCAUCCGCGUUUACGUUUUUGUUGUGUGUGUCCACUUAUUCGGCGACACAUCAUCCAAACGGCAGAGUUUAUCGACUUUGCAGGCCAGUUUCACAUUCUGAAUUUCCGUCGUCGUUUUCAUGAUGGCCAUUGUCAAAUUCUAUAUAUAUAAUUAUUCCCCUUUUUUUCCUUUUCAAUGGGACCAAGUACCAGCAGGUGUUUAAAUAUUAUUUGAAUUAUGGGGUUCGGUAUCUAAGUAUCUAAUUCACUGUUUAUGAUAAUAUCCAAUUUUUAAAAAAAAUUAAAUUUUCAUUACCAUCCAAAUAUAUAAAUACAGCAGUAAGUAGAACAAAACCACAUUUAAGUCAUGUACGUAAAUACGUAAUGAGAUGUCAUGCAUACGUACUUUCACUCAGUAUAUGCAGUAUGCACAACAGAUUUGUGCUCCACUUAAGUUUUCUCUCCAAUCUUUCAUAUUAAUAAUUAAUGAGAUUUGUUUGGUAUAAGUUCGAGUCUUAACUGUUUGGUUUCUCAUUUUCUCUCAAAAUUAUACAAUUAAGUAUGGAUUUUUUUUUUUUUAUAAAAAUAGGUAGAGUAGAUAUAUCUUUUCAAUAGUAGUAAGAUAAAUAUAUCUUAAAUAUAGGAAUAUGAAUCUGAUUUUGAAUUAUAAAAGAAUUUAUUUAGAUUAGUUUCAUUAGAUUUUUUUAAUUAUAAAUAUCAAUAAACUUCUGAUGGCAACAUAUUAGUAAUAAAAAAUAAUGAGAUAUGCUUCUAUGUUCGUUUUCACACCAUCAUCUUUCCCUUUCGUUCCCAAAAUAAUUAAAUUAUCUCAUAAUUGUUGACUAGUUUUUGAUAAACAAAACCGUCAAAAUGUUAGGUUGAUAUGCGGAUAUGGUGUUACGUUAAUUAUCCAAUUACUUAGGAAUAGUCAAUAAAUGAUGCCAUGCUAGGUUUGAUUACACUUUGCACAUAUGAAAAAAGACACAAGAUAACGCACAUCUACUGGCAAGUCCAGGAGGCCCCAUAUAUUUGGGCUUCUAAAUUAGGGAGCAUAGGGCUUGGUAUGCAGAGAACAAACCAUUUCUUUGGUAACAUCUUGUCUACAGCAAUGACAAAUAGCUCAACCCUAAAAUCAGGGUAACGAGUAAAUUUAAGGGGCAAAUAUUUACAGACCAGAUGAUAUUUUACAUUUGAUUAAAAAUAAACUGAAACUUUUAUUUUUCAAUUGUCUACUUAAGUUUUAUAAAGUGGAUCAAUGCUCCACUGACAUCUUAAAAUUAUGACAUCCUUUAUCGGAUUAUAUUAUAUGGCAAGUCCAGGACACUGAAUUAAGUUGAUUAGAUUAAGUUGAAUUAUAUUAGAUGGUCUCAUGUUUGGUCCAGUACCGGAUUAGAUUAUAUUAAAUUAUAUUUAGAUAAUAUUAAAUAGCAUUUAAGUUGAUGUUUAAAUAUAAAUAUCAAUUACUCAUGAAAUUUUAUAAUCAUAAUUAAAUAAAUUUAACAAGUAAGUAAUAAGAAAAUUAAAUAUUUUGCAAAUAAGUUAUUUGGUAGUCAUAAUAUAAUAAUCAAAUAAAAACACACAAAACAAUCUAAAUAUUGAAUUAAUUUUUAUCAAAUAUUUAGAAAUAUUAUAUCAAAUCAAUUAAUUAAUGGUAUUAUUAAUUUUCAUGAUUAUUUUUAAUAUUAUAUUAGUGAUUAUUAAAUUUAGUGCAAUCCAAUAAUGCAGUAAAUUAUUAAAAUGGUUAAUUUUAUUGAUAAAUUAUUAAAUAUACAAGUAAUGAAAAUAUAAUCUCAAGAGUUAGUAGAAAUAAAAGUACCAAUUUAAUUGGAUCAUAGAUAGCAAAUAAAAAUAAAUUUUAAGUAAAUCAAAAAUAAAAAUUAUUUGAUUAAAUUAGGUAUAAAUAAAAAAUUAUAUAAAUAAAAGCAUCAUGAAUGGACAAUUUUUUUUCUUUAAAUCUUAUCCCAUGUAAACUCAUGUGUAAAUUAGUAUUAUUAAUCCCAUGAUUUUAGGAUUAAAUUCAAAUUUUAGUCCCCCUUAAUCCAAUCCAACUAAGCUUGCCAAACAUAGGAUAAGUAUUUAAUUCCAAAAUUAAUCAAAUCUUAUACUUAAUUCUAUCAUCCAAACAUGGCCUAAAAGUUUCCUAUUAACUAUUAAUAAAUAAUAUUAAUUUUUUAAUAUCAAUAAAAUACCCUAACUGUAUCAUAAUUUAUAUCAAUAAUAUAGUAUAUAAAAUAUAUAAAAAUAUAAUUAAUUUUUGUAAAUAUCAAUAUAAUUAAAAUGAAACCCAAAAAAGUUUAAAAAAUAUAUUGAUAAUGGUAACACAUAUGUUAUGUUUAUCAGGAAUUUACCUCUGGUGUGCCCNNNNNNNNNNNNNNNNNNNNNNNNNNNNNNNNNNNNNNNNNNNNNNNNNNNNNNNNNNNNNNNNNNNNNNNNNNNNNNNNNNNNNNNNNNNNNNNNNNNNNNNNNNNNNNNNNNNNNNNNNNNNNNNNNNNNNNNNNNNNNNNNNNNNNNNNNNNNNNNNNNNNNNNNNNNNNNNNNNNNNNNNNNNNNNNNNNNNNNNNNNNNNNNNNNNNNNNNNNNNNNNNNNNNNNNNNNNNNNNNNNNNNNNNNNNNNNNNNNNNNNNNNNNNNNNNNNNNNNNNNNNNNNNNNNNNNNNNNNNNNNNNNNNNNNNNNNNNNNNNNNNNNNNNNNNNNNNNNNNNNNNNNNNNNNNNNNNNNNUGUUCUUCUCCUUUACGAGAUUUCUUCCUCCUCCUCUUCACUGAAUUUCUUCUCCUUUGGCCGCAAUAGCUUCAUCAAAAUUACCCUUAUCAACCAUAAUAAUUUCUCUCUUGUUGGUGGUGGCAUUCUUGGAGGCGGCAUUCUCAGUGGCUGUGAAAAUCAUCCCUAAUCGACGGCCAAGAUUUCAUGAAGUAGCAUCAAUAUUAGAUCUUCGCCAAGUAAAAUUUUAUAUAUACAUACAUGGGUUUCUUGAAUCUUGGUCCUAUAAUUUAUAGUUGGUUAACGUUGCAUUUCUUGUUAUCAUGUCUGAUAUGGUAAUGGGUUGGAUUAAUCUUGGGUUUUAUCCAAUACUGUUGAAGAGUUGAUUGAGUACUUUAUUGAUACUGAAGCUCAGGAGCUUGAGUUUGAAAUUGCAAGGUUAAGGCCAAGGUCAGUUCAUUUGUUUGAUUUAUUGUUUUAUUAAAACAAUGAAAUGUUUUUAGAAAUGCAUGCAACUUGAUUGAUAUUUUGCCUCUUCCAAGGCGUAUUAAUAGAUGAAGGUGUACAAAUUUGGUUAAAUGCAUCUUAGAAUAAUUUAUAUGUUAAUGAGAAUGAAUGGAGUGUGAAAGGUUUUGUAGAUAUGUAACUCCUUGAUUUGCUAAUAGAAAGUGAAUUUCCUUGAUUUUUCUGUAUUUGUGAAGAUUAUCUACUUUUUGAAGUUUGAUUAUGAGAAACAAUGAGUUCCAAUUGUUUGGUCAUUCUUCUUUUCUACCUCACCAGGCACUUGCAGUAGCAUCAAUAAAUUAUAGGCAUCAAGAUUCAAGGAACGUCAUGAUGCUUGUCGACUUCACUUAUUUCACUUGCAUGCUUGGUAUCACUCUGUUUUUGCUUGAAGAGUUUUUUCGGCUAUAUGCCCUGAAUUUAUCUUGUCUCAUCCUGCCUGUUUCCGUUCCUUCGUUCCUCUCUAUUUCUCUCCUCAUGCUUGCAGGAGAAGAUGUGCCCAUUUCUCUCUACACUAGCUGUAACUUCAACGAAAAAGUAACUUUUUUACAACUUUCAUAUUCUCAUAGUGUGGAAUUACCUUGAACCAAAAAUUGAAGCACUAACACGUUCCAUCAUGUGCAAGUUUCAGCUAGAAUGUAUGGCCCCUUUUAUUUUUAUUGUUCAUUUUUUCUAAUUAUUAUCAUCAUCAUCAUCAGUAGAAGCAGCAGUAGUAGUAGAAGGUAGAAUUUCGAGACUUUCAAUGUGAAUUGGUCAAAAUAUCUUUCAAUAUGGCAUUUUUAUUAAAGAGUGUUUUUGUUUCUUUUCAUUUAUUUUAAUUUUUAAAAAAAAGCAAAAGAAAUUUUGUCUACCUUUUCUCAUUCUCAGAUUCUUGUUCCUGGACUCCUAAUUAUGUCACAUGUGUUGCUGGUAUAGAAGUAGCUGUGCUAAAGGCCAAAUGCUUACCAUUUUCUUUUCUUUUCUUUAUAGAUUUGAAUUUGAACUACUUUCCCUUCCCUAUUUGUAUCUUUUUCCAUACUCUUCCUAUCUUAUUAUUAGACAAUUAAAAAAUCUCUGGUUAAUUUCAAGAAAAAAAUUUCUCUAUGGUUUUAUCUAGUUUUGAUGGUCAUGGUUUUAAGCUAUUGCAAAUACCUUUGCUACUUCAGAAGAUAUCAUAUUAAGAAAAACAUUUAGACUGUACUGAUGUGAUAUCAAAUAUCCCUUCGCCCAUCUUGCGAGUAUGAAACAUCCUGCAAAAAAAAAAAAAAAUCAGGGUAUGCAAUUUAGUACAUUAUAUAUUAGUUUUUUUUUUAUAAUAAGAAUGGUGAUUUUAUUAUUGAUAUAAAUGAAUUUUAUUAGUGGUAAUUGUGGAGCAUUUUUUAUGCAGUCUUUGGAGGUUCUAGCUCAUGGCCUUGACGUCAACAAGUAUUGCCAAUUAAGAUGAUAUUACAUGAUAUCGAAAAAUAUUGGCUGUCAAAUUAUUUGGCCAUAGGUUGUGGAAACCAACUAUAUAGUGACACACUCUCAAGAGCUUCAUUACUCUGAUUUUGUCAUUUUUGGAUAAGUUAUUAUGAGAUGCAACAGUUACAUUAGGGAUGUAGUUGACAUUUGAUGUAAUUAAAUAUAGUUUUAUUUUUUUAAAUAUAUUAUUAAAAGAAUAUAAGAUAUUUUGUGUUAUAUAUGGGAUAUAACAGGAUGAUCAUAAUAAUUAAAAGAAUGUUCAGCUCAAAUACACGACUAUAGUCGAGUAUUUUCAUAAAUACACGACUACAGUCGAGUAUCUUUAUAAAUACAUAACUACAGUUGUGUAUCUUCAUAAAUACACGUUGACUAUAUAUUAUUGAAAGAAUAGAAGAUAGUUUUGUAUUAUAUAUGUGAUAUAACAGGAUAAUCAUAAUAAUUAAAGGAAUGCUCAGCCCAAAUACACGACUACAGUCAAGUAUCUUCAUAGAUACACACACCUCUCACUAGAAUUCAUAAUCUUCUUGUGUUUUUAUUGAUCAUUUGACACUUAUAAAUCAUUACCCAUCACUUAAACAUCAAUUGUUCAUCUCUUAAUAAAUAACUGCAGUCGAGUAAAAUUAUAUAUGCACGACAAUAGUAAGGUAACUUCAUAAAUACGUGAUUGCAGUCAAGUACGUAGACAAAGAACAAAAUUACCUAAAACACUCAUCAAAAUGAUAACACAAUCAACAUAAGUUUAACAUAUCAAACUUCAAUUUAUCAAACAACAAAAACUUUUUUACAUUAAACAACAUAGGUCCAACGCAUGUCAGAAUCAUAAAUAAGUUUUAAAAGAGCACAAGUUGCUACUCAAUCAUCCUAACUAUAAAUUUGCUCCAAACACUCGGCCCAUCUAUUAUGAUCUCCUUUGUUUCAAAGUCAAAUUUAGAAACAUCAAUGGAAAUAACUCGAGAUACUCUUUCUAUCAAUUGUGCAUAUGUUGUAGAAUGGAGAACCAUGAUUCCUCUUACCUCAGUACCAUUAAGUGUUUGAUGGCUAUUUUGCUCAAUCCAUAACCAUGAAACAUAUUAGAUACACAUACUGAAGUCAUUUCCUGUAAUAAUAAACAAAUAAUUAUACAAAAAGUACAAAAAUAAAAUCAAACAAGGCAUAUAAUAGCGUGUGGAACUGUCUGCCUAUUUACAAGAUAGCACUCGUGUAACUUGCUAAAAUACAGGAUUAUAGUACAGUAAAUAAUCAGAGAAUAUAUUUAGUGAAAAAAUAUAUUUUUUUUGCACUAGAAAAAUGCUAGAGUGUCAUAACAGCUACGACAUUUUCACACUUGCACGACUGUAAUCGUGUAAAAUCAUACAUAUACGACAAAAUUCGUGUAACUUUUAAAAUCACACAACUACAGUUCAGUAAAUAGUCAGAUGGUGUAUUUCUUCUAAAAAAAAAAUACUUUUGCACUGAUAAAACACUAGGAUCUCAUAAUACAACACAUGAUUAUACAACAAAUACAAAAACAAAAUCAAACAAGGUAUAUAACAUAAUAACAAAGUGUGGAAUCGUCUGUCGUCUUGUAAUUGCUAGUUUACAAGACAGUAGUCAUGUAACUUGCUAAAAUACACAACUAUAAUCUAAUAAAUAGUCAGAUGAUAUAUUUAGUAAAAAUAAAAUGUAUUAUUUACACUAACAGAAUGCUAGGUGUCAUAACGGCUACCAUGUUUUCACACUUGCAUGACUAUUGUCGUGUAAGUUCAUACAUACACGACAAAAGUCAUAUAAGUUGCAAAAAUACACGACUCGGUAAAUAGUUAGAUGACAUAUUUCUUCUCUAAAAAUUAUUUUUCUUGUACUAAUAAAAUGCUAGGGUCUCAAAACAGUUGAAAUAUUUUACAUAUUUGCGCAAUUAUAGUAUGUAAGUUCAUACGUAUACGAUAGUAGUCGUGUAACUUAUUAAAACAUACGACUAUAGUCUAGUGAUAGUCAGAGGACAUAUAUAACGAAAAAUAGAUUUUUUGCAUCAAUAGAAUAGUAGGGUGUCAUAAUAAUUGGAAUAUUUUGUACACUUGCACGAUUGCAAUCAUGUAAAUCCAUACAUACACGACUACUAUCGUGUAUGUCGGGUGCAGAACAAAAUUUUGGCAAUAAAUUUAGGUUUUAACGAAUGUAGUUAUAAAAUCCAUUAAAUAACAGUGAUAUGAUACAAAUGUAAUGGAAAUAUGAGUUGUUUUAUUAUUUAUCACAAAUCAAACAAAAUCCUAAAAAUAAUAUAAUAUCAAUAAAAUGAAUAAAUAACACAAAAUAAAUAUAAAGUUUCAAAUACCUUAUUCAUGGGAUGAAUAAUGCACUUAGCUGCAAAACUAAAAUCUCAGUACAUUGGUUGUUCAUGAGUGAUUUUGAGAGUGUGGAGUGAGUUUUUGUUGUGUGGAAUUAAAAAGUGUGAGAAGUAAAGAGUGUUGGAGGUGAGUUGUAUGUAUUUUAUGUUUUUCUUUAGGGAUAUUUUAGAUUAUAUACCACAUAAAAAUACAUACCUACAUAAUUUUGAAGUAUGGAGUAUAUUUAACUAAAUAACUUAUUUUUGAGUAACUUUAAUUAAAAACCCCAAUGUUUAUUUUAAAAUACAUACCUACAUAAUUUUCAAGUAUGGAGUAUAUUUAACUAAAUAACUUCUUUUUGAGUAUCUUUAAUUAAAAACCCCAAUGUUUAUUUCGGCUUUUAGAAUGCAUAGCCAUAAACGUGAAGAUCGAAAGAGAUUGAUCCCCAAGCAUGUGCCAAGAAACCAGUCAUUCAUGGGAAUUUGUAAGCAUUGAAUUGGUGACAGUCAUAUGCUCAGAGAUUCCUGUUCUGGAAUUUGCUCGUGGAUCACAUUUUAAUGCCAAAUAAUUAAUGCUUGCAUGCUGUCACACUUUUUCAAUAACGAAUUUGAUUCAUCUUUGUUUGCACAUGAACGUCGGAAACGGAGGGCGCCUUCUGAACAAUUAUUGCAUGUAUUGUUGCAUUUGAAAUCCAUCCAAUUGCAGCAAAUGAUAUUGAAGAAUUGAAAAACAGAUAAAAUGUUAAUAAAACGCUGACCAGAAGAGGUUUAUGCACCUACAAUAUAUUUUAGGAGAUUUAAAAAUAAUUUUAAAAAGUUAAAAGUUAAAUUUUGAUAUUUGAUAUAUUUUUUUAAAAGUUAUUUUCGGCAAAAUCCCAUAUUCUACAAUAUAUUUUAAAAAGCAGGAAAGAAAUAAUUUUCUAGAAUCACACAUCCUACAAUAGUUUAAUAAUAAGAUUUACCAAAUACAUAUGAUUGCUUUUAAAAACUCACAUCACUUUUAAAAAUAAAUUUUACUAAAUGUUUUACUAAUUCUAUUUACAGCUGAUUAUUUCUAUAACAUAACUAAUAGUAAUUAUUUUAAAAACUAUAACAUUACUAAACUGACACUAAACAUGUAAAUUUAGUAGGGAUUGUCAAUAUUUUGUCUUUUUUAUAUGAAUAAUAUCAUGAUAUUACGUUUUGUUAUAUGUUUUUAAUGUAUGCUUUGAAUUUUUUUAAAAAAUUAAUUAUCAUUUAUGGAUAAUUAAUUUUUUAUAGUAUAAUUUAAAGAUAUAAUUCAAAGAUAUACUAAUUGGAGCUCGAAAAUAUGAUCAUAUAAAUCUUUGAGAGAUUUCUUCCCCCACCUAUAUUUAUGGAAUAUGAAAUAUUUAAGUAAUCUUGUGCACUCAAUUUUUGUUGAAAGAAAGACCCACCCCUAGGUCAGGCUUAGUUAGUAGGGUAUGCUUGAUGAUGCUAUUUGUACAUAAUUGAUAAUACUAUGUUAUUAGUUAAUACAUUGUACAUAAUCCGGUGGGAUAAUCACACUUAAGAGUUAAGACCUGUCAACUUAAUGAUUCAAUUUAUAUAGAGUGUAUAUAUCUGUUAAUGUAAUUAAGUAUGUAAAGUUCUGUGGUAAAUCAUCCCCUUUUCCAUCCUUGUGGGAUGGGGCUAGGGAUUUUGAGUAUUUUUAUAUGCCGUUAUGGAGGUUUUUUCCUUUUUUUUUUUUAAUAUAAAAAUAUCCGGCCAGGUUUAGUUGGAUUUUUAACUGUGAAUACCAAUGCUGCAAGACCCCGUGCCCUUAUAGGUUACAUUAAUUACAAUUAAAAACAAAAAAAAAGGCUUUAGCAAUCUAAUUGCACGAGGCACGUGCCUUAUGAAAUAGCUAGCAUUGAUGUUUGAAUUUUUCUCAAAGUUGAGGGCGAAAACCCUACGCAAUAAGCAAUGAAAUGACACUAACCAAGCAUUCAUUAUCCAUGAAAGAAACCAAAAAUAUUUGUUGGGUAAUCAACGUGAUUGAUGCUAGAAUCGAUAAUGGAAAAAAAAAUGACCUUAACCAAACCUAUGAUUGAGAUAUGACAUCCUACACAUUAUUCAUUCUGAAAACGAUAAUGUUUCUUUUCCAAUUUUCUCGUCCUUUCGAGGCACAUCUAUAAAACAAAACAAAACUUUAAAAAGACUACUCUAUCUUUGAAUUGUUAAUUUUUGCUGCAUAUCUGACAAGUUUUGGCAAUUUUUAUUUUUAUUUUUAGAAGCUUAUGGAUAGAAUUUAUUUUCAAAAUUUAGUUUGAAUGUUGCUCCAAGUUUAUUAUAUCGUGAUCAAGAACUAUUUUCAGCUUAUGUAAUUUUUUUUUCUUUCUAAACAUAGAUAUGUAGAUCGGUCAUUUUAUCAAAUUCUUAUCGUAUAAAGCUGUAGUGUGGAUCCCAUUUGCUUGAUAACUCACUUUCACUGCAAUAGUUGAGUCUAGUGGCUGAACCUUCCUUUUCCUCUCACUAUGUGAGUAACCCUAAUCUUUCUGCUAAAAUUUGUAUACCUAACUCAUAUUCAUAAGCUAAUUUUUAAAUAAGGUAAGCGAUCCUUUAGUCCCCGAGUUUUAAAUCCAUUACUCAAUUAGUCCCUAUAUUUUUAGAAAGAGUUAUUAUCCUUUUACUAUUUAAGUGAUUAAGAAAUGACAUCUAGGUACAACAAUUAUUAUACUCUAAUACUUUACUAUUAAUAAUGUUGAGUAGUUAUGUAUUACAAGUAUGGUACAUUCCGAAUUUCAUAAUUUGACAUAUAGGUGUUCGUUUUCAGUGUAUAAUAUAUCGUGUCAAAGUUUGCAACGAGACGAAUCUAACCCGAAAUUGCUUGUGCCAUUUUGCCUCGGGGUUGAGCCGGAAAUUCUGCUUUUUCCUUAGUUGUUUCCUAAUUUUAAGAUUUUUUCCUAUUUUUCCUGAUUCUUCUAAGAUUUUUAUCUUUUUUUCAAAACCCAGAUUUUAGUAUUGUUUUUUUUUUCUUAUUUUGAUUAGAAGAAUUUAAUUAUCAUAUUAUAUUUCAGAUUUGUCUAUUUUGGUAAAAUUCGCAAUAUUUAAGUUUGUUAUAAAAGGGGCUAAAAAACCUAGUUUAAUUUGUUCAAAAUUUUCAAUAAAAUUUAUCAUUAUUAAGAAACUUUUAUGUCUUCUAUCAAUCUACUUUUAGGGUCUCCGUUUUGUCAAUUAAAAAAAUUACAAAAUCUCACAUUUUACUACUUUCUAAACAUGAUUAUUAGUCGACUGCUAACAUCAUGUUGAUAUAAUAGGGGUAAAAAGUGUCUUUAUACAUAAAAUUACUCCAAAAUUAUAAUUUCAUUAAAUAUAAAGGGUAAAAUUGUCAUUAGAGACAUAAUGAAUUAGAAAUGACUGAAAGAAAAUGUUAAUAUGCUUUGUAUUAAUAUUUUCUAACCUGAUAGUUUUUCAAAGUAAGUGCAAAAUUAGUGACUUAAAGGUGAAAUGUAACGAACAACUAAUAAUAUUAACGACAAAGUAGUAAAAUGUAAGAUAUUAUGAUUCUUUGAUAGUAAAAUGUUAAGGUACAAUACUUGCUGCACCUAAUUGUUAUUUUCUAGUAAUAAAAUAAUAAUAAUAAUAACGCUUUGAAAAUUACCUAAAAGGUUUUUGUCAUUACUCUCAUAGUUGUUAAAUGGUUUUUGUCGUUAUUCUUAUAGUUGCUAAAUUGGACUUUCCAAGGGUUAGUAGUUUUUGUGUCCGAUGAAAAUUAAAAUAAAAAUAAAUUUUAAUGGAAAUGUAUGCACUAUACACCAUAUGGAUGUUUUGGAUAAUUUUAAAUAAAGGAACUAAUUAAAUAAUUCAUUAAAAGCUAAAGAAGCAUUUACACUUUUAAAUACGAGUUAGACAAUGAGCUUCCAAAUGAUUUACCAUAAUUAAAGAGGACAAACUGGAGUUUUUUUCUCCUACACCAUAUGUUGUUCUUUCUUCUAUAUAUGUUUUUUUCUUCUAUAAAUAAGAGUAAAAGAUCAUGAAAUCCUUCACUCUCUCAAAGCUUAAUUAUAUAUAGAAGUUGCAUGUUCUUGUUUUACUAUUAAUGUUUUUCUCUUACAUCUCAUUUUCUUUUGCUGACUUUGUAUUGCAGAUACAACUUGAAAUAAGGUGCAUAUUCCAAUGCCAGGUGAUCUUGUUCUAGUAAGUAAGUUUUAGAACAAUUAAAAGCAAAAUCUUGCUCAAGACCGCGCAAUUUGUUCAUGAAAAACCGCAUCUGGGUAUUGGUUUGUCAUGUAUUUCAUCAGUAUUUACAGAGAGAAGCAAGAAGAAGAAGAAGAAGAAGAAGAAUAGAAGAUUGGAUAAAAAUGGAUGAGCCUAUACCUUGAUGCUGCUGCUCAUGUAUAUAGGCUGCGUGGUCUUGUGCAAGAUUUUACUUGAGAAAAAUAUGCUCACCUCAUUUGCUAUAUAUAUUCAGUAUAAGUUUAGUUAAUUAAAGUUUCAGUGUUAAUUAAAGUUUCAGUGUUUAUUCAGUCAGCUGAUAUAGGUGCUUUUCCCUUUUAAUCUUUUUACUCUUUUUUUAACAUGAAUAUUUACUUGUUUCCAGGUAUUCUGGUGGGAAUUUAUAUCAAGUUUAAUAGAUUUAUGAUAUAAAGAGGUAUAUUUUUACAUGACUAACAAAGUAUAUAUAGGUUAAUUACAAUUACUUCAUUUUGAUACUUUUUCAGCUGUGGCAGCAAUGUGUAAGCGUUUUAUGUUGCUUAAAUGAUAACUAAUUGACAUCUAUCAGAUGCUUUAAUAAAUGCUUUGUUUGAUUUUUGUACACAGGAAAAACAACACCAGUUACCAGUAUAAUUACAUGUAAUUAAUAUAUUAACAAACUAAUUCAUUCGUAUGAUUGGAUAUGCAAUAAAGUUAUUUUGAGUUUAUUGUGCUUAUGCAUUAUAGUUUUCUAAUAUGCAUAUGAAUUGAUAGUAUAUCCACUUGCAGUGCUAAAAUGAAAAUAUAAGACAAAAUUGCAUUAAGACAAAAUUACACAAUUAACAAUUUUACCACUUUAAAAAGAUAAAAUAAAAAUAAUACUUAUGAAAAGUAAUAAACAACAUCCAAACUUAAACUAAUCCAACAUCUAAAAAUUUAAUUAUACAAUCUAACAAUCAAAAUUAAAUCAUUGUGAUACAAUAAUUAAUAAUUAAUAAUUCAUCCAAAACAUAUUAUAUGAUAAAGACAAAUUAAUUUUUGUAAUAAAUGGGUCGAUAAUUAUCUUGAGGUGGUCUAAUACGAAUAUGAUAGGAUUAUUUAUCGUAACAUGUUGUUUCAACUUAUUUAUUAAUUAUGUCAAUAAUCAGGCACGUGGCUUUUGUAUCAUAAAAAAUAUUACCAUCUCUUCGCAUUAGUUACUCUAACUAGUGUAUUUCUAUUUUUUAUUUAUUAAAAUUUAAUUUUAUCUCAUGCAGCCAAAAAAAAGGGGGGAAGAUAGUUAAGAUGGAUAAAAAGAAUUGCCAAAAUUCAUAAUUUUUCUAUGAUAAAACCUAGGGAUGGCAAUGGGGAGGGGAGGGGAGGGGACCAAUCUCCCCAUACCCAUCCCCGAUAUUUUGUUAUGUCCCCGUCCCCUCCCCGUCCCCGUCAGAAUUACUUAAGUGAAUCCCCAUCCCCUCCCCGAAUACUAACAGGGGAUCCCCGAGGGUCCCCGGUCCCCGAAUAAUUAAUAGUCUAAUACAUUUUUUUUUUCGAUUUUAAAUUAAUCAUAUUAAAAUAAAAAAUUCAGAUAAAAAUAAAGUUCAAAAUAUAUCUUGCAUUAAUAUUGAUCCAUUUCAAAGUCACAUUCAAAAAUAUAAAUUAUUAAAAUAAUUAUCUUUGUCAAUGACUCAAUCUUCAUAAUCCUACAAUAAAAAGAAAAAAAAUUAUUUUUAUAUCGACAAUAAAAUAAAUGUAGAUACUUAAUUAAUAUUUUUAAUAAAACUAUUUACCUCCUGCUCCUCCAGUUCUUCCUCGAGAAAUGUGGCAAAUUGAGAGCUAACCUCAGAUUUCAAACCUAAAACAAUGAAAAUGAUAUAAGUAACGUAACUUAUAAGCGCAAAUAUUAAUAACUGUAUAAUAUAAUUACAAUGUAAAAUAAACUCAUACUGCUAUUGUAAGCUCGUAACCAACUUUGACAGCAUAUUAAGGCCUCCAAUGUGCUUGGAUGAAGUUUGUUACGGUGUGAGCUCACAACUCUACCACCGGUGCUAAAAGCUGAUUCAGAAGCAACUGUUGUAAUUGGAAUUGCCAAAAUAUCUCUAGCAAUUCGAGCUAAUGUAGGAUACGAAUUAGGAUUAGAACUGUUGUAAAUUAUAAUUAGGCAGCUCUCUCCUGUAUCAUUGUGGUUUGGAUUAAAAAUUUAAGACUUUAAUUAGUUAAUUAAGUUUAAAAGUUUAAUAAUAUAACUAUUUUAAUAUUUAUUAUUUUUAACAAUAUUUAUAAUUUUGUUAUUUAUUUAUUAGUAAUUUUAAAAAUAAAAAUAAAAUUAAAAAUUAAAAUGGGGAAAUGGGUAGGGGAUGGGGAUUCCACCUCAUCCCCGUCCCCUCCCCGAAUAAAAAAUUGGGUAAAAAAUUUUCCCCGUCCCCUCCCCGAAUAAAAAAUUGGGUAUAAAAUUAUCCCCGUACCCUCCCCGAAUGGGGAAAAUCCCCGAGGGUACCCGUCCCCGUGGGGAUUUUUGCCAUCCCUAAUAAAACCUCUCUAUAAUGAUACUUUAUGUAGGAAUAACCUCCAUAUAAUCAAAAAUAAUUCUGAUUUCAAUUUGGACUAAUUAUAAAUAAAACAUAAAUUCCACAUUAUAAUAAAUUGUAACUUUUCUAGAAUGUGUACAUAACAAAUUACUAGGCAUAAAAUUGUAAUUUGAUUUGGGUAAAUUUCACAUUAUCUACUUGUGAAAUGUCAACUUAUCCUCAUAUCUGUUUAAAAGACACAAAAAAAUAAUGGGGUUUAGGUUGAAAAUCUUUUUAUCUUAUUUAUAAAAGUAGGGUUAGUUCAGAUUUACAAUAAUUUAGAAAAUAUUUAGAAGAUUGUCAUUUUAUCAGAAGAUAAUUCAAAAUUAACUUCUUCUUUUUUUUUACUUUUUAAAUUGUUGAAUAGAGGGCUUUGGAAUUGGAACCACGUAAAAUCAGUUUUAAAAUUAGGAAUGCUAGAAUUAUGAGAGUAAAAAUAAUAAAAUAAAUAAAAAUACAAACAUUAAAAAGUAUGAAAAUCAUUAUUUUAGGCCCAUGGCCUUAUCUCCAAAUUAGGCCCAAUCGUUUUUAUGAUGCUUUUUGGAGGUCCAUACCCGGCCCAAAUUAUUCGUGGGCCCCGCGGGAAUUUAUGCCAUCCCAAAAAACAGAGAAGCUCCGUCCAAAGUGCAGUCCGCCAACUGCCAAGUGAUAAUGGGCGCCAUGACAAGCAUAUAAUCCAGCGACGAAAUCUUCACUGCUUACCAUAAAUAAAUUAUAGUAACAAUAAUUCAACACGUCUCUUUUGCUUAUCUCGAUCUGAUCGAUAAACAUUUUCGUAAAAAAAAAAAGAAUAAUAAACAACAAAUGAUUCAAUUGCGAUUUUUGAAAUCCCCUUUGCUUUCCUCCUCCAACAUUCUUUCCAAUUUUUCUCCGAAACCCAGAACCGGAACCCUUCUUCCUCAUCCCGUCACCAAGUUUAAGCCUCUUUCUCAAAUGGAUUCUUAUUCUACCACUACGACAUCGUCUUCUUCUUCUUCAUCGAAGCUGCUGUUUCGCCAGACGUUUGAGAAGGAAUCCUCCACCUACACUUACCUUCUUGCUGACGUCAAUCAUCCCGAUAAACCAGCUCUGGUUAGUCUCUCUUGUUUGUAAAGAUUUUGCGUUCAAUGGGGGCUGUUUUGGGAAUUUUUUUAUUUUGUAAGUGCUUUUUUUUUUCUUUCUGAAAGCACUUUGUUCAUAAGUGCUUUUUCUGGAAGUACCUUUUUUUUUUUAUGAGUGCUUUGCACACGCGUGUUUUAUAGAAAGAUCUUUAAUAGUGUGGUCGGAGUUUUGUGAUUAUCUUUUGGGAUUGUGUUAAGGGGCGGACCUACAAGAAAAAAUCGUAUACCCCUUAUUUUUUUUACUAAUUUAGUAAAAUAAUAUAUUUUUUAUUUUAUUUUUAUAUAGGUUGCUAACUUAAUUAUACUUAUAUUUUUAUUAAUUUAUUAUAACAAUAAGAUUUUUAUUUUAUAUUCAAAUACGUCCUUACUGAAUUAUUUUUAUAUUUUCAUCAAUGUAAUAUAAUAAUAAAAUUUUUAUUUUUUAUUCAAAUAUGUUCCUAAUUCAAGGCAAAUGCUAUGUUAUAAUUAAUGUAACAUACACACUCAAUAACAACCACACAAAUUAUGUGAGUUUAUUAUUUGUGUGGUUGUUGUUGAGUGUGUAUGUUACAUUAAUUGUAACAUAGGGGCUCCCCUAAUUCAAUUAUCUUUAUAUUUUUAUUAAUUUUAUAUAACAAUAAAAUUUUUAUUUUAUUUACAAAAUUUUUUUAAUUUAUUUAUAUUAUUUUCAAUUAAAAUUAGUGACUUAUUUUAUAAAAUAAUUAAGUUAUAUAUUUAUUGAAUAGAUUGAAAACAUUUGGGAGCUAAAAUUUUAUUAUUGCCUUGAUUUAUUUUUAAAAACUUCUAAUUAAAAAAAAAUCAAUGUAAUAUAAUAUCUUCACUAAUAUUAAAAGUACUUAUAAAAACAAAAUAUAGUAACAACUAUCAAUAUUUUUCAUAAAAUUUUAUAUGAAUUUUUACAUUUUAUUUAUUAGUUAUAUUAAAUAAGAGGACGAGUUAGAAAAUAAAAUUUGAGUAUUUUAAGAAACUUUUGAUAGAAGAAUCAUGAACAUCUAAUUUUUUAAAGGGAGAUAGAGCGCUUGACAAAGAAAUAGUUGCACCCAAACACUUUUUUGUUUCAUUGAAUUUAGUUUAUUAUUGAAACUUUUAAUUAAUAAUACUUUCAUAAUUUGAAAAGAUGAAUAAAUUUUAAUUGUUUAAAUUAUUAAGUUUGAUAAUUUAGUACUUUAUUGCAAAUGUAAAAGUUUUACUUAUUAUUUUUAAUUGAUUGUAAUUACAUGUAUUGAUCUAUUUUAAUUUUAAAUUUUAAAUUGAUUUUUUAAUCCUCAUAUAAUUACAUGUUAUUAUAGGUUGCAAUGUCAUAUUUAUAUAUUGAAAAAUAAUAUUUUCAUAUUUAAGUUGUCUUUUAUUUUUUAUUCUUUUUUUAUAAUUAUUUUUGUUUAUAAUACAUUUUUAGAGGGACAAGGUUCUUAGUGUUCCUCCUUAUUUAAUGUACUUAUUUCUACAUAUAAAUUUUUAUGUUCACUUCAAAAUAUAAAUUUUAAAAUUUAGUCUAGGUAAUAUUAAGUCCUAGGUCCGCCCCUGAUUGUGUUGAAAUAGACAAUUAGAUUUUUGAGACAAAAAAGGCUUCAAAAUCCCGUCUUGGGAAAAAUAGUUUUAAGUGCUUUUUGUAGAAGCACUUUCAAAUUCUGAAUUUUUGGCUUACCCUUAUGCUAGAAUCUUGAAAUGAUGGCAUUUCAUAAAACCAUUUGAUUAGUUUAAUUUCAUGCAGUGAAAAUGCAAAUCCAUAACUUGAAUCCCCUUUAACAUUCAUUUUUAUGCUAAUGUUCAUAUUGAAAUGCCUUUGAAAUGUAUGUUUGUAUUGGAAGUUGAUUGACCCUGUCGACAAGACCGUUGAUAGAGACCUGAAUGUUAUUAAAGAACUGGGAUUGAAGCUUGCAUAUGCCAUGAACACCCAUGUACAUGCUGAUCAUGUCACUGGAACGGGUCUCAUUAAGGUUUGUUAGUAUUCAUUUUCUACCAUUGCUUGUGAAUCUGAUGUCUUAUUUUUACAUGGCUUAAUUGGUGCUUGUUUAUGUACUUGUUUGCUGCAGAGUAAGGUUCCGGGAGUGAAAUCUAUUAUAUCAAAAGCAAGUGGUUCCAAGGCUGAUCUUCAUGUUGAACAUGGGGAUAAAGUCUCUUUCGGUGAUCUCUUCCUUGAGGUAUGUAUAGUUGGUGGCUUCCAAGCUGCACUAAGCAAAUCUUAAAAUUUAUUUCUUAUGGGGAUAAGGUUACUAGCCUGAUAUGAUGUCCUGUUUGCACCAAUCUGUCACAAAAGCAAUAGUUUCCUUUAGGUUUCUUUCCAGUAGGAGCUCAACAGAGUGAAUGACAAAGCAGAUAUGGUUGUGAUGAUGUCUGGAGGAAAGCAUAGAUUGAGGCAUCAGUUGAUAAUUGCCUAAAGUAAUGGCAAAAAACGAUGACAAAAAGGCCUCUCUGCAUCAGAAAGUUUCUCAGAAAUAAAAUUAUUGUACAAGUUCAUUCCUCUGUCUGGACUUUAUUCUAAUAUGAUUACCUAGUUUUGCUGCAGAUAUGAUCUGCUGAGUGUUUUCAGACCUUUAGAAAAUGUGAUACGCAGAAUGGUGUGGAUCUCUGAUCUGGAUUUCUGAUGAUUAAAAUAUUGAGUCCGCAGAGCAAGAAAUCACUUUUCUGGAUAUCUGUUUGCUAAGUAGUUAUCAAACUUAUUUCAUUGAAGAUGGCAUAUGAAUGAUAGAAGUUUUAUGUUUCUGUGAAGAACAAUCAUUGAAAUUAAAUUUGUAAACUACAGGUCGCUGUAUAUGACAUUACUUAUAGAUUUAGUUUUCUGCAAAUUUUGCUGCUUGCUAAAUCAAAUGUAGCUGUGCAGGUUCGUGCUACUCCUGGCCAUACGUUGGGUUGUGUUACCUAUGUUUCUGGUGAAGGACCUGAUCAGCCUCAACCAAGGAUGGCAUUCACUGGAGAUGCCUUACUGAUACGUGGAUGCGGGAGGACUGAUUUUCAGGUAUUGGGUCUUAAAACUACUUGAUCAGGAAAUGAAAAUCUUUUCAGAUAAUUAUUCAUAAAUGUUCAAUUAUCAGAAUCUCACAUAGAGCUGAAAUUUUUUUAAGACAAUAACUGCAUCCUGUUUUAGUCAAAGAAUAAUGGCUGUGCCGUGUGAGUUGGCACAUCUUUCCUAUCAAUUCUGGAAAGAAUAAUGGUUGUGCCGUGUGAGUUGGCACAUCUUUCCUAUCAAUUCUGGAUCAUCCUAAGAUUUUAUGAAGUGUUCUAAUUUUUAUAUCUUCUGUUUGGUAGCUCAUGGAUAAUAAACUAAUGGCUUUUUUUCAUAAAAGGAUGUGGAAUAAACCACUGUGGUGAGUUGUUUUGACAGAAUGCAACUCUUUUAAAAGGGGAUGAUUCAGGUUUUUACAGUGGUGUUUUAUAUUGUUUAACUCCUUCAUAAGCAUUCAAGUACCAUCUGUAGGUUAGUUUGAAACCAUGAGAAAACAACACACUUUAUAGUUGUAAUAUUUUGUUUCUCUUCAGCUGAUCCAUCUUUAUCUUUCCAUUUUGGUGAUUGAUUUUGAAAAGAUGUUUCUUCUUUGGGAUGAUGUUCAUUACAUUAUCAAGCUUCCCUAGUGAUUGAUAAUUUUAUCCCAUAGUGGCAAAUUUAUUAUUGUUAUAUAUUAUCCUGUGUAUUCAAACCAUUUGGAAUACCUACCUGUGAUAUUUCAUUCCACAAGUUUCUUGACUAUCAUAGAUUUUAGGUUCUAACAAUACUCUCCCAUAAGAAAGUUUUGGGGGAUUUUGGGGUAUCAGGAAAGGGAAGAAAGGGCUUAUGUGGUUUUCAUUGCUUCUUUAACAUCUUAUAAAUGAUGGAAGGUGUGCAUAUUUAUUAUUCUUUUGUUUUUAACUCAGACAGAACACCUUCAUGCUUUUUUCUCUUCAUCUUUAAUGAAUGCUUUAUAUGUGGCAAAGAUUUAAUACUUGUUACUUUCUUGAAGGGUGGAAGUUCAAGUCAGCUCUACAAGUCAGUGCAUUCACAGGCAAGGACAUGGGGUUCUGUGAAAAAAAGAACAAGAGUGAAAAAAAAAAAGAAUUUAAUACUUCAAGCCUUCUGUUAAUUGUUACUAACUUUUUUCUUGUGUUUCUAGAUAUUUACUUUGCCGAAGGACACAUUAAUCUACCCGGCUCAUGAUUACAAGGGAUUCACAGUGAGUUAACAGUCAAUGUUGCAUCUUUUAUUUAUAUUUGAAAUAGUCCAAUAACGCGUAAAAGUUGCUUAUACUAUACUGAUAUGAAUUUCAGGUAAGCACAGUGGGAGAGGAGAUUCAGUACAAUCCUCGCCUAACGAAAGAUGAGGUACUUGUUUGGCUAAUGUUGAAUUCUUUUAUUUCUAUGGAUUACUCGUGAUUGCAUUAUCAACUAACUGUUAGAGCCCUUCUAAUUGGGAGGUGGAUUGUCAUUGCUUUUUCCUUAAAAGAGUUUCGGUUAGAUUUUCAUUUUGGGUAUUCUUUUUAUGACAAUACUUUUCACAACAUUUUGCAGGAAACAUUCAAAUCCAUAAUGGAAAGUGAGUAUAUGCAAAUUACAUGUUGAGUUUGAUUUAUCUUAUAUUUAGUUGUAGUCCUUUCUUAAUCUGUAAAACAACUAACAACUGGGACAAAUUUUUUCACUGACAGAUUUAAACCUGUCAUAUCCAAAGAUGAUAGACAUAGCAGUUCCGGCAAAUUUGGUUUGUGGAAUGCAAGAUCUGACCUCCAAAGCCUGAUGAGCUUCCUUGGGCGACGCCCAAAUGGUGAUAACCUCGGUACCUGCUGUUCAAGUUACUCUGUACAAAUGAUAUACAAUGGCUCUUAAUUGGGAUAAUACAAAACAAUAACAAAGAAAAAGUUGUUAAGCACCUACAUAAUGUAUGGAUCAGUGAAAUGAUGAAAAUAAGAUAUAAUUGAAUAUCUUUGUGGGUUGGUGUUGAAUGUCAUAAUUGUCCUGGAAUCUCUGUUGUAGGAAUUGCCUUGGAAUUGUUGGAUAAGGUUUGAGCACUGGAAUUUUGAUGCGUGAAUCCCUUGGCUGGAAAAAUUUAGAUUGAAAUAUAUCUGGCUCAUUCGUCCCAAUAGAGACAAAUUCAUGUACUUUUAAUACUAUGAAGCAUUUGAGGUCCAUGGUUGAGUGCAGCACAUGAAUAGCAGGUCCCUACCAUGUGUUGGAUCCAAUCCCAUUUCCCAAUCCUGCCUUCUUUGGCAAAUCUAUUAAUUCAACUAGCACAAGGCCAACUAGAUUACUUCACUCCUUUGUCCUAGGAGACUGAUUAUUUUAAUUUUUUUAUACAAUAAUUCUCUUCAAAAUAUGGCAAUAUUUUCUUUAAAAGCAUGCAAUAAUUUUACCUAAUUUUCAUCUAAGGUCCUUUUUUUUUGCGUCGGCCUUAGGCCGCAAGUUUUAAAGUUAAAAAAUAGUAUGUAAUCAUAUACUUUCGCAACUAACAAGAUCUCAUUGUGAAAGAUUUUUAUUCUCAAAAGUGAAUAUUUCAAAUGGGUCUAACACAAAUGCUAAACUCAAUAAUCUUAUCCAAAGUUUUGAUAGCAAUUUUUGCCAUGGAUGAAUAAUCAAAGCCAAGGUAACUCCAAUAAACAAAAUAUUUCUUGUGUUUGUAUAACAAUAAAGUUGAUUUUCUUACAAAAAUUGGAAAAUAGACUAAGGUUGGACUUCCAUUCUAAAUUUCAAAUCACCGGAUUGAUUUAUAGAAAAUUUGGUAUAUUUGUGAUUAUCAAUACCAAGAAAUUUAUACAAAUAAAAUUUUCAUGUAAUAAUAAAAAAAAUCAAUAUUUAUUACUUAAAUUUAUUAAGGAUUUCAUUUUGAUGGAAAAAGAAACUACAUUUUUAAAAAUUGCUCUUAAUAUGCUACGUUUACAAAUUCCAAAAUACAUCAACAUUAAUAUCAAAAUUUUUAAUAAAUUUGUCAAAAAAAUUGUUUAAAAUGUAUACAAAUAAAUUUCUAAAAUUUAUUAAAAAAAAUGUUCGUUACAACGUUUUUGGUGAAUUUUGAGAUUAACCAUUUAGAUUUCAAUUUUUUUUAACAAUAUUUUAUAAUAAUAGGAGAAAAGGAAAAGGGAUACUCUUAUUUUAGAAAGAAUAAUGAAUGGCCACACAAAUUCUUUUUGAGAUGCACAAAAUUAUAAUCUUUUUUUUUUUUUUUUGGGGACAAGUCUUCGGCAAUCUGUAUGACUUAUUCAUGAAUGUGAAAAGAGUCAUUAUGUUCCAAACUACGUGAUCAUUUCAUCAAAUCAUGGAUGUUAUUAGUAGUUUUUCCUGAAGAAUUUAAUUUGCCAAACAAAAUCUAAUAACAAAACCAACAAUAAAAACUACAAUAAUACAAUAAAACCUCUCUAUAGUUAUAAUUUUGAAACCAACUAAUUUUAUUAUUAUGAACAGACUAUAACUCAACAGAUAUAUAGUCACAAAAUUAUAUUUUUGACUUAACUAUCCUUAAUGUAAAUAAUAUGCACUACAUUAAUAAUUAGUGUUAAAUUUAACGUAUAGACAUUGAUGAAAAAGAUAGGCAUAAUUUUAAAAACCAGUCCAUACAUUUAUGUACCGUUGGGAGUACGUGAGUUAUUUAAAAAAUUUAAACGUUUUCAUUCUCUUUUAUGUUUCUCUCUUAAUAUAAAUUUUAUAACUACUAUACAAUAAUUUGAUAACAAUUAUAAAAAAAUAACUUAUUGUCUCAAACAAUUUUAGAAAAAAUAUGUUCUCAAUUUUAAACUUUAACCGUAAAACAUUUAUAUAUUUUUUGUAAUAUAUAAAUAAUUAUUUCUAUACAGAAUCAAAUUUCUUAAAAGGAGAUCUAGGCAAAUUUUAAUUUAUUAUAAUAUAACAAUUUAUUCUUACGUAUAAUCCGCUGGAUUGAAAUUGUAAUUAUUUAUAACCACAUUAAGAUUAUUUAAAAACUAUUCAGAUAUUUUACUCUUGACGUGUGCGCAAAUAAUGAAGUUAAAAUGGCAAUAGACAUCACCAUCAGCAAAUGAUCGUACGAAUUGUUAUAUGCUUCAACAGCGUCACACGGAAAUUACAGGACAGCUUCUUGUUCUCUGGCCUCCUCUAAUAACGAAAACUUCAUUGACUUUUGCGUCUUCUCUUUUGCCAAAUCCAAAGAUCCCAAUUCAUCCCAUCAAUCAAGAUCAUGAGUGAAGAUGACAAAAACAGAGCCGUUGUUGUUGGUCAUCAACACCACCAUCACCACCACGAUCAGCAGUCACCACCACCGCCACCGCAACCACCGUCCCAAUUCACCCCACCGGUCAUCACCAUGAGUGAAGACGACAAAAACAGAGCCGCUGUUGUCGGUCAUCAACACCAUCAUCAUCACCCUGAUCAACGGUCACCACCCCCACCACCCCAGUACGGUACGUUUCAAGGCGUAGCCAAUUACCCUCCGCCGCAGCCACCGGCAAUUGGGUUCCCUCAGCCCGUGCCCCCACCUGGCGUUUCCGGCCAAACCUCUUCACAUCUCCACCACCACCAUCAUUCUCCUUACUACCCCCAAGGCUACCAAACUGUUCCAGGUGAAAAUGCGACCAUUUUGGCGAAUAUUUGAUCCAUCGAUUUGUAUUUAAACAAAGUGUAGGGGUGGUCGAUGAUAUUUACCAUUUUUUAUUUAUUUAUUUAUAGGUUAUGCCGUAGCUGAAGGGAGACCAGUGAGAGAGCGUCGCCUUCCUUGCUGUGGUCUUGGUGUUGGCUGGUGCUUGUAAGUAGUUGUUGCUAUUUUUUUAAACUUUUUGUAUAUCAACUCGAUAACAAUGUAAUACUGGGGAUCCAAAUGACUAUCCCUGUAUUUGGGUUCCAUUGUGGCUGCUUAUGUGUAACUGUUACGUCAUGUUAGUCAUUAAGUGUUUAUUAAUUUUUCAUGAAUUAUAGUUUCACCCGUUCCUGAUCAACAUUAAUAACUAAUAUGCUGUAGCAGUGAUAUAAAAUGCCACAUCAAUUGAGAAGCAAACGUUGGGAUAAUGGUUGAGAUCCUAUGGCAUUACUCUUUUGAUGAUCCAUUCAUUUAAUGCUCUUUUUUUUUUUUUUAAAUGAAGGUUUAUUUUGGGUUUCUUCCUUGGUGCCAUCCCAUGGUAUGUUGGGUUAUUUGUGCUGAUGUGUGCAAGGAUUGACAUCCGAGAGAAGCCUGGAUAUAUUGCUUGCACCAUUGCUGUGAGUCACUCUAAACAUAAUUUACUUUUGAGUUUUAAAAAUGGUUGUAUAUUUCGAUCACUGCUAUCACCGAAGUCUCUAUCAUAAUUACGUUGUUACUUACCACACAAAUUUUCGUAAUUUUUUGUUUGUAGUGAGAGUUCGGAGUUAAGUGUCGAAAGGGUGUUCUUAUUCUGUUGUGAAAUUGGCGGAGAUGGUUACUUAUUCCACUUCGUGAUAAAAUCGUUGGUGAUUGCUAUGCUGGAGAUGAAAAUUUAAGUAUUGAAAAUUUGUGUUAGAUCGAUACGAUCAAAUAACCUUUCCUUUCUUAGAACAACGACGUCAUAGAUACCAACAUGUUUGUGUUUAUCAUUCAUUUGGGUUCUCUGUACAUUCCUAUUCCUUAGAGUAAAAGUAUCAGUCUUGCCAGGUUGUUUUUACCGUUGCAUGGUUCUGAUCAAAGUUAUUUUAAUGGAACACUUGAUCAACUUCUCCCAGUUUUAAAUAACGGAACCUGAAUAUCUUUUCAAUUGAUCUUACUUGCUUGUAUGCUCGUACCCAACAAUAGGAAAUGCAGAAUUUAGUACUGUGGAUUUUUUCAGCUCGUGGCUGGAGGCAGUUUUCAGCUUUUUUGUCUGUAAAUUAUUCCAUUAUGUAUUUAGACAGAGAUCAUUAAUUUGAACUGCUAGAGUUCUUUUUCUAUUAUUUUUAACGUGCUCCAGUAAACAGCUGUUGACUUCCAAAACCAUUUUUCAUGAUUGUGUAAGUCUACUGUCCUUUUUGCUAAUACGUUAUCAUAAAAUCCUUCAGUUACAGAGAGGGAGGAGAUAUUGGGAGGGGUGGGGUAAGGAGUGAGAUGAAGCUUGAAAAUAUUUGCUAAUUUGUUCAAGCCUAGGUUCAGGCUUAGCUUGUUUAUAGUUCUGUAAAGGCCAAUGGAAAUUAGGUUUAGAAUUCUGGGGUUUUGUUUGCAAUAAGUUUUCUGUGAAUAGUUGUUAUACCGGGAGGUGCAUACUUGAGUGUAAAACUUCAGUUAUCAAGAAUAUUUUCCUUCAUUUUCUAAUCGAUUUGUCGCUUUUUCCGAUUUUUGUUAAAUGGCCUUGUAGCUUAUGUUUUCGAGCCAUGUUUGAUGCACAUAUUUCAAAUUUGAAUGACAGAAGAUCUGCAAGAUCUUUUCAUCUUUGUUUUGUGGAACCUCCAUUUCUUUUAGCCUCAAUUCUUGCCCUACGCUACUAUAACAGGUGUUUUCUGGCCUUCCUCUUGCAAUGAAGUUUGACUAUGUUAGCUCUGUGCUCGUCUUUUGUGCCAUUUCUGCUUCAAUGUGAUGAGUUCUGUCAAUUUAUUCUUACGCUUGUUUCAUGCAACAGACGUUCUUAAAAUUUUUGAACGGUGAAGGAAACUUCACUGUCAGUAUCAUAAAUACGCUCCUGCAAAACGAUUGUGGGUUUGAACCUGUAAUGUAAUUAACUGGUGGUGAGAGUGCAAACAGUUUACAAGUUUAUGAUGUCUCACAUCUCAUCCAAUUUGCGACAUGCUAAUCCUGCAUCAGAGUGUCUUCAUGUUUUUUUUAGUCAACUAAUGGCAUUUUAUAUGAUCUUGAGAAAAUAUACCUCCGUUUUCCCCGUCUCUUUCCUUCUUGAACCGACGGAAUUGCUUUAAGUGGUAUUUAAUGCUGCUGAAUAUUGGUGACAGAUGCAGAAGCAAAGUUACCUCAAUUAGCAUAGCAAGUUUCAUGGGUGUGAGAUAUGUCAUCUAAAGUUGUACCCUGUCCGAAACAAUUCUCCUUGCAUUAGCUAGCUCUUGUUUUCUGGCCUAGUAGUAAUAUUACCUAAAGUUGUACCUUGUCUUAAACAGUUCUACUUUUUUUUUUUUCCCCCCUCUAUGAAGUUUGGGGUGCAUUCUAUAAUAUUUAGAGUUGCCCCAAAUGGAGAGCUACCAUGUUUCUUCAUCUACACUGCUUAGCUAUUUCUCUAACACAAUGCAAUUUUUGCAGGCUGUUCUUGCUACAAUUGCAAUUAUUCUUGGUGUAACAAAGGGAGCCGAUGAGUGGUAGUUGUACAGGUGAAAAAUGGAUAUACUCAUCUCUGAAGUCCUGAACUGUAUCUGGGGUUUUAAACAUUGUGUGAAAUCGUGAAAGAUCUAGUAAGUCCUUGAAUGUUAAUUAUGGUUAACGGUACUCAACAGAACUGCAGAGACUACAGUGCCAUUUGUUAGUGAUAAUCUUGUUUAUUGAUGGAGUUCUUUGUAUUAUAAGAGAAGAAUAUUUCAGUAUGUGCUUGACUUGUUAAAUUAUGGAAUUAUGAUCAUUUCUUAAUUAUAUGUAUGUUUUUGCAAAUCAUGUGGUACUAAGAUAGUGUUUUGAUUAUGAUAUAAUUGCUUAGGGUUAGGGUUUGAGCUCGACACUUGUACGAAGAAUUGCAGCUACAGAUGAAUCAUGAUUUUAUAUUAUAAACUGUGCAGAAAAUGCUGUGAAAAUCAAUUGGUCCCGUAUAGAAAUGUAUAGUAGUCUUAUUAAUUUGGGGAACUGAAUUAUUAAGUGAAACUAUGUCGCUGUAUUUCAAAUGUAUCUAUUCUCAAUUGAUACACAAAGUUCACUUGCUUUAUUGUGUUUACUUUUCGGAUUACGGAAUCAGAAUCCGAAAUUGAUAACAUUGUUUUCUCUACAAAAUAAAGACGAGAAUUAGAAUUGGAAUCAUAGGGUCCAUACCAAUUUGAGAAUGAGAAAUGAGAAUCUCAUUUCUAAAAUUGAUCAUUUUGUUCUAAUUAAAAUUAUAAUAUGUUGAAAAUAUCCUCAUUUGAAUUAAAAAUUAAAAAUAGCAUAAAAGAAAAACGAUCGAGCUCGUCACUGCCAAAGCUCCCUCACCGUCAUCGAUCGUGGCCUGUGGAGUAGCAGUUGGUCACUAGUCGUCGCGUCAGUGGCAGCAGCAGUCGUGGGCAACAAUCGUCACGUCGUAGAAGUCAAACAACCACCAGGAGCAGUCGUCGUGAACUGAUGAUGAUGAUGCCGAUGAUGAUGAUGUUGCUUCUAAUCUGAUGAUGCUGAUUAUUAUUAUUAUUGAUAAAAGUUUUUAUAAUUAAUGAAUAUAUUAAUGUUAAUAAUAAUAAUAAUAAUUUUUGAUAAAUAAUCAUAAUAAUUAAAAUAUAAAAUGAUAAUUAUGACUAGUAAUUUGUAACAAUUUAACUUAUUUCGUUUUUUAUUUCAAUAAAAAGUAAACAUAUUAGUGGCAAUUUAGUUCAUUUCGAAUCCGAUUCCUAUAGUUCAAGUAAAUAAUUUUUUGUGAUUUUCAUUUCACAUUCUUAUUCCAACCCGUUUUCAUUCUCGUUUAAUAAAUGUACCAUAAAAGUUAGCACUACUAGCAUGUCAUUAUUUACCAUAUCAGUCUACAUCAUUUCACUCAACAAAAGGAUUCUAUUUUACAUAAAAUUUCAGUCACAUCAUGAGAAUAAAAUUACGGGAGUUUGUCAAUUUUUUUUUUAUUAAAAUCAACAUAUAACACUUAUUCCCUAUUGUUAUUGUAGUACUUAAUAAUUUCUCCCACAACAUAAUUUUACAGUAUACCCUUAUUUUAAGUAUAUUUUUAUUCAUAUUUAUUGUAAAUUAAAGAAAUUAUAUAAAUAGGAAUUAAAAUAAAAAAUCAAAUACUAAAAAUAAAAAAUAUAAGUUUUGAUGUGAAUAAAAAAUUAAUAAUAAGAUAUGCUUUUGCUAUUUUUUAUUUUGAACAUUUUUCUUAUAAUAAAUGUAUAUUUUAUAUUCUCAAUAUCAAAUAUCAAUCAAAUGAUCGAUAACUCUUUUUUUUUCUUUAAAUUUUAUUGUGCAAAGAGGUUAUUGAAUAUUAUAAAAAUAAUAUGAGGUAAGUGGUAUAUGUUGAUUUUAAUAAUAGAGAUACCGGCGAUCUGCUUAAAUUAAGUCUAAAAGCCAUCAAUACUCCUAGGUUUCUCAAGUGUAUAGUUUUUGAAAUGGUCAUUCAUGUCUUCAUUUGAAUAAUUAUACCCAAAUAGAAUACAAUUUGGUCAUUGUAAUCGAUGGGCAUAAUUAUCUAAAAAGGAGUUCGUGUGCCCAUGAAUAAACUAAAACUCUAAAAGGGACUUAUAUGGGCAUUUAUAACCUAUUUGGAGCAGCUGCCCCACGUCUAUAAAAGUGGAGAAAUUUUAUCUGAAAUAUAGGAGUUUCUCUCAAAACUAAUUAAAAAUAAAAUUGUUUUAUCAUACAAUUACCCUUAAUCCUUAUUAUAUUAUGCUAUAUUGCUUUAUUAUGACUUUGUAACCAAAUGGAUCCUUCUGAAAAAAAAAAAAAAGAAACAAAUUGGACCAAGGGUUUUGGCACCAAACCCUCAAUGCAAAGCGCCGCAUAUAAACCCCGGUUCCCCUCCUUCACCUGCAGUGAGCCAGCUCUCCUUGGAGGAAAAAUGGUUACCUUCAGGGUAAGUUUUUGAUUCAAUUCCUUUUCUCUUCGUUUAGAGAAAUAGAUUGUUGAAAACGAUGACGUAUUGAUUUGGGUUUCUGUUCGGGGUUGCAGUUUCACCAGUACCAGGUUGUGGGAAGAGCUUUGCCCACAGAAAAGGAUGAGCAUCCCAAGAUUUACAGAAUGAAGCUCUGGGCCACCAACGAGGUUCGUGCCAAAUCCAAGUUCUGGUGAGUAAGGCUUCAUAAUCAUAUCAUUCAUUCAUUUUAUUUCUUAAUGUAAUAAUAGAACCCGGUACAAUUUAUUUUUAUGUUUUGUUAAAUUAGUAAAUGCAGUAUUAAAUUGUCCUAUCAAGAGUUCUCAAAAUUGAUAAUGUAUGGUUUAAAAUCUUUUAUUCUAUGCACAUAUAGAGAUUUGUUGUAGUAAGCACGAUUGCCACAUCUUAUAUUUUAGGCACCCGACUCAUGUGGCAGAGUUGGUCACUUUGUAGUUGUUGUUAUUGCUCUCCUGAACACUUUUCACCAUUACCUGUUGCUCGGGUGUUGAUUUUAAAGAAUUUUUCCUGAGGCUGGAAUUUCCGUAGUGAUUUAAUGACUUUGAUUAUUAUCUUUCGGCUGAUUUAGAAUUUUUUUCUUCAUGAAAUGUGUCUUUUUUGUUUAGUCUCCUUUUUCGGCUGUUAACUUUUAUCUUGUUGUCCUGUUUAGGUAUUUCUUGAGGAAGCUGAAGAAAGUUAAGAAGAGUAAUGGGCAGAUGUUAGCAAUCGAUGAGGUAUGUCUUUGCUGCAUCUUGUUAAAUAUCACUCUUUUUUGUUUAUUACUUCUUGCUAUUGCAUAAGUAUUAGUGAAGAGGGGUCGGCACCUUCCAGUGUGCAGCUUUAGAUUUCCAUCUAAACAACCUUCUCUUUUGGCACUUAAAUGAGUGGGUGUAUUUGAUUUGGUAUUGAUAAUAUCAGAAUGCAUGAAAAUUCAGUGAGCAUGUUACAAGUGCACGACUUCAUAUGACCUUAAUUCUCUUGUUGAAUAGCACAAGCAAAUGAAGUUUGGAUGCAAAUAAAGAGUGUGAAUAUCUUAUAUAUGAGUGUUUCAACUCCUGGUUUAACAUUUUUGACAUGUUUAAAUGCAAUUCUUACAAUUUAAAUGAAUGAUAGUUUCAUAGUGUUUGUGCUGAGAUUACUUGUCUAGUGAGUUGAGGUUGCUGCUUCUUUAAAAUUUUUAUGCAUGGUUUUGUUCAAAUUAAUUCAAUAUUUGGGGACCGCAGAAGUUUUUCUUGAUAGACUGGAUGGAUAUAAGAGGGAUCAUUUUUUGAGAUUUCUUUAACUUGAUUUGUGACUUUGGCAUGGCAUCUGCAAGAACUUUCUGUUUUAGCUUCAGGUAAUAAUUUUCAUGGUAUUCUUUGGGCAGUAAAGUUUUAAAGGCAUUAAAUUUUGAGUUAUUCAAUCUAAGUGAGAGUUAAUAUAUGCUUUCAUGUGAACCGAAGAAGAUGACAUGCAUUGUAGAAAAGUUAAAAAACUUAACAUGUCUCUUAAUGAAAGGUUUCCCAAUUUGCAUAGGUAGUUGCAUACUUGGAAAUCAGUAAUGGAGUUUUUGCCGUUUCCUUUCCAAAUGGAAGUAAGUCUCUUGGCUCUACUUCUUAAAUGGAAAUAACAGAUGUACGACCAUUCUAUUUUUUGUUAUUAUUGAAACGUGAUGGCUAUUAGUUGUGUCUACCUGUGCUGGUCUUCGAAUCAAAGGUUUUAUGUGCACUUUAACAGUCACUCUGAGGAAUUAUAUUAUUGCACCAUUGCAGCAUCCCAUAUGUCAACAUGUUGCUACAACUUCUUUAUGAUUUGUAGUAUAUAUUUAGCAUAUAAUCCUUAGAAGGUGUAUGAGUAUGUCGCUCUUUUUUAAUUUAUAUGGUGGAUUUUUAAGUGCUCUGCUUUAUGCUUUAUGAUAAGAUUAUCUUUGUCUAAUUUCUUUAAUUUGUACUGCAGAUUUUUGAGAAGAAUCCUACCAAAAUUAAGAACUAUGGAAUCUGGUUGCGAUAUCAAAGCCGAACUGGGUAUCACAAUAUGUACAAGGAAUAUCGAGACAUUACUCUUAACGGUGCUGUUGAGCAAAUGUACACUGAGAUGGCUUCUCGUCACCGAGUACGGUCUCCAUGCAUUCAGAUCAUCAGGACAGCCACAAUACCAGCCAAGCUCUGCAAGAGAGAAAGCACAAAGCAGUUCCAUAACUCCAAAAUCAAGUUCCCUUUAGUGUUCAAGAAAGUUAGGCCCCCCACGAGGAAGCUCAAGACCACAUAUAAGGCGUCAAGGCCCAACUUGUUCAUGUAACCUCCUUAAAUGGGCGUCAGUGCUUUGCAUUUUGCAUUCUCUUUUUCCGGCACAAUACGACUGUCUUUUUUAGUUUUUCAUACCAUUUCUUUUACAAGUAUGGUUUCAGAAUCUGAUUAGAAACCUCUGUUGAAUUGUUCUUAACUUAUGAAGUUGCUCACCUUCUUUUGAAAAAGCUGUGACAUUCUUUUCAUCUUUUGUUCUAUUUCUUCAAGUGAAAGGAAAUUUUGAGUAAGUUUUGUGUAGCUACUCGUAUAAAGUUUCUAUAUUGGGGCUUGUAAAGCUUACUAUUUUCAUCUAUUUAUUUUGGUGGCAUUUUUUUUUUGUUUGAAAUUUUAAUAGAUUUGAAUUAAUCUGAAUUAUGAAUAAAACUGAAUAUCUGAAUUUGAAUGAUAUGUUUUUUUUUUUUUGUCUAAAUUGCUUUUAUUUGAAUUGUUAAACAAAUAAUAAACAUCAUAAAAAAUAUAAAUGAGAUAAUAGAUUAUCAUAACAUAAAUUAUAUUCAAUUGAAUACGACUUUUUAGUGUUUUAAAUUAGUAUAUGUUAAUCAAUUUUAUUGUAGUUAAUGAUAUUUUUAUAUGAAAAAUUAUGAAGAUAAAUAAUUUUAAUAUGAAGAAAAUUAAAAAUUAAAAAUUAAAAAUAAUAGUGUACUAUAAAAAUUAAUUAAUUAGAUAGAAAUAUCUUAGAGAAUAUCUUUUAAAAAUAUUAUUAAGACUUUUUAGAUUAAACAAAAAAUUUAAAAAUUAGCUUGAUAAUUGAAUGACUUAGUGAUUGAAAAUUUUCAUUAAGUUGAAAAAAUAAAUGGACUCAAUGAUUUAAAUGAUUAAAAUUAAAUUAAUUAAGCUUAAAAAAAAAAAACAGCCGAUUGGUACACCAUAGUUUGUGACCUUGGUUAUCAUGUUUGAGAAUCGUGGAUUAUAUUCAUGAUAAAGAUAAAUGAAAUAGGAGUAGAGAUGAAGAUGAUAGAUCCAUUGCGUCUUGUCUGUAUCACAAAGCAGAGUUCUAAUCGUUUUGUAUUUCUCUGAAAGCAGACCCCAAAAUUAAGCAGAGCCAUUAAUCCCCAUAACAGUAGAAUUGAAAUUCCGUAUAAGCCAAGACAAAGUGGACCUACAUUCGUGUGAAAGCAGAGCACAUCAUGCUGCUCGAUUGUGCAUUUACGAAAAGGCAUUAUAUUUCCUGGCGUCAUAUGACAGAAUACAGAUCUUGUUUCUAGAUGCUUGCCAUUCAAAUGCAGGUUUAGAUUUUAUUUUACAAACAUUUAUACUUCAAAAUUCUUACUAUAUGAAUUUUAGUUUAUUUUUUAAAAUUAAUCGAUCCCAUACGGUCUAGUUCUAGAACAAUGUCCACAGUUCACAGUCACAUGCAAGCUUGACACGUAUCGUUAACACCGCUUACUGGGGACAAUGUCUUUGUCCGGGGAAAUUCUGAAAUCAUCGAUCCAGAAAACACCUAAUCAAAAACACAUGCAAAGGAAAACGAUUUUCUCAUUCGCUUGAUGACUAUAUAUACCAUUCUCGUUCGUCUCUGCAAAUUUAAACCCACAAAAUCUGUCGGUGUGAAAUGGAGUUGCCUCUGAAAUCCAUAGCUUUGACCAUUGUUAUUGUAACGGUGCUAACAUGGGCAUGGAGAGUGCUGAACUGGGUGUGGCUGAGGCCCAAGAAGCUGGAGAAAUUCCUGAGACAGCAAGGUUUAAAAGGCAAUUCUUACAGGCUUCUGUUUGGUGACUUGAAAGAAAAUUUCAUCGAGUUGAAGGAAGCAAAAGCCAGACCCCUCAGUUUGGAUGACGAUAUUGCUAUUCGUGUCAAUCCAUUCCUUCAUAAACUGGUAAAUGAUUAUGGUAUGUAUGUCAAUCCCGGCGUGUACUCUUUUAACUUUACUCGUUCAAAAGUAUAUUUGUUCUGUUCUGGACUCAAAUGACUCAAAUACGCCACUGCUUAAAGAAUUCAUCCUGUCUGAUGAAAGAAAUUUGAUUAGACUUCUGAUUCAGAAGAGAUGGUUCACGUAAAGAUAAUUCUUGAAACAUAAUUUUGGUGGGUUAAAACAUAAUUUUAUUUUUACGCUUCUUUGAUCAGAGAAAAAAAUCGAUGUUGCAGCUAAACUUCUCUCUCUCUCUUUUUUUCUUUUUAAUUAAGUGGUGAUACUUUACCACUCAGCCUUGACCGAGUGGCUAGAACCACUAUUGUCUUGAUGAGAUAGGCGUGUGGGUGUAAUUCAACCUGUGGAUGGGCUAUGCCACAUGUAAAAUUCCCAGAGGGCAGCGUCGUUGCUUUUGCUGAGUGUUGUCUGAUUAAUUCACUGUUUCAACGCCGUUAGGCUUUUACAUAAUCUUAUGAAAUCGUGCCAUGUUUCUAAUUGUUUACCUUAUAAUGGGCAAAGUUGCUUGUUAGAUCUUUUCUGCUUGAAGUAAAAUCAAUUAGUAUGAAUGGUUAUUCUUUGACUGAUUUGUGAAUAAAAUCACUAAAUUUUUACAGCUUAGGUAUACUACCAUUUUCAAUGUACCAUCUGCCUCUAACAAGUAACAUGUGCAAAUAUUGGUAAAAAAUUUCUGCAGGUAAGAAUUCUUUCAUGUGGUUUGGUCCGACACCAAGGGUGAAUAUUAUGAAUCCUGAUCAAAUAAAAGCGAUAUUUACCAGGAUCAAUGAUUUUCAAAAAGUCAAUUCAAUCCCACUUGCCAGGCUGCUGAUAGUUGGAUUGGCUACCCUUGAGGGGGAGAAGUGGGCUAAACAUAGAAAACUCAUCAACCCAGCCUUCCACCAAGAGAAGCUCAAGGUUUAUUAAUUAACUUCUCCAUUUGUUUACAUAUCUUUGGAAGAUUCGAUUUUGCCCUCAUUUAGAUUUCUUGCUUUUGUUACAGCUUAUGUUGCCAGCAUUCUACUUGAGUUGUAUCGAAAUAAUUACAAAGUGGGAGAAGCAAAUGUCUGUAGAAGGAUCAUCUGAGUUGGAUGUAUGGCCUUAUCUUGCAAAUUUGACAAGUGAUGUGAUUUCUCGAACGGCUUUUGGGAGUAGUUAUGAAGAAGGAAGAAGGAUUUUUCAGCUCCAGGCAGAGCUAGCUGAACUCACAAUGCAGGUCUUUCGUUCAGUUCACAUUCCAGGAUGGAGGUAUAUUCACAUUUCUCUUCACUGGAAACAUUCAUAUAUACAUGUCAUAUAGGAUUAUUUAUGAUUAGGCUUUGAUUAACUUUGCGGGAGUUAUUUUCUUUCGCGCAAAAUAUUAGAAGUAGACCUAGCUGAUUCGGCUCAGAUAUCUUGAUUGUGCUAAUCAUAGAGUUAUUCUAAGAGGCUCCAGCAGAUUUCUGAUUGGUAAAAAGAGGGCAAAAAAAAAUUAAGGGUUUGAUUAGUUUGUUUAGUUCUUGUCUUUUCAGUUGUUUCAUUGCUUAUAUAUAGGUUUUUACCUACAAAGAGAAAUAGGAGAAUGAAAGAAAUUGACAAGGAAAUCCGGGCUUCAUUGAUGGGAAUCAUCAAAAAUAGGGAGAAGGCAAUGAAAGCAGGGGAAGCUGCGAACGAUGACUUGUUAGGCAUACUGAUGGAAACCAGUUUUAGAGAGAUUGAAGAACAUGGAAAUAACAAAAAUGUUGGGUUCAGCAUGAACGAUGUGAUCGAAGAGUGUAAGCUAUUUUACUUUGCCGGCCAAGAGACUACCUCUGUUUUGCUUAAUUGGACGAUGGUCUUAUUGAGCAAGCAUCAAGAUUGGCAAGAACGUGCAAGGCAAGAGGUUUUGCAAGUGUUUGGCAAUAAUAAGCCCAACUAUGAUGGAUUGAAUCACCUCAAAAUUGUAAGUACGAAGGAAAUAGUAUUCGAUAUUGAUCAAUUUGAUCAUAUUAAUCUCAGUUGUGUUUGUAUGUAUGUGACAGGUCCAGAUGAUACUUUACGAGGUACUCAGGCUUUAUCCGCCCGUAACUGCGCUUAGUCGAUCUGUUCUUAAGGAAACGAAACUCGGAAACUUGACAUUACCCGCUGGGGUUCAAAUUGGCUUGCCAAUGAUCCUAGUUCACCAGGAUCCUGAACUUUGGGGUUACGAUGCAGUUGAGUUUAAGCCGGAAAGGUUUGCGGAAGGAAUUUCAAAGGCGGCCAAAAAUCAAGUUUCAUAUUUCCCAUUCGCAUUGGGUCCUAGGAUAUGUGUUGGACAAAAUUUUGCUCUAGUAGAAGCAAAAAUGGCCAUGGCAAUGAUUCUUCAAAACUACUCAUUCGAGUUGUCUCCAUCCUAUGUCCAUGCUCCAACGGCGGUUCCAACCCUUCAUCCGGAACUGGGUACCCAAUUGAUUCUACGGAAACUAAGGUGCAAAAAUAAUUAAUGCCGGCAACUAUAUAUUGUCAAUAAGAUUAGCAUGAUGCCAAUGUAGACUCUUUUAUAAUGAAGUUUAAUGUAUUUAAUUUUGUAUUGAGAUUCAAAGCUUAGACAAGAGCUGUUUAGAUUUUUAAAUUGAGCUCAACACAACUCUAGUUUUAUUUAGAGUAAAGAUGUUUCCCCACAUUGGAAAAUUUUAUAACGCCAUGAUUAGAAUUACAGCAUUAAUGUUGUGGUAAAAAAUAUAUUUUAUAAAAGGCCAAAAGCUUGCUUAGUCCCUACAUUAUGAGCUUAGUGCUCAUUUAAUCUCUAUAUUUUUAAGAAUACCUCAAAACGUCCUUACUAUUAAAUAUUGACAUUUAUACCAUUAUUUUUUUAGCAUGUUUUUACAAUUUUACACUCUUACAGUAAUGUUUCUUUUUUAGAAAUUAAUAAAAAAUUGGAUUAUCAAAUUAAACCCAAAAAUAAAAUAAAAAACAAAAAAGAUAUAUAUUAAUUUUUGUGGAAGCUCAUGUGUGUCCAAAAAAAAAUAAUUUUGUAAAAAAUUAAAUUAUCAAUUUUGUAAAAAAUUAAAUUAUCAAUUUUGUAAAAACUUAAAUUAUCAAUUUUUUUUUAAAAAUUAAUAUUUUAACUUCUCAGCAGAGUGUUCCACAAAAAUUAAUAUAUAUAUUGUUUUUAUUUUAUUUUUUGGUGUUAAACUAGUAAUUUAAUUUUUCUUUUUAAUAAUGUUUAAAAAAGGAACAUUAUUGUAAUAGGGUAAUAUUGUAAAAAUAAGUCAAAAUGAACAAAAGGUAAUGGCAAGGAUGUCAAUAAUUUAAUGAUAGGGAUGUUUUGAGAUGUUUUUAAAAAUAUAAGGACUAAACGGACACUAACCUUAAAAUAUAGGAACUAAACGAACUUUUACCCUUUAUAAAAUUAUACAUAAGAUAAGUGAUUGGAAGAUAAAACAUGUAAAUUAAUAUAAGCCAGUUAAUUAUUAAAACAAUUAACAUGAUUUCUACAUAAUUUUAGUGAAAAAUAAUUUUUUCAUUUACUUUAGCUAAACAAUGAAAUAAAAAUAGUCAUCAAUCUAAGACCAAAAAAAUUAUACUAAAAACAAGUAGAAUAAGUUUUACUGAAUUGGUUUAAGAAUAAAUUCUAUAUUUGUCUUAAGAUAUUUAUAAACUUUUUUUUUUCAUUUUCUAUCAUUGUUUUUUUUUUACUACACAAGUUAACUAAGUGAAAUAAUUUAUCUUAAUGUGGAUUAAACAAAAAAUAAAAUAAAAACAUGUUCUUAUAUUACUAAACACAUAUAUGACAUAUCAAUAAAGUUAGAUUUAAUUUUGAGUUUUACAAGUACUUCUUGUAAUUUUAACCGUGACCCCUUACUUGUAUUUAGAAACUAGUUGCAUUACUGAUGAGGAGAUUUAGAAGGAUGAAAAAUCAUGUCAUCUUACAAUAAAUUCAAAAAACAUUAAAAGAAUAGAUUUCAAAAUCUAAUUUUGAGAAUAAAUUUAUAUAAAACAUCACAUUUAUUACAUAAGACCAAAACUAUCAUUAUUCAAUUUAAAAUAGAAUUAAUAAAUAUAUAAGGUAAUCAAUAUUAUAAUGAGUUUUUAUUUUACAUUUGUAAGUUUUUUUUAAUAACUCUUAUAUUAAUUUUGUAAAUUACACCUAAACUUAUGUUUUAUUUGUACUUAAUAUUGAUUUAUAGUUUUAUAUUAUGUCUUUAAAUUUUUAUUUUGUUCACUACCAAUACAUUAAUUUACCAAUCUUAUAUUAAUUUACUUAUUUUAUCUUUUAUUUACAUGUCUUAUGUUUCAUUUACGCAAUUUAUAUUUUAUUUCACACUAAAUAUUGAUUUAUAAAUUAUAUAUUACAUUUGUAAGUUUUUCUUUUGUUUAUCAAUAAUAUACCAGUUUAUCACUCCUAUUUUAAUUUGUUUGUUUUACCUUCUACUUACAAGUCUAAUAUUUUAUUUACAUAAUUUAUAUGUUAUUUCACAGUUAAUAUUGAUUUACAUGCUUUAUAUUAAAUUUAUAAGUCUUAUGUUUCAUUUACAUAAUUCAUAUUUGAUUACAUAAAUUCAUGACAUCAUCAAGUGACCUUGUACUUUAUAAUCGGGUGAGGCUAUUUAUUUAUAUAUUCUAAAAGUUAUUUUUAAUCCUCUUUAUUUAAUAAAAUUUUAUAUUAUAAAAAUGUCCUUUUAUGAAAUUAGUAUUAAGGAUUGAAUAAUUUUAACUUGAAACAAAUAUCCUUGACACACCCAUGUAUUAUAAAAUCUUAAAUCACCAUCAUCAUCUUCUUCUUCUUCUUUUUAAAUCAAUUUUUUUUCAAUUGGAAAAUUUGAAAGAUUGAAGACUUCUUUGCAAAUUUUUGUCAUGGGUGCACGUAUCCUCACUCUAAUAUCGUUUUCACCAAAUAUAUUUCAUUAACAUCUUCGAAAUAAGAUUAAUGGAAAUUAUAUUUAUGUAACUGAUACCUCAAUGAUAAAUUGUAGCCAAUACAUACUAAAAAUCAAAAUCACAAGAACUAUGAUUCAAUAAAAGAAACGAAGAAUUAUGAUUCAAUAAAAGAAAAAGGGAUAUAUAAUUUAUCUCAAGCCUUUAAUAAGAAGAGAGAAAAUUACUUUAGAAAAAGAAUAAUAAAACAGGAGCCCCCCAAAAAAAAAAUUCAAGACUAUUUUUUAGAUUUAUAUAUUUUACAUAGUAAAAAUUUGAUUUUAAAUUUUAAACGUUGUAUUUGAAAUAAUGAGUGCGCAGGCGGACCUAAGCGGGGGUGUAGCCCGGAUUAGUCCAGGAAAGUUAUUUAUAGCCCUUAUUUUUUUAUUAAUUUUAUAUAAUAAUAUAGUUUUAUUUUUUUUCAUAUUUGUCCCUAAUUUAACUACCCUUAUGUUUUUUUUUAUCAAUUUUAUAAAAUAAUACAGUUUUUAUUUUAUUUUCAAAUAUGUUCCUAAUUCAAUUAUAUUUUCUUCCCAAUUGGAAUUAGUGACUUAUUUCAUGAAAUAAUUAAAUUAUAUAUUUAUUGAAUAAAUUGAAAAGAUUUGGGAGCUAAAAUAUUAUUACUGUUUUAAUUUAUUUAUAAAAAUAAUUUAAUUGAAAAAAUGCCAAUACUUACAAAAACAAAAUAUAGUAACAACUAUAUAUCAACAUUUCUUAACUUUUAUGUGAAUUUUGAGAUUUUAGUUAUUAGUUACAUUAACCAAGAGGAUAAGUUAUAAGAUAAAAUUUAAAUAUUUUGAGGAGUUUUUGAUAGAAAAACCGUCAACAGUAGGUUCUUUAAAAAAAAGGUAGAGUGUAUGACAAAGAAACAAUGAUACCCAAAUAACUUUAUGUUAAGUUGAGUUUAGUUUAUUAUUAAAACUUUUGACUAAUAAUAUUUUAAAAUUUAAAAAGACGAAUAAAUUUUAAUUGUUUAAUUUAUUUAAGCUUGGUAAUUAAGUACUUGACUUCAAAUAUAAAAGUUUUACUACCAUUUUUAAUAAAUUGUGAUUACAUGUAUAGAUUUAUUUUAGCUUGAAAUUCUCAAUUGAUUUACUUAAAGGUUUUAUUGAGGACUUUUUUAGUAUUUUAAAAAGUGUGCAGAGUUAAAGAGAGUAGCUUUUUCAGUAUUUUAUGAGAUCGUGGCUGCAGCUGUUAAGAGAGUAGCUUUAAAAGGAAAUGUGGCAAACAUGGAGGCAGAAGCAGUGCUGCUUGGUAUUCAAGUAGCUCAGAAAACAAAUUGUACCCUAUUCAUUGUCGAAUCAGACUUGAAGGAAGUUGUGGAGCUCACUUUAAACAAGAAGGAAAGUUUAGCUAAAAUUUGUUGGAACAUUGAAGAAAUACAAGCAGAGUUGAAAAACCAGGCCUCGGCAGCUAUUCGUUUUGUCCCAAGAAAGUGUAAUGUAAUAGCCCAUAACUUAGCUAAUGUAGCUCUUGAGUUUGAGGAUCCUAUCUAUCACAUGGAUAGGUGAUUUCCCUGUCCAGCUGUUGAUGUUGUUCUCUUCUUCUUAAUCAAUUGAAUGCUUUACUUUCUCAUAGAAAAAAAAAGAGUGUGUGCAGAGUAAAAAUUAAUUAUUUUAAAGAGUGAGUAUAUUUGAACCCACCAAAUUACUUUGUAAACUCAUCUACUUAUUAAUUCUAUUGUUAAAAAUUUUAUAUUAUACUUUAUAAACCCAUGUUAAUAACCAACAUAUCCUUGAAAUUAAUUCAUGAUUUUCUGCAACAUUUUUCUUCUCUUCUUCUUCUUCCAUCUCUCCAACCCUUGGCGCAUUCAUAACCAAAGGUCGUAUCCUUCAACUUCUCAAGUGGAAUUUAUUUUUUGUCCGCGCUUGUCAUUAAACUAUUAUAAAGUAUAUAUAAUAUCAUGAAAAAAUUAAAUGACAAUAAGAUGAUAGUUGUAAUCAAUAAUCAAUUGAUUACACAACUAAUUCAAACGCUCAAUAUUUGUCAAUGGCAUAACUCUUCCCUUUCUUAUACAGUGCAAAUUUAAUGAAAUAAAUUUUAGGGAAAUUAUCAGCCAUAUACCUUUAAAUGACACCCGCAUCAAACGUGUGUGAACACUUUUCAAGUGUAUUACUCGUAUAUCCUAAGUUGACAAAAUACUUCUGACAUCCAACAAUCUGUUAACUUUCGUUAGAAAGUUAACAGAAUUGUGACAAAUUGACUAUUUUGCCUUUGAAACUCAAAAUAAGGUAAAAAGAUAAAUUUACUUCAAAAGUUAACGUAAAUUUUCAAUACACAAUUUUUUUUAUUUUGUUAUUAACAAUACAUUUUUUUGAUUAAAAAAUGAAUUAUUAAUGGUAUAUAUUAUUAACAAUUAUUCAUAAAAAAAAUCCAUAUUAUACCAUAAUAAAUUAUUAACAACAUAUUAUUUACACUUAUACAUAUUAUACCAUAAAAAUUUCCAAUUGGAGCUUGGAGGAGUGGAUUUUCAAAAAUUUAGGUUAAAUUUUGGAGGAGUAGAUUCGGUUGUAAAGUAGUUUUUUUUAGCAAUUAUUAAAAAUUAUCCGAUAAAUGGGAUGACAUGUCAUUGUUAUCAAUAUAUAUCAUAUGAUAUGUCAUUUUUUACUAGGUAAAUGGGAUGACAUGUCGUUUUUUAAUCAAAGUUUUGUCAAUCUUAAAAGACUAAAUUACCCUUAUGAUGUCAACACUUGCAAAAAGAAGUUAACGGAUUGGUGGACGGAAGAAGUGUUUUAUCAACUUAGGGUACACGAGUGAUACACUUAAAAAGUGUUCACACAUGUUUGAUACAGGUGUCAUUUAAGAGUAUAUGACUGAUAAUUUUCUUAAAUUUUAUUGCUUGAAUCUAAAAUAUCUUGACUAGAACUUAUUGGUUUAUUGGAUUCCAAUGAGCUUUACUGGUGAGAUAGUUUUGACCAAAUCCAAGUAUCCAACAACUUGAUUGGAUUUGUUUUCGACCAAAGGAGUUGAAGAAAAUUUAAAAAAAAAAUUAAAAGUAUGAAACAAAUUUUCUCUUAUGUCUACAUUGAACAGAUUUAGACAUGAUUAAAAGAUGAGAGCAUGAAGUAUAUACAUACUAUUAUGUCUUUAAUAGUAAUUUACGUUAGAGAUAAUUUAGUAGUAAAAAUGUUUUCUAAAAAGUGGUUCAAAUGAGUAUUAUGGUGGAUUCAAAUAGUCCCACCAUUUUUCAAAAGAUUAGGUUAUUUAUACUCCAAAAAUUACUUUGAACACUUUAUUACUCUGUACAAUCAUGUGCUGGAUUUAAAAUAAUUAAAUUUUACUUUCUACACUCUUUAAAAUACAAAAAAAAGACCUUAGUUAAACUAGUUAAACUAAUUUACUCAAAACACCAAUUAAACUAUUGAGCAUCCAAAAUGAAUUAAUAACAACUUAGUAUAUACACAAAGGAAUCAAAUUAUAUUCUAAACAUAUUCUUUGUUAGCUUUUGUCUAUUAAAGAAUGUAUUCAAUAUUAGUUUUUGCACCCAAUUUUUUAACCAAACAAUUGAAAAAAAUUUUGCCAUCUAGCCCCCCAAAAAAAAAAAAGAAAAAGAAAGAAAAAAGGAAAAAAAGAGGAAGAAGAAAUAGACGAAGAAAAAGAAGACUAAAAGAAGGAUGAGGAAGAGGAAGAAGACUGCAAUUUUUUUUUUCUUCUGAAAAUCAAAGAGUAAAAAUAUGCUCAAAAUAUAUUAAAAGUAUUGAUUUGCUCUUUGUUUAACUAAAUAUUGUUUAAGUUAUUGGAUUUAAAUUUUUUCGGGUUUAUGGCAAGAUAAUCAUAUAUUGAAUAGCGAGUGUUUGGAGUAAUUUUAUUAUGUUAGUUUAUAAGAGAGAUUCCAUAUUAGUAAUUCAUAUAAUAGGUGUUUUUGUAAUAAAAUAAUUUAUUAAAAUAAGAAUAUUCAUAGUAAUGUUAAGAGUGCAAAUAGCCCCACCUUUUUUAUAAAAUAAGUAAAUGAGUAUACAUAAAUAAUAGUAUAUUUUGAGUAUUUUUUCAAGCGCAAAUAGGCCCACCAUGCAUAAUUUAUUUAGAUGAGUUUUAUUUUAUUUAUUUUUUGUUAACUUCAGUUAUCUCUAAAUUAUCGUAAACCUUAAUUUACCCUAAUGAUCAUUCAAAAAAUACGAUCAAAUGGGAACAAUAGAUGAUUUCUUUUUUCUUUUUUUACCUUCUUAAUAGUAAUUGUGGAUUGAUUAAUGUUUAUUAUAGUUUGAGGAUAUUUUGAGAAUAAUUAAUGUAUUAGGGGUAAACAAUUUUUUUUUUUUCAAAUAAUUAACCGAACUUACAUUCUCUAGUUCUAUAGAAGACAGUCAAUGAGUGACAAGUCCACAAAGAUCACCACAUGCAUGAUUGAUAUUGACACGUGUACCAUUAGCUGGAGACAAUAUAAUGGUACAGGAAGAUUCGAAACAAAGAAAAGCCAUUAAACAUAUGCAAACGAAAAUAUGUUUUUAAUUCACUUUCAACUAAUCUACCACGUAGGCAAGUCUCAUUUCUUUGAACACUUCAAAAAUCUCUGUGUGUGAAAUGGAAUUGCCCCUGAAAUCCAUAGACCUGACCAUUGUUAUCGUAACAGUGGGAACUGGGCAUGGAGAGUGCUGAACUGGGUGUGGCUGAGGGGCCCAAGAAGCUGGAGAAAUUCCUGAGACAGCAAAGGUUUCAAAGGCAAUUCUUGCAGGCUUCUGUUUGGUGACUUGAAAGAAAGUUUAGACGAUAAUAUCUCGACUGGAUUGUGCCAUUAUUAAUCAAACUAAUUCAGUUUGCACAAUUGUAGAGCUGAUAUAAGUAGAAGAAAUCCAAAUAGACUUCUCGUUAUAAAUGUAGUUAGUAGAGAUCAUACACAUCAAGAUAAUUCUUGAAUAUUUUUAUGGGUUAAAACGUAAUUUUAUUUUUAUUAAUGAAGAAAAUAUGUAUGGUGUUGAAACAUUUAAGCUAUGUUGUUUGCGAGACCAAUAAUUUUCUUGAUAUCAUGGGCUAAUGGGUGUAACUCAAGCUGUGGUAAGUUAUGCCACGAGCAAAAUAACCAGAGCUUAAAAAUUGAUGCAGGCAAUAAUUCAUUUAUGUGGUUCGGUCCGACACGAAGGUUGAAUAUUGUGAAGCCCGAUCAAAUCAAAGAGAUAUCUACCAAGAUCAAUGAUUUUCAAAAAAUCAAUUCAGAUCCACUUGCCAGAUUAUUGGCACUUGCAUUGGUUAGCCAUGAGGUGACAAGUGGGUUAAUAUAGAAAUCUUAUCAACUAGGUCCACCAAGAGAAGCUCUAGGUUAUUAAUUGAUUUCUUCAUUUGUUUACAUAAAUGUCUUCAUUUUAAUUUCUUUCUGUUUCGUUUCAACUUAUGUUGCCUGCGUUCUACCAAAGUUGUAGUGAAAUAAUUACAAAGUGGGAGAACCUGACGUCUAAAGGAGGAUCAUGUGAGUUGGGUGUACGGCCUUCUCUUGCAAAAUUAACUAGUGAUGUGCUUCCUAGGACGGCUUCUGGGAGCAAUUAGCAAUGUAGGAGUUGAUUUUCUUCAAAUAUUAUGGAAGUAGGUUUGGACCAUCCUGGGCUUAUUACUUCGAUCCAUGUCAUCAUAUAUUUAAUCUAAGAUGUUAAUCAUAUUGUUGAAAUCGAUAAGUAGGACUUGAUUAGUGCAUUCAAUACGUUCUUGUAUUUUCUAUUGUUCUUAUUUCUUAUGGGCAGGCAUGUACCUUCAGAGAGAAAUAAGAGAAUGAAGGAAAUUGACAAGCAAAUACGAGCUUCACUGAUGGGAAUCACAAAAAACAGAUAGAAGGCAAUGAAAGCAGAGGAAGCUGGAAAUGAUGACUUGGCAUACUGAUGGAGACCAAUUUUAGAGAAAUUGAAGAACUUGGAAACAACAAAAAUGUUGGAAUAAGCUUUAACGAUGUGAUCGAAAAGUGCAAGCUAUUUUACUUUGCUGGCCAAGAGACUACCUCUGUUUUGCUUAAUUGGACAAUGUUGCUAUUGAGCAAGCAUCAAGAUUGACAAGUGUUGAGUGUUAGAAAAUGUAUAUUAAUAAAGGAGAAAAUCGUCAUUUUACACUUCAAGUCUCACUAACAUCCUUACUUUUCUAUAAUUAAGUCCCUUGUGAUUUAAUUAUGUGUGUUUUAUUUUAAUGAAGUAUUUUAUGUAUUUUAGGGGCAGCAUGGUCAUUUCACAAUUAACGAAAGAUUAGAGAGCAAAACAUAUAGCAAUUUUGGAGUCAGGACAGUCAAAAGCCUUAGGAGGAGCAUACAAGGAUAAAUAUUACUGUUCAUAUGUACGGUACUAUACAUGAUACUAUUCACGACGUUGUUCACAUAUACGGUAUGAUGACAUGUCAUUGACCGAUGACGUGGCAUUGACCAAUGAUGUGGCACAGACCGAUGAUGUGACAGUAUCGAUUGGACGAGUGAUGUGGCAUUAACUGCUUAUGUGGCGGUGACUGAUGAAUUGGCGUUGACCGAUGAUAUGUCACGAUCCUAUUGGCUAAAAUAUUGAUGUGGUGUUGACCGGUGACGUGGUAGUAUGUUAGUGGAGAAAAAAACGUGCAUACGGUACAUGCAUAUACACAGAAUAACAGCCCUGAUGAGGUGUUCUAUCCAAUCAGAACUUGCCACGUGGCGCAAUCCUUAGCAUCUAAAUUUUUUUAAUUUGAUGGCCAUAAUUUACUCAUUGUAUCUAUAAAAUGGGAGUUCUCCCCCCUAAUUCUAGACCCUUGAAUUCAUUUUUGAGCUCCAUUUUCUGUAAUUCAUUAUUUAUCUUGUAUUUUAUAUAUAUUUUAAUAAAUUUCAUUUUACCCCUAAUUUAAUUAUGAGUAACUAAUUUUCUUUCAAGCUUGGGUUGAAGGUGAAGUCUCAAUAUGUUCCCUGGUUUUUUUUUUGGUAAAUUUAAUUUUUCUUUUUGACUUUUUGUCGACAGAUAGUAAUAAUCUUGUCUAGAUACCGCACUGGUAUAACUGGCUCCCAAGUGUAGUGUUAUUACUAUUUGGCACGAUAAGUCAUUAACACCAUAUUAAUUAGAGUGUGGUUUAUAAGGAGUGGAAACCCCCCUCAUGAUUUAAUUGGCACUAAUAAAGAAUAUUAAGCCCAUAGUGCAUGUUGAUGCAGAUCCAGAUACCCAAGCAUUUCAUUUUAACAGAUUUUACUUCAAUUUAUUCUCUCCAUUUUAAUUUGAAAUAAUCUAAAUCACUUCUACCACAAAUCCAAUCACCCACUUAGAAAAUUAACUCUAUACACAAUUAAAAUCCACCUUCUCGUGGGAUCGACGCUCAUCACCAUUGAUAUAUUCUACAAUAGAUUCGUGCACUUGCGAGUUCAAUAAAAUUUACAUAACAACAAUAACGUGCAAGAAAAGAGGUUUUGCAAGUUUUUGGCAAUAAUAAGAGUGAUUAUGAUGGAUUGAAUCACCUCAAAAUUGUAAGUACAAAUGAAAUUGAGUUGAAAUAUGCUUUACUAUAGUUGAUAAAUUUUGGUCGUAUUAAUUUGCGUUUUGUGUGCAUAUCUUACACGUUCAAAUGAUAUUCUACAAGGUACCCACGCUUUAUCCCCCAGUAGUUAUACAGGCCGAGCAAUCAGAAUUUUAGGAUGAAAAACAAUGAAAUUUGGAUGAAAACAACAAACAUUUAAGGUGGGCGAUAGCACUGUCCUUAAGAUGCCUCAAGAUGCAAUAUCUCGGUGCAAGAAGGGCUAACAAAAGUAGUUUGAUCUCCACUAUACAAUUUCUACUAUUGUGAUGUUGCACUUGAACAUGAUAAUCUAGAACAACAAAAUGUAUAAUGACGAAAGAAAGGAAAACAUAGAGCAAGAGAGUAAGUUUUCGGAUGACCAUAGUGUGAUCUAUUUGGCUCUUUAAAUAGAUACAAGCCCUAACCCAUUUUUCCUCUCUAAAUUGGAAUUAUAAUUAUAUUUAUUAAAUCCUAAUUCGAUUAGGAAUUGAAUUCUCAAUCUAAUUCGAAUUAAAAUAAAUAAAAUUAAAACAAAGGACAAAAACAUAAUAGAUGGCCAAGCCCUCACAUAUACAUGAAACCCCAUGGGGGGGAGAGGGUCCCCCUUGCGAGUGAGUUAUUGGGUAUGAGCGACCAAUUAAUAGAGUCAUGGAAUGAGCUCUUCUCAUGGGCUUGGUUUCAUGCAAAUGGGCCUCCUCUUCAUAGGCAUGUUACUGCACUUUAUUUGGUUUCUAUAUAAAAAUCAACUUAUACUCUCUUAUUUAAGUAAUGUGGGAUAUUGGUAUUUUAAAAUACCAACUCAAUCUUUAACAAUCCUCCACAUAUUUCAAAAUACUCAAUUUCUUUCGACUUCAUCAUAGUCCAUAGAGUUUAAUGCAUAUGAACUGGUGCCUUUUGGCCAAUGAACUAGCCAUUGAAUACCUAACCAUGUCUCAUAGGAACUUGGUGAAACUGAUAAUUUCUAUAAACCAAUAUUCUCUUUUUUUUUGUAAGACAGAGGACUAGAAGCUCAUAUUAAACUCUCUCAAUGUUUUGUUGUUUUGCGAUUUGGCACUUUAGUAGCCAUGUGCCCUUGUUUUCAUGAGCACUCUAGAGAAGCAUGUUUAACUCUCAUAGGAACUUACCCAAUUCUACACUAACAUAGGUGAACCUCCAUCAAGUAUGUCAUGCAGUUUUGACACACCAUCAUAUAUAAAAAGUGAGUUAUGAAGUUUAUUAAAAGCUCAAUUGCUUAACCUAAAUCACUGCGAUAAACAUUAUCUUGUUCUAGGGAGGAUUUACAAAUAAAGAAAAUAUUUAUAGAAUAAAAAUAAGAUUACAUAAUAUUGAUAAUAAAUAUAAGAUUACAUAAUAUUGAUAGUGUUACAAAACAACAAGUAACUUAUUAAACGUUCUUCAUGGGAUCUCCAAUCACACAGGUAGAGUUACCAUCACUCUUGUCUUUUGAUCUAGACAGUAGUCCCAUCUCCCUUGAUGUGAUCUCUACUUAACUCUUGUUUAGUGUUUUUGGUAGAGGAUUGGUCAAAUUCAACUUUGUCCUUACAAAAUUUAGGCUCAUAAUAUUUGAUUCCAAUAGCUACUUAACGAUACGAUGUCUCAUAAUGUGUAUACUCUUCUUAUUAUAUAUGUCACUUAUAGCUCUUACAGUAGCAACUUGACAAUCACAAUGGAUUGGCGUAGUAGUAGGAUGGUGAGCAAACAUGGGAAGAUUUUCCAAAAGGUUUCGCAACCACUCAGCCUCAAAACAUAUUUUCUCUAAAGCAAUUAGCUUGAAUUCCAUGGUAGAGCAAGCUAUACAUGUUUGCUUGGAUGAUUUCUAAGAUACUGCACCUUUAUCAAGCAUGAAAAUAUAACCUAGUGGAUUUGAGCUUAUUUGAUCAGAGAUCCAAUUUGCAUCACUAUACACUUCAAGUACUUAUGGAGAUCUACCAUAUUUAAGCCUAUAAUCAAUGGUUCCUCUUAAAUAUCUAGCAAUUCUAGCUACUGUAGUCAAGUGAUAGUCGUCAGGUUUUCUACAAUUCAUCAAGUACAUUAGGUUACCAAUUAUUUGGGCAUACAUCACUUGAUCAACACUAUGUUAGGUAUUCUUCUUUAUGUGGGUAUUAUUAUCAUACGUGGAAGGGACAUUGUUUUGCAAUCAUAAUACUUAAAUCUUGUUAACAGUUUUUCAACAUAAUGUUCUUGCAAUAACAUGAGACCAUCACAAACUUUUAUAAUUUUGAUGCUUAAAAUAACAUUUUCCUCUAUCAUAUCUUUCAUAUCAAAAUUAGAUUCAAGCAUCUCCUUAAUCUCAUUAAUAGUUCCAACAUUAGAACUUAAAAUAAGCAUGUCAUCAAUAUAGAGACAUAUGAUGAGAAAAACAUAAGUGUUUAUAGAUUUAGAACAUAUACUUUUGUCUAAAUCAUUAAUCGUAUAUCCAUUGGACAAUAAUACUUGAUCAAAUGUCUCAUGCCAUUGUUUCGGUACUUGUUUUAAGCCAUAUAGAGGCAUAACCAACUUGCACACUUUAUGCUAGAACCUAACAACCUUCAGGUUGAUCUAGAUAGAAACUCCUCAUCUAAGUUUGCAUUGAGAAAGACAAUUUUAACAUUUAUUUGACGCACAUGUAGAAUAUGAAUUGAUGUAAGAGCAAUCAAAACUCUAAUAGAUGCAAUCCGAGUUACAGGAGCAUAUGUGUCAAAAUAAUCUAUAUCUUUCUUCUAUAUGAAUCCCUUGGCCAUCAAUCUUGCUUUAUAUUUAUCAAUAUAUCCAUCAACUUUUAAUUUCUUUUUGAAAAUUCACUUGCACCCAAUAGGUUUUAUACCUAGAGGUAUGUCAACUAAUUCUCAUACACGAUUGCUCAUUAUAGAAUUUAGUUCAUUGUUGAUAGCUUCUUUCCACUAUAGUGCAUCUCGAGAAAUCAUAGUUUUUGUGAAAGUCUGAGGAUCAUUUUCCGCAAGAAAGAUAUAGAAAUCAUCCUGAUGCAUUUUCUUAGUUCCACAUUUGAACUUUCAGAAGAAUUAAUUGUUGAUUCAGUAUAGGAUAGUUGUUUCUCCAUGCUAGUUUUUUAAGAAAAAUAGAUUCAAAGAACUUAGCAUUCUUGGAUUCAAUGAUGGUAUUAGCCUCAAAUGAGAUACCUUAAUCUUGUAACACCAAGAACCUAUAGGCAACACUCUUGUGGGCAUACUCUAUAAACAUACAGUUGAUAGUUUUUUGUCCUAAUCUUAUUCUUUUGGGAUCCAUUUUAAGAACUUCGGCUAGACACCCCCAUAUUUUAAGGUGUGAUAAGUUAUGCUUAUAGCCUUUUCAUAAUUCAUAGGGUGUCUUACCUAUUUCCUUAUAAGGUAUUUUGUUUUGAAUAUGACAAGCAGAUAACAUAACUUCCUCCCACAAAUUCAGCAGUGCCCCAUAACUUAUUAUCAUGGCAUUUACCAUGUUUUUCAAAGUUUUGUUUUACCUUUUAGCUAUACCAUUAUAUUCAAGUGAAUAGGGAGGUAUCACUUCAUGGAUGAUACAAUGAUUCUCACAAUAAACAUUUAACAUGCUUGAAUCAUAUUCACCUCCUUUAUUAGUUCUUGAUCUUUUAAUUGUCUUAUUAAAUUGAUCUUCAACUUCACUUUUAUAGACUAAGAAAUUUUCACCUGCUUUAUUUUUAUUUCUUAAUAGAUAUAAUUUUGUAUAUCUCAAAAACUCAUCAAUAAAAGUAAUAUAAUACAUUUUGUCUCUUCUGAUCAUAGAUUGUUUCAAAUCAUCAAGGUCACUGUGAAUUAAAUUGAGAAGUUCGGUUUCUCUAUAUUGAACUUAUCUACAUGUCUUCUUAGUGGAUUUGGCUUCAACACACACCUUGCAUUUGUCAUUAGAUAAGCUCAAAUUAGACUGUAAACCAAGUUCUCUCAUUUUAUUAAUAUAAGAAAAAUUCAUAUGACUAAGUCUCCUAUGCCAAAAUCAAUAAAGUCAACUACACAAGCAGAAGAAGAAGCCUUUUCAUUUAUUAUAAUAUUGGAUACAUAAAGUUUCAAGAGUUCUCUAGAACAAUACCCUUUUUGUCAUUACAAUUUUAUCACCCUCAAAGGAGACUUUGAACCUAGUUUUGCCCGCAUAAAAACAAAUAAUAGAUUGUAUCUAAUCUCAGGAACAUGGAGUACAUUACUCAAUGAGAGGUUUUUCCAAGAUGUAAGCUUGAGAAGAAUUUUACCUUUGCUUGGGAUUGAAGUAGAUCGAGAAUCACCAACUUAAAUAACUUGCUCUCCCUCCCGCACUAGAUUUAGUCAAAGAAAGAGUGUUUAUUGUUAUAUAUAUGUCUAGUAGCUCCAGAAACAAUCACCCAAUCUUUUCUUCUAUUUACCAUGUUCACAUCAGAGACAACUACAGCAGCAAUGAUGUCAUCUCCUUUUCCUUCAAUCAUAGGCUUUAGGAGGUUUUUUGCUAUCUUCAUUUCUCAUAGCUUUAUGCUUGCAUUGAUUAGCAUAAUACCUACUUUUUCGACAAACAAAACAAUGACCUUUCUUCUUAGCAAUGAGCCUUUUGGAGUUAUUAAGGUGUUUAUUAUUAAGAUUGUUCUGCUUUUUAUUAGGUUGAGGAGUGUUCUCUAUUAGAUUUGGAUUGGAAUAAAAUUCCUUUACUUUAUCGAAUGCAUCUCUAAUUAUGUUCUUCUCUUCAAUCUUAAUAUAUAUAAUAGCAUUUUCAAGACUCACUUGCUUCUUCUUAUGCUUUGAGGUUUUAAUAUUGUUGAGUUCUAACAUUUUUAACCAUUUUUUUCUUAAGUAGUGCCCAUAUCUCAAACGCAUUCUUAUAUUAAUAGUAAACAUCGAAGGUAGAACUAGCAAGAGUGUUCAAUAUUGUGUACUUGUAGACCUUGUUACAAAUAUUCUAAUUCUGGAGUUUCUUGUCAUUAUCUUCAGUGCCCUCUUUUAGUGGUGAUGACUGUAGAUAGUCAGUCAGGUCAUGAACAUCUAAUACAUCAAAGAGCUUUACUUGCCAGUGCUUAAAAUUUUUGCCAUUGAACAAUUCAAUCUUGGAGGUAUUUGGCAAGUUUUUUUUUCCUAGUGAUUAUAGUGGAAGCAACUGCUAGAAGAUCGGCAGUGGGAACAAUAAGUCCAGAGGCUGAGGGAGCAUCAUGUCCAACAACUAAUGAAGACAAAUUUUGUGGUUGAAUAUCACUCAUAUUUGAUCUUAAGAUUGUUGGAAUUUUAGGACAAAAAAAUUGUGAAAUGUGGAUGAAAAAUAGCAAAGAGUAAAGGCGUACGAUAACAUUUUCCUUAAGAUCAAAAUGUGCAUCUCAACAUGCAAUAUCUCAGUGCAAGAGGAAGUGAUGAAAGUGAUUUAAUCUCGAUGUUGCACUUCAACAUGAUAGUCUAGAACAACAAAACAUACAACAACGAAGAAAAGGAAAACAAAGGACAAGAGAACAAGUUUUUGGAUGACCAUAGUGUGCUAUAUUUAGCUCUUUGAAUAAAUGCAAGCCCUAGCCCCUUCUUCUGCAUUAAAUCUGAAUUUUACAUAUAAAAGGAUUUGAUUGAACCAUAAUUUGAUUAGAAAUCAAAUUCUCAAUCUAAUUCGAAUUAAAAUAAAUAAAAUAAAAAGGGCAAAAAUUAAAAGAUGGCUAAGCUGGUGCACAUGCACGAUAGCUCCGUGGGGGAGGUGGGGCCCCCUGCACAUGAGUUAUUGGGCAUUCUCUUUAUGACCUUGUUACCACACUAUAUUUGGUUUCUAUAUAUAAACCAACUUAUACUCUCUUGUCUAAGUAAUGUGAGAUAUUGAUAUUUGAAAAUACCACACUAUAUAAGUGAUGUGAGAUAUUGAUGCCCAAACUUUAUCCCUCAGCAGCUAUACUAGUCGAGCUAUUCGAAAAGAAAUGAAGCUUGGAAGCUUGACAUUAAAAAUUUUGAAGCUGUUAUAAUACUAUACUUACAGUUAAAAAUGUACUAGCACUACCUUAAAUCAAAUUUAUUAUGACACUGCUCGAAUUCUUUCCUCACUAAUUAGAGAAAUAUUUACUUUAUCAACAACAAUAAAGGAGAUAUUUCUACUCAUUUUUAAUUGGAAGAGGAAUAAUCGAGUCCUUAACGUGAGAACUUAAACCCAUGCCCUUACUAAAGUGAGAGUAUAAAAAUUCACCAUUUGACUAAAAAUUUCAAGUUAAAUUAUGGACAAAUCCAGCAUGGGACCAAUUUGGACACAUGCCCCAGCUAGUUUUUGAAUUUUUUUUAAUUAUUUUAAAAAUGUAUUUUAUUUUAUUAUUUAAGUGAUCUAGCAAAAAUAAAAAAUUAUGAAAGUGUCCCAAACAAUUUUAAAGAUUUUAUGUUGCUCCUAGUUUAAAUAUCUAAUUUUAAAUAAUUUAAUUAACUAUUUAAACAUUAUGAAAGUUAAAUCAAGACAAAAGACUGUAGAUAAAACAAAAGAGAUUCAUUUUACACUUUUUACAUUUCUCGUCCUUUUUUUAGUGCUUUGAAUGAAAGGUACUUUAUUUAUUUAUUUGUUAUAGUGGUAGUAGAAUAGUUGAUCAGAGCAAUGCGUAUGCAGCCAUACGUGGAUUUCAUUGUAGUUCCCAUAAAUGAAAGGCACUUUCCUACAAUUAUUUAGUUUUUUAAUAUUGAUCCCUAAAUUCUAACUCUAGUCAAUUCUAAUUUUCAAUUAUUCCAAUUGACCUUUUAUCUAGAAAAUCCCUAGUUUUAUCAUGUAUUCAUGUUAACUCUUUGCGUCACAUUAUAUGAACAUAUUUACUAUCAUAAAAAGAUUUUAGAGAAUAAUUUAAUUUAGAGAAUAAAUUAAGUGAUAACUUAAUUGUAUGCAUUGAAAAAUAUGCUUUUGAUUAUAUUAAUAAUGAAGUUGUUUCACGUUAUUUUCAACAUAUUACAUCCCAUCGAAAAGCCUUCAACAAGGGCAAUUGUAAUGAGUAAAUUUAUUAUUAAUGAAUAUUAGUAUUGUCAUGUUAUAUAUUACUAUAUAAAAUUUUAAAUUAUAUUAUAUUUUAAAUAAAGUACUAAUUAAGAGUGUGCAGUCACACAUAGGGAUGGUAAUUAUCAGACCCGGACGAAUCCGGAUAAUCCGGGCCGGAUUCAACCCAUAUAAGAAAAAUUUAAAUCCAAUAUCCGGAUGUAUUCGGGUCCAGUUCUGAGUUUGUGUGAACUCGUAAAUCCGGAUCCCAAUGCUGAAUAUCUUUAUUUUAAUAUUAAUUUUUUUAAUAUAAAUAGAAACAUCAAAGAAAAAGAAUUUAACUGUGCCCUAGUUUCACUCUCAAAUAGAGGUGGCAAAAAUACCCGCCCGGUCCGGACCCGGACCGUACCCGGGCAUUGCGGGCCGGGUAUUACCCGGCUCGGGUAUGAAGCCGGGUCGGUCUUGGGCAUCACUUGAUAAACCCAGAAUCCGGAUUUUAUUAAAAAAAUUAUAAAAUAUAUAUUAUUUUAAAUAUUUUAUAUUUAUUUGACUUAUUUAUUAUACAUAUAUAAAGUUUUAAACACUUAAAGUUUAUAUUUUCAUGUCAAAUUUUAUUGAAAUAAAUUUAAAACUUAUAAAAUUACUAAAAAAUAAAAAAUAUAUACACAUAAAAUAUUAAAAAAUAUAAAAUUCGAGUACCCGGAUUAAAACCCGGCCCGGACCCGAACCCGGACUGGUUGCAUCCGAGCAGGGUCCGGUCAUGGCAAUACCCGGACCCGGCCCGGGGUUUUGCCAUCUCUACUCUCAAAGUCGCGGCCGCCAAAGCCUUAAAGCCAAAAAUUUCCUCAUCAAAUCACCAUGAAUCGUGCUGUGUUCCUCAUCUUUACCGCCAAAAGCCCAACUCAAAUCAACAUGCUUAACCACCUCCGCGGCCGAUGACUGUGAUACGGGUUGAAAACGGCACCAUCAUCAUCAGCGGCUUGAGGGCGAUUGCGGCUGUGAUGCAGUAUAUAACCAUUAUCCCGAUAUCGGUAUCUUCAGCAAGGCCAUGGGUGUCUCAUGAACAGUUUCAACAAUGAUAUUUUCGAGAAGUUGGCCCAAGAACGUGAUUUCAUUCUCUUUGGGUUCUGGUUAUUGAAAUGGGUAGUGGAUUGUGAUUUGAUGGGAGUGUCAUACAAGGCAAUUGCAAAACAAGUAAAGGCUAAAAAUGGGAUUUUGAAAGUGUUUUUUUUUUUUUCUUUUCCCUUACACGACUGUGGCUUUGAGAAGCUUUGGUUGAGUGAUCCAACGCUCAUCGUCAUUCCUUACAGUGAGUAAAGUUUGUUAAAGUUUUUUUCAAAGCAAAUAAGAGAUUUUAAGUUAAAAAAUAUCCGGGUUUAAAACCUGGAUGUUUCUGGAUUGAAACCGCACCGGACCCAAACUUAAACUAUACGGUUACUAUCCGGACCUGGGAAGAUGAAUUGACAUUCGGGUCUACAACCGGAAAGACCAAACCCGGACCCGGACCUAAAAUUUGCCAUCCUGACUCACACACCUUAUGGAGUACGAUUGCGUACGUAACAAACACCCAUUUGACAGUUGUAAGACCCACAACAAUACUCGUCAAAUGAGAACUUAUCACACAAACAGUUGUAUCCCUGAUCAUAUUCGAUUUUGAAUGUACCCCAACUCGGUUUCGAUCCUGGCUAUUUUCCUGUUAAACUUUUUCAUCUACCUACAAUUGAACGAUGGUUAACCAAAGCACGGUUUAAUAUUAAAUUCAUAAAUUUUAAGAGUACAGAUGUCAUUACUAGAAAUUCUUAUUUACAUAUCCACACGCAUAAUUUUAUUUUUGAUGAAAUUUUAGUGUGUUUUUAGAAAAUAUAAUUAACCGAACCAUACACUCUAUGGUUCUAGAACAAAAUCUUGAGUUGUGUAAAAUAAUAGACCCGUGUUCUCUUUUAACACUACUUGUUGGAGACAGUAUCUGGUCCAUCAAACGAAUGCAGACAAAAAUGAUUUUAUCCGUCAUUUAAACCAAUCUUCCAACCUCAAAGAUACAUACUCUCCCAUUUCUCACAACACUUAAAAAAUUUCUGAGUGUGAAAUGGAAUUGACUCUGAAAUCCGUAGCGUUCACCAUUGUUAUUGUAACAUUGGUAACAUGGGCAUGGAUGGUGCUGAACUGGUUGUGGCUGAGGCCCAAGAAGCUGGAGAAAUUCCUGAGACAGCAAGGUUUAAAAGGCAAUUCUUACAGGCUUCUGUUUGGUGACUUGAAAGAAAGUACCAUCAUGUUGAAGAAAGCAAAAGCCAGACCUCUCAGUUUGGAUGAUGACGCUGCAGUUCGUGUUACUCCAUUCCUUCACAAACUGUUCAAGGAUUAUGGUAUGUAUGUCAGCGGCCUCAUAUUCUCUUUUACUUGUUUCCAAUUUCAGUAGGUAACAGCCUAUCCACUCAUUGGUUGAACGGUGUCAUUAUUUACAAAGUUAAUUUAGAAGGUUCGUUAGAGUUAUAAUUAUAAACUAAAAAUUGGAUUUUGAUUAUAAAUAUCAGUGAAAAGUAUAACAUGAAAAGUUGGUUCUUGAAAAUUUUUAUGGGUUAAAACAUAAUUUUAAUCUCCUUCGAACAAAGAAAAACCUAAUUAUAGGUCUGGGAUAUCGACGUUGCAGCUUUCCUUGGGCUUUAUCCGUUAUUCUUUGUUUAUUAUGAAGAAACUUUAUAUAUUGUGAUAAACGUUAUAUAUCGUGAUAAACUGAUAAACGUUUUUAAACAUUAAUGCUAUGGGAGAAACGUCGGUGAGGUAGUGUGGACUACAAGUGGAUCCCGAUGAUGCUCAGCCAUUUCUUUGUGGGACUACAAGUGGAUCCCGAUGAGGUACCCACUCCUCUGCCAAAUCACAAAACAUGUGUGGCGCUUGAGGUGGUAGGCCACCCCUCGGAAUUUUGUCUCUAAAAGCUACAUGUAUCUAGAGAUUGGGAACUAUCUAGUUUAGCUCGGCUCUGGGUGAAAACCGAACUAAACUAAAAUAAAUUGAUUUAUCAUUUUGUGGAUUAUAAAUCAAUUUGUGGAUUGAAUACGAAUCAAAUGCUAGAAUUGAACUGAAUCGAAUUAAUUUAGUUCGGUUCGAUUUUGUGAUUGGGUUUAGUUUUGAUUUUAUUUAGUCCAAGCAAUUUUACUUGUAUAUUUUUUUUAAUACAAACUUUGCUUGUAUAAUUAUUCAAUAAAAAACAACAUAAUAAUAUAAUAUUACUAUAACAACAAUUUUAAGUCCAUAAAUCCACGAAUAAUAAACUAUGUAAUAGAAUUCAACACAAAUAAAUCAACAUAAUAAAGUCACAACACGAAAUAUACAUAAUUUAGAAAUUCACUACAAAUUACAAAUCCACAACAAUAAAUAAAACAAGAAAGCAACAAUACAAAAUCAUAUAUAGGAGAAAUUUCAAAGUUCCACGUCAAUUUAAAUUUGUGAGUUUUAAUUUUUCUCUCUAAAGCAUUUGGGUUUUCAGUUUAGUUCGAAUUAAACAAACACAAAUUGGUUUGGAGAUUUAUGAAUCAUUUGAUUUUUUACUGCCCCCAACCGAAUGUCUACCCCUAUGAGAGACCAAUAAUUUUCUUGAUAAGAUGGGAUAGUUGCUCUAACUCAACCUGUUGAUGAGCUAUGCCACGUGUAAAAUUCCCAGAGGGAAAAUUGGUCUGUGGAUGGUGUUACUCCCCGUACAGUGCACAAUAGCGUUGUGUAGUUUCAACAUCAUUUGCAAAAUCUUGUGAAAUCACACCAUGAAUGUAACUUCUUACCUUGUAUUAGGCUUAGUUAUUUGGAAUAGAAGUUUAAUGAUUGAAGUAAAAUCAAUUGGCAUUUAUUCUUGACUAAGUUUUGAAUAAAAUCACUAAACUUUUACUGCUUAAAAUGUGGCCAUGCGCAAUGGAGCAUCUGCCUUCUAACUUUUGCAUAUAUAAUGUUAAAAACACUAAUGCAGGUAAGAAUUCUUUCAUGUGGUUUGGUCCGACACCAAGGGUGAAUAUAACGAAUCCUGAUCAAUUAAAAGAGAUAUUUUCCAAGAUCAAUGAUUUUCCAAAAAUCAAUUCAAACCCACUUGCCAGGAUACUGGCAGCUGGCUUGGUUACUUAUGAGGGUGAGCAGUGGGCUAAACACAGAAAAAUUAUCAACCCAGCAUUCCACCAAGAGAAGCUCAAGGUUAUUAAUUUCUUUAUCUGUUUACAUAAAUCUCAUUGGAAAAUUCCAUAUUCCCUUCAUUUUUCAUUUUGAUUUCUUGCUCUCAUUACAGCUUAUGUUGCCAGCAUUCUGCCAAAGUAGUAGUGACAUAAUUACAGAGUGGGAGAAGCUAAUGUCUACCGAAGGAUCAUGUGAGUUGGAUGUAUGGCCUUAUCUUGCAAAUUUGACAGGGGAUGUGAUUUCUCGAACUGCUUUUGGGAGUAUUUAUGAAGAAGGAAGACGGAUUUUCCAGCUCCAAUCAGAGCUAGCUGAACUCACAAUACAAGUUAUUCGUUCAGUCUAUAUUCCAGGAUGGAGGUACAUGUACAUUUCCUUGUUAGAUCAUAAAUGCUUAGUUAUAUUUCCGCUUUGAUUAACAUGGUGGGAGUUAAUUUUUUUUUUUUUUGGGGGGGGGGGGGGGGGCAAUUACUGAGAAUAAGAUCCACGCAACUCAUUUUGGUUUAGAUAACUCAGAUUGUGCCAUUAUAGUGUUAAUCUAAAAUGGUUCGGUGGAUUUCUGACGUUAAAUAUUAGUAGAUUAUAAUUCAAAAUAAAUAAAUAAAUAAAGACUAGGGGUUGAUUAAGUCAUUUAGUUAUUAUCUCUCUCAUAACUGUUUCUAUGCUUAUUUGUAGGUUUUUGCCUACUAACAGAAAUAAGAGAAUGAAAGAACUUGACAAGGAAAUAAGUACUGCACUCAUGGGAAUCAUAAAAAACAGAGAGAAGGCAAUGAAAGCAGGGGAAGCUGCAAAUGAUGACUUGUUAGGCAUACUGAUGGACACCAAUUUUAGAGAAACCGAAGAACAUGGAAAUAACAAAAAUGUUGGAAUGAGCUUCAACGACGUGAUGGAAGAGUGUAAGCUAUUUUACUUUGCCGGCCAAGAGACUACCUCUGUUUUGCUUAAUUGGACAAUGGUGCUUUUGAGCAAGCAUCAAGAUUGGCAAGAACGUGCAAGACAAGAGGUUUUGCAAGUUUUUGGCAAUAAUAAGCCAGAUUAUGAUGGAUUGAAUCACCUCAAAAUUGUAAGUACAAAGGCAGUUGAAUUUGAAUAUGCUAUACUGAUAAAUUUUGGUCUUAUUAAUUUGCGUUUUGUGUGCAUAUCUUACAGGUUCAAAUGAUAUUCAACGAGGUACUGAGGCUUUAUCCUCCAGCAGUUAUGCUUGCUCGAGCUGUUAAUAAAGAAACGAAACUUGGAAACUUGAUAUUACCCGCUGGGGUUCAAAUCAGUUUGCCAGUGAUCAUGGUUCACCAUGAUCCUGAACUUUGGGGUGAUGAUGCCAUUGAGUUUAAACCUGAGAGGUUCUCUGAAGGAAUUUCAAAGGUGACCAGGAAUCAAGUUUCUUAUUUCCCAUUUGCAUGGGGUCCUAGGAUAUGCAUUGGACUAAAUUUCGCCCUGGUUGAGGCGAAAAUUGCUUUGGCAAUGAUUCUGCAAAAUUUCUCAUUCGAGUUGUCUCCGUCCUAUGUUCAUGCUCCGACCGCAGUUCUAACUCUUCAUCCAGAAUUCGGUACCCACUUGAUUCUACGGAAACUGUAGUGUGAGAAUAAUACAAGUAAAUAGUAUAUCAUCAAUAAGAUUAGCAUGAUGCUAAAUUUCCUUGCCGUUGUAAUGAAGUUCAGAGCUUGGGCAGCAGCUGUUUGUGUGUGUAUUAUACACACACACACACACACACACACACACAAAUUAGAUUUUUGUAUUGACAAUACGUGAGUUGAAUCCAUUUUUAAGGAAUCAUAAUUAUCACAUCCCACAUUGUCAUUGUUUAGAUGGUUUCCAUAUACGUGGGUGUGGGUGUGGGGGUGUGUAUAGAUUUUGUAUUGACAAUAUGCGAGUUGAAUCCAUUUUUAAGGAAUCUUAAUUAUCACAUCCCACAUUGUAAUUGUUUAGAUGGUUUCCAUAUGGGACGAUUCAUUAAUUUUUUUGACUUUUAUAUUUUUUAAUUCAAUUAAGAUUGUGCAAGAGUUUGUAUUCCUGUCAUUGCACCUAUUAGGUUAUAUAUAACCAGAGAUUCGCUUUUUUAAAUCGUCACAAAAGAAAUGAAGCUUCAAAAAUUAACAUCACCCCUUAGAGUGCAACUUUUGGUGUUAAUUAACGUAAAUCUCCCAAAGAUAAGUGAGAUCUUGUGCUCAGUGAGACUUGUGAGAUCUUGCACUCAAUGAAUUUGCUCCAAUGAUACUUGUUUGGGGGAUGUACUUCGACGAGACCAGCCGUGAUGAGCAGAUACCUAUUAGCAGGGUUCCCACGAACAUGUAUAUCUUGCAGAAGUCUGGUAGCAGGAGAACAUGAGCAGGAAUAUUCUGCUCGUCCACGAAUACGCCAUCGGCGAGGCCGGUCUCCUGCUAAUGGUUGAGCCUCCUACUAAUUGUUGAGGCGAGGAGACCCGGUCAACAACAGUUGACGAGACGUGCACUCCAACCCGAGAAUCAAGGCACGAAAACCACGCGACCACCCACGAUUACGGAAACGGAGCAUCCAUUUCCGAGAGAUGGGAAGACAAUGGGCGUGGAUUGAGGGAAGGUGUGAACUCAGGAGAAGCAUAUAAAAAGGUGGCCAACAAAGGUAAAAGGGUUAGAAUUUUUGACAUUGAAACGGAGAUAAAGAGAGCACUGAAUAAUCGAUACCAAAAAUAAGCCAUAAGAUUAGUGGCUAACAUUCCCAGGAACACCAAACCUUCAUUUCUGACUUGAGCGUCGGAGGGUUUACGCCGGAAAAAUAACCGGCGUACUCUGACUUGUUUUUGUGUAUGCAGGAAUUUUUGGAGAAGAAGUCAUAGGAGGAGAGAUCCUGAUCGUGGUCGAGUUGAUUGAGCAGAGAUCCUGGUCGUGGUCGAGAGGGUAGCCAGAAUCUCGCAUCAAUAUUUUGGCGCCGUUUGUGGGGAGCUGAUCAAAAAGCUUCUGUUGACAGAAAGAGGAGGAAUACAACAAGUGAAGAAACAAUGGAUGUAGGAGGAAGUAGUGCACAAGGAGGUGAUAUGAGGCUUAACGAAUCUGUGACGUUGAGGGAGAUAGCCAAUGAAGCACGGGAAAAAGACAUGUAUGACCGGAUGGAACGGAUGGAAAAGCAGAUGGAGACCCUGACAACCAUCCUACAUGAGCUGACGAGUGAACAGAGGGGAAUCCAUGAGGAAAGGGUGAGAAGUGGCGGAAUGGCACCAGGGCACGAUGAUAUGAUGAAAAGUCGGACCACUAGGAGAUUUGGUGGUGAGGGAGGUAACUCAUCUCUAUGGGGAGAAGUCUAUAGAGGAGAAGACCAAUCUCCAGGAAGGCAGAUUUUUGAUAAUGAUGACGGGGUGGAGAAUGCAGAGGAAACAGAGCUCAUGCAACACCUACAUGAUGUAGAGCAAGAGCGGGAUCAAGUUGCAGCACGUGACCCUGGUCGUGCAGUACAGUUGGAGGAAGAAGUGCGCAGAUUAGCGUAGGUAAUUGAUGACAUGCAAGGAAGGAGCAGAGCAUCUGGUUGGAGGAUAAUGCUGGACGGAGAAUCCCCGCUCCCGGCAGAGAUCAUGAGAGCAGUCAUUCCAAGGGAUUUUCGCCUCCCAGACCUCAAGUACUCGGGAAGAACUGAUCCGUUGGUGCACAUAGAGCGCUUUAACGACAUAACUGGGGUGCAAGGAUUAUCCUAAGCUCAAAGAUGCAGGGUGUUCCCGCUGUCUCUAGAGGGAUGAGCAUGUGAGUGGUACCGGAAACUUCCUCGAGGAAGCGUUAAAUCCUUCGAGCAGAUGUGAUAGGAAUUUGCAGAGCAGUUUCGUGGGGCAAUGGCACCAGAAGAUGACAUGAUGGAGUUGAAAAGCAUGAAGCAGGGGGAGGAAGAAACCCUUCGGGAAUUCAUAAAGAGGUUUCAUCGCGCUGUCCUCGACCUGAGAGCCUUCAACCAUCCUCAGGCAUUAAGGGGAUUGAAAGAAGGGGUGAAGAUAAGAAGGUUGUGGUACAAUUUGAGGAGCCUAAUUAUUCAGACGUAUGCAGCCGCUUACGAGCAGGCUAAGAGGGACAUAGAGAUUGAUGAGGAAAAGGCAGCACGAAUUAAGACAGACCAACUAGAAGGGUUGAGAAGGAAAGAGAAGAGAGCCUUAUUAGGAAAUGGGCCGAUCAAGAGGAGCGACCACCAUGCCUCAGGUAGUGGUACAGGAGGUCGGGUCACCGCUUACCAGCCUCAUCAGAGGCCACCACAGUAUCAGCGCAGCAGAGCACAACCUCGUCGUUCACCAGUUAGGGAGCCUUGGAGGAGGCAUGAUUCGGCAUAUGGUCAUCCUCAUCCACACCCCCAUGGCGGUAGAGGGAGCAGACCAGAAGCGCUGCCACCUCCUUCAGUUCAGAACGGCACAAACAGGGAAAGGGUUGUGCACAUGAUCGGCCAAAACCAGGACUAUGGGCGGUAUACUUCCUUGAAGAUGCCUCUGGAUGAGGUGUACGAGGCCAUAAAGGACCGGGGAUUACUGUACCUCCCUGCCCCAAUAACAAAGCUACCCGACAGGAGGGAUAGGAGACGUUAUUGCAAGUUCCAUGGCACUCAUGGCCAUACCACAACAGAAUGCUGAGAUCUCAAGACCUAGGUUGAAGAUCUGAUGGGAAAUCGAUACCUGGACGAGUUCAUAGAUGGGACUUUCCCGAUGGCGGCCUCGACAUGUGAAGGGAAGCAGAGUGAUAGAAACUUGAGCCACGAGCAGCCUAUAGUAAGAGUGAUUGCUGGGGGCCUAACAUUGGCAGAAGACUCAAACAGGUCGAGGAAGAACUACGCCAAGUAUGUCAUGACUAGCAAAGAGGUAUUCUUUAACACCCCAGCAGCCAAGCGAGCAAGAGUCAGACAAGUUUCAAUUAUGUAGACAGAUGAAGAUGAAGAAGGGAUUCUAUAUCCGUAUGAGGGUGCUUUAGUUAUUAAAGUCACCGCUGCUAGCAAGAAGUUUAACCGAGUUCUAGUAGACACGGGAAUCUCAGUCGAUGUUUUGUUCAGGUCAACUCUAGAGGAGAUGGGAAUAGCGGACUUGAGGUUGGGGCACACCAAUACCUCCUUGAAGGGAUUUGGAGGAGGAAAGCUGGUCCCUCUUGGAGUGGUCGAGCUGCCCAUCACAAUUGGUAAUUCCCCGACAGAAAGGACAAUGAUACUGGAUUUUGUGGUGGCCAAUGAAGAGGGUCCUUACCAGAUGAUUCUGGGUCGUCCAUUUCUGAGGAUGAGCAAAGCGGUACUUUCCAACCAUUAUCUAGCUCUCAAGUACUAGGUGAAUGGGGUAGUUGGAGUGGUACGAGGAGACCAGAGAAUCGCUCGAAGCUGUUACUCCACUGCAGCAAGGGAAGUGAUGCAGAUUACAUCCCUUGAUAACCGAGUGGGAGCUAAGAAUGGCAGACAGGAACCUGUAGAGGAGCUGGAGACAGUAAGCUUGGGACAAGAUGAUCCUGGAAAAACAAUCUGAAUUGGGUCGAGGCUUAAAGAAGAGCAGAAAUAGGAGUUGGUGCAAUGCCUGCGAGCUCAUGCAGAUGUGUUUGCUUGGACGCACGAAGACAUGCCAGGAAUCGACCCUGAGGUCGCAUGUCAUAAGCUGGCAAUAAAGAAAGGUGCUCGGACAGUUAGGCAGAAAAUGAGGUAUUUCAACCUGGAGAGGUAUGAGGCUAUAAAUGGCGAGGUGGAGAAUCUCUUGAAGGUAGGGUUCAUUCGGAAAGUUAACUAUCCUGAAUGGAUAUCGAACGUGGUGUUAGUGAAAAAGACUAAUGGCAAAUGGAGGAUGUGUGUAGAUUUCACGGAUCUCAAUAAGGCGUGCCCGAAAGACAGCUUUCCCUUACCCAAGAUCGACCAGCUUGUAGACUCAACAGCCGGACAUGGCCUGCUCAGCUUCAUGGACGUAUUUUCGGGAUACAACCAAAUCUCCAUGUUCGAGCAGGAUGAGGAGAGCACAACAUUUAUAACUAACCAGGGUUUGUUCUGUUACAGGGUAAUACCGUUCGGUCUUAAAAAUGCGGGGGCCACGUACCAGAGGCUGGUGAACAAAAUCUUUAAGCCGCUGAUUGGGAGAACAAUGGAGGUGUAUGUGGAUGACAUGAUAACCAAGUCAAAAAUCCCGAACGAACAUGCCGAGCACUUCGAGGAGACAUUUGGACUUCUGAGGAAGUAUAAAAUGAAGCUCAACCCGGAGAAGUGUGCUUUUGGGUUCGAGUCCGGUAAAUUUCUUGGGUUCAUGGUAAGUCAUAGGGGGAUCAAGGCGAAUCCUGAGAAGAUUCAGGCGAUCGUGCAGAUAAAGUCUCCUUGUAACCUGAAGGAAACGCAGAGCCUUACAGGGAGGUUGGCAGCAUUGAGCCGAUUCAUAUCCAAGGCAACAGAUAAGUGCCAGCCAUUCUUUCAAGUGAUAAGGAGAGGAAAGAAAACAGAAUGGACCUUAAAAUGCGAAGAAGCCUUCCAGAAUUUGAAGCAAUAUUUGCAGUAAGCAAUUCUAUUGUCCACGCCGCGGGAUGGGGACGUGUUGUUCCUGUAUGUGGCGGUAUCAGAUCAUGCCACAAGUUAUGUCCUAGUGAGAGAGGAAGAAGGGGUUCAAUGUAACACCCCAAAUCUAACACGUGCGGAGCACGUGAAGAAGGAGGUUACUCACAAAUCAUAAUCUUUACUCAUAAGUUUCAAACUGAAAUUCCUCAAAUUCUUAUUCAAAUAAAUCCAUAAAUCCAAACGUCAAAUACUAAAUAAUCUCUCUCGAGGACAUAUAAAAAUAAUAACAAAAGUCUCAAACUCCAAAUUACACGUUCAUAAUAAAAGUAACUAAAUAGAAACACAAGUUUAUUCCUCCUCUUAUUCAAUAGCAAACGGAAACUGGAAAUCACUAACUCCAAAGCUAAGUGCACCUCUCAAAAGAAACUUAAUCUGCAAAAAGUAAUGACGAGGGGUGAGCCGUCAACUCGGUAAGUAAAACCAUUCCUAACACACUAGGCCUAUUGAUACCAAAAAUAUUGCAAGCCUUCUUUUGUUUAAAGCAUGUAUCAUAAUCCAUAAUUUUCAUAAAACGAUAUAUCACAAUAACAUAAGAUAAAUUCUUAAUAAUUCAGAAUAUUCAAAAGCAUAUUUACUUACGAAUCAAAUCAUGUAAUACGUAUACAGAAAACAAACAGGUUAGCUCAUGUCACAUAGUGUCACCUAUAGUCCCGGUGACCCGGCCAGAAACAGAAUCAGAAUAUCGUGUGCACAUUCAGAACAGAAACCCAGUACUGGUCCAGACAGAUAUAUCGUAUAUUACGAUCAGAAUCAGAAUCAGAAUAACUAUGGAUAAUGAGCCAAAACAUUAGGAAUCUCAUACAAUUAUCAGUAAUUGAAAUCAUAUAUGGGUACAAAACAUUCGUAUCAGAUUUAUAAAAGUUCAUAACAAUAAUUUAGGCUUGUAUAACAUUUUAAAGAUAAAAUCAUAAAAGGUUGUCAUGUCAUAAAAUCAUUUACAUAUUAAAAAGCAUUUAUAAAAUACUUUGUUAAAAAGAAUGGUUUGAAAACAUUUACAUAAAGCUAAUUUUGUUAUCAAAAUUAGUAAUCCUUUAAGUAGUAUCAAAACAUUUAUACUUAUAAUAAUAAUAUCAAAAUACUUCUACAUAUCCAGUACAUUAGGAAUGAAGUUACUUACCUCGACAAAUGAACUUGGAUUAACACACCUCUAAGCUUCUAAGAGCCUCAAACACCUUCAAAACCUUAAACAAAUACAAGAUAUGACAAUCAAUAACUUAUUCUAAGAAUUUGAUUUUCUAAUUCAUACCCGUACAGGUCUGAUUCUCGGAAUUUUAACUCUUAAUCAAAGACUCAGAAUGAUAUAAAAUCCUAUGGAACCAUUCUGGACAUCCAUGAGUACCCCAUGUAAAAUUUACAAGAGGAUCCGAUAUCAAAAACAUUUUAAAAACUAUUUACUUCUCAGCAUAUUCGAAACUGUUUUCACAUAAUCUAAACUAAACAGAACGGGUUCCGUGAUUUUUAUAAAAUAAAAUACUAAUCAGAAAAUUAUGAAAUUAAAACUGGGAAUCCUAGACACAUAUAUUAACAUACAUAUAAACUUUCAGAAUUUUUUGAGUUCAUUUGGUGGUACAAAUAGUCUUGUGAAUCUGAUCACAAUACUGGAAUCGUGGAUUUCCAGUGCAGUGGUUUCUAUUUCCAAAAUACGUAUAAAAUUGAAAACGAAGUUGAAUUUAAUGAAAUAAAAUUUAAUCAAGAAGCCCUACAUGUCUAGUUUCCAGAAAUAUAAAUUUUAUAAGAAAAUUCGUUCAGAAAAUAUAGCUUUAAAAAUUUGAGAUACUCAUGCUGUUCAGAAUAAACGUUGUGAACUUACCCGUCGCUUUGAGUCUCUCCUAAACAAAGGUUUGAAUCCUAAGAUUUGGGUAGGAGCGUAAAGAGCAGCAGAGAAGAAGAAUAAACGUUGUGAACUUAGGGUUAUGGAAGGGGGAAAAGUAUGUAUUUAUAGGGGAUCUUAAGAAACCCUAUUCAAUAAGGAAAAAUAGCCCUUUUUCCAAAAUGAUCUCAUAAAUAACCUCUAUUUAAUUAGUACCCCUUUCUAAAUAAGGGUUAUAGGCCACCCAUAAUUCUCAAUGAAAGCCCAAUUUCCAAUUUAAUAUGUAUGGGAAUUUGUGGCGUUACAUUCAAUAUCCGAUAUACUACACUAGCAAGGCCUUGCUCGAUGCCGAGACCAGAUACCCACCGUUGGAGAAAUGAGCACUCGCCCUUGUGGUUGUUGCUCGGAAGCUGAGGCCAUACUUUCAGGCAUUCCCCAUCUUGGUAAUAACAAAUCAACCAUUGCGACAGACUCUACACAAGCCGGAUGCUUCUGGUCGACUCGUGAAGUGGGCUAUAGAGUUGAGUGAGUUCGACAUAGAUUACAAACCCCGAGCAGUAAUAAAGGCCCAAGCAAUGGCCGAUUUCAUGGCAGAAUUCGCAGAGCCCGAAGUAUGUUAUGACCAGCUGGAUACUGCUACAGCCAACAAUGAAACUCGAGUAUGGCAGGUGUAUGUGGAUGGAUCAUCAGAGGAGCAGGGGUCUGGAGCAGAGAUUGUCUUGAAAGGCCUAGAAGGGGAGGAGAUCUCUUAUGCCGUAAAGUUGGAGUUCACAGCCACAAAUAACCAGGCAGAAUAUGAAGCCCUAAUAGCAGGUUUGGAAUUGGCUAAGGCAGUGAAAAUGGAUAUGGUGAAGAUCCGAACUGAUUCUCAACUAGUUGCAAAUCAUGUUAGUGAAAUAUUUCAGCCGAGAGAUGGGAAAAUAGAACAGUACUUGAAGAAAGUCAAGCAGAUGAUUGGGAAGUUUGAAGCAGUUGAGGUGAUACAAAUCAUAAGGGAGGAGAAUAGUCAAGCAGAUAUUCUGGCCAGGAUGGCAGCGGUAACAGAUCCGAAAAUGCCCAAGUCAGUCCCUCUUGAGGUGAAGUCCAGCCCUAGUAUCGAGCAAAAUCUGGAGGUGCUGCAGAUAGAGCAGAAAUGCUCGUGGAUGGACCCGAUAAUCUCGUACAUCUGGAAUGGGGUACUGCCACCAGAUAAGUUACGAGCCCAGAAGACCAAAGCCCAAGCGUCGAGAUACACAAUGAUUGAUGGGGUAUUAUAUCGGAUGGGAUAUACCUUACUGUUCCUUCGGUGUUUAGACGAGGACGACGCAGAUUAAGUGAUGAGAGAAGUACUUUAAGGAGUUUGCAGAAAUCAUUCUGGUGCAAGAUCCCUUGCCCACAAGGUCCUAAGACAGGGAUAUUUCUGGCCGAUAAUGCACCAGGAUGCGCAGGAGAAGACCAGGAGCUGCGUGAGUUGCCAAAGCUUUACAAAUUUCUUUACUCAACCACCAGAGAAGUUCACUUUUAUGGCCUCCCCAUGACCAUUUGCUCAAUGGGGAAUUGAUUUGAUUGGGCCAUUGCCAAGGGGACGAGGAGCAGCAACACAUGUAAUAGUAGCAAUAGACUAUUUCACGAAGUGGGUAGAGGUAGAAGCUCUCAGUAGGAUCACAAAGAAAAAGACAACUGACUUCGUAUGGAGAAACCUGGUCUGUCGAUACGGGAUCCCUUAUGCUUUGAUAACAAAUAAUGGCAGGCAUUUUAAUAAUCAGAACUUCAGGGACUUCUGCCAGAACCUCGAGAUAGAGUUGAAGUAUUGCUCGCCUGCUCAUCCUCAAUCUAACGGGCAAGUAGAAGCAGCCAAUAAGAUAAUCAAGAGGCUGUUGAAAACCAGGCUUGGAGCAAAAAAAUGGUGCAUGGGUUGAUGAGUUAUCAGGUGUAUUAUGGGCAUAUAGGACAACCCACAAAACAGCAACUGGCGAAACUACAUUCUCCUUGGCCUUCGGACAUGAGGCAGUUGUACCAGUCGAGAUAGGGACGAGCACGCACCGGACAGAUCACUUCAAUGAGCAGGAGAACAACGACCAGAUGUACUUGAAUCUGGAUUUGCUAAUGGAGAAGAGGGAGCAAGCAUCGAAACGAUCAGCCGUCUACCAGCAGAGGGUUGCUCGAUAUUACAACCAGAAGGUGAAUGUACGGUAGUUCAAGGUCAAAGAUUGGGUUUUAAGGAGGGUGAAUCAGAACACGAAAGACUCGACUCAAUGAGUACUUGGACCAAACUGGGAGGGGCCAUUCAGGGUCAAGCAGGUAGCUAGACCCGGAGCCUACAAGCUUGUUUGUGCGGAUGGUCACGAGGUGAAACGCCCUUGGAACGCAGCACACCUCAGGAAAUAUUUUCAGUAAGACUCGUUCCUGAUUUAAAGUUAUUUCUGUUUGCUUUUGUUGUUAUUUGUUUUAUGUUAAAUCAAACUCGUGUAAGCCUAAUUCAGCAAUUAAUGAAUCGAUGAAGAAUUUCAGUCAGCUGUAAUGUUACAAAAAUUUUCUAAGGCAUGCAAAAGCUCACCAAGUCUCAAAGCCUGUUUUAUGGCGAGACCAGAAGCCAAGCGUGCCAGGAUCUGCUCGACCAAGCGAAGGCGAGCAGACUCCCAAGGUUUCAAAAAUUUCUAAGGCAUGCAAAGGCUCACCAAGUCUCAAAGCCUGUUUUAUGGCGAGACCAAAAGCCAAGCGUGCCAGGAUCUGCUCGACCAAGCGAAGGUGAACAGACUCCCAAGCGUUGUAAAAUUUCUAAGGCAUGUAAAGGCUAAGUCUCAAAGUCUGUCUUAUGGCGAGACCAGAAGCCAAGCGUGCCAGAAUCUGCUCGACCAAGCGAAGGCGAGCAGACUCCCAAGCGUUGUAAAAUUUCUAAGGCAUGCAAAAGGCUAAGUCUCAAAGCCUGUCUUAUGGCGAGACUAGAAGCCAAGCGUGCCAGAAUCUGCUCGACUAAGCGAAGGCGAGCAGACUCCCAAGCAUUGUAAAUUUUCUACAGCACGUAAAGGCUCACCAAGUCUCCAAGCCUGUCUUAUGGCGAGACCAAAAGCCAAGCAUGCCAAGAUCUGCUCGUCCAAGGGAAGGCAAGCAGACUCUCAAACGUAAAAUAAUUUACAACUACAAGACGAGAAAGCAAAUAAGAACAUUCUUAUUAAUUUAUCAACAAUCAUAAAAAGUUGCUAGUCAUAACAUACAACGUUCCAAAAAAGCAACUACAACACAAGAUACAUUCAAGAAAACGGCGGGUCAGUAAGCCGAGCAGCCUCGGUUGGUUAGUCCACCUCAGGUGCAGGGGGGUAUCACCAGUUGCAACCGGGGGGGUACUGGCCUCAGCAACAUCAGUAGGAAUUGCACGAGGAGGAGAGUUUCCCUCCUCAACCGCAAUUGGCUCUACCUCUUCGACAUCCUCUUUUCCUGCCUCCUCGUUCAUGUGUUGAGCAACACCAGCAACAAGGUCAUCCAUCUUCAGAUUAGGAUACUGCUUCCCUAAAACAACCAUGAUGCAGCGGUAAGAAUGCCGCAGACCCUGGUCAUAUUGGUUGUCAGUUUUCUUCUCUAGAUUUUCGACCUGAACCUGCUGAGAGUCCUUGAGGGAUUCGAGCUGAGCCUCAUAGGUGGCCUUCUGCCUCUGCAGAUCCUCCUUGACCUUAGUCAGCUCUUCCUCAAGAGUAAUGGCCUUGGCUUGAGCGAGAGAUUCUCGCUCUAUCAACUUUAGAUUCUUGAGAUUCAGCUCUCCUGCUUUCUUCUCGGCAGCAUCAACUUUGGUUCUUGCCAAUUGAAUAUCCUCCUUCAUCUUCCGUUCAUAGCGGCCGACCUUCGCCUUAUAGUAGGUGACCAUGCAGCCGAAAUGGAAAGCACUAUACUGCAUAGCCCCCACCAGCUCACCAGAGUGUUGCCAUCAAAAUCCUCCAAGUCUCUCUUGCUCACGACCUUAGAAAACUCACUGAUGUAGGGGACCAGAUGCUCUGCUCGAUUGUCGGGCAGGUGGGAUUUCGACCUAGCUGGGAGAGAAGAGGAAGUGGGGUCAGUGGCUGCUCCACUAGUUUCACCGACUUUGGUAGGAGGAGGAGGUAGAGUCCUCAGUGGGGGGACCUGCUCCACGGUGUUCACUCGUUUCGCAGAGGGAGCACCCUUAUUUUGGUCGUGCUUGGCAAUAUGUGGUCGAGGACGUUUCUGAUUCAAAGACCCGAUCACAACAUCCUCCAUUUUAUGGUUGGUGGACAUCAAGCGAGAUUCGACCAAGUUAUAAGCAGUUAGCAACUCUCGGUUCGUACAGGAAUUAGCCAGCAUAGCUUCGACGAGCUUGAGCGACUCGGGUUUAAGCUGGUAGUGCACACUCCAGGAACCUGCAAUGCGAACAGAUAUUGGGUUAGAGAAAAUACAGCAAAAUGAAAACCACUAUGGAGACAAGACAUCUAAAGCGAGCAGGCAACCUGGGACCACGAAACGGGGUGGGACGUGAUAAUUCUUCCCGUCAAUCUGUGCAACUUGACCCCAGAGACCCCCAACAAAAAAAGAAUUUUUUCUUCCAAUUCCCACCACCACCAGUUGGAAGAUCAGUUUCCUGGUCUUAGUACUUGAUUGGAAGUAAUACCAGCCGGCGUCUUUGGGGCUACUUUUUAGCUGGUACAGAUGCUUCACCUCAUCAACUGUGGGCUCGCUUUGGCAACAUUUGUCCCACAAUAUGAACAGACCAGAGAGUAUCCUCCACCCAUUGGGGUUCAGCUGACCAGGAGCUAAAUUUAAUCCAUUAAGCAUCCGGACGAAAUAAGGUUGCAGGGGGUACCUCAGCCCAAGCUUAAAAUUCUCUAGAAAUAGAGUAACAUAUCCCCUAGGAGGCUGGCUGGGGGUAUCCUUCUUUCCUGGGAUCCUAAGAGUUAUCUCAUCGGGAAUUCCAUACCUAACUCGGAGAUUAGUGAGCUCGUCUACUGUGGUCGUGCACGUGAUGAAAUCAAUAGCGUAAUGCUGUGAUAAAGCUGUACCUCCUACUGUGCUCCUCCUAUCUGGUCGCAAUGUUCCUGGUGAGGACAUCUCACUAGAAUCAUCUCCCUGAUCUUUACUUAAGGUGUCUUCCGAGCUAGAAAAACCCUCGUCGUCGCUAUUACCGGUUGAGGAGGUUAUUUGGGGGGACAUCCUCCUAGCACUAGUUCCAAUACUAGAUCUAAUGGGUUCUAAGGGGAUCUCGGGGUCAAAGGCAGGACCAGCGAGCAGACUAGGCAAGAAGCCUAACUCAUCGUCCUCAAUCUCAAUAACUUUCUCAUUGCCUUUUGACAUUCCCUAAACUAUAACCAGAGCAGUAUCACCAAACACUACCCAAACAAAACAGAGAAAAGAAAUUGUCUACAACUAUCCAAGACCGAGGAGAUAAGAAUAAUACCUGAAGUUAUGGCUCAGUCGGAGAGAGGCAGGGAUGAAAGGUUUUUAUGCCGAAAAUCCUUCGUCGGAGAGACAGGGAUAAAGAAAAUGACGAGUCUCUCUUUUGGGGGUUUUGGUUUUUCCUAAUAAGGAACAAACUCUUGGGCUGCCAGCAUUUAACGGCGCAAAUCCCAAGAGUUUCAUAACCGUCUGUUUGAAAUUCAAACGGAGGGGUAGAUUUCUGCCAUAUCACGUCAUCCGCAAUUAAAUGCAACACAACUCUUGGCAACCUUUUCCUACCCCGCGCAAGCCGGAACCGUUGAGUUUUCACUGUCAGCUCACUACGUUACCCAACACCAGAAACUGGGGGACCGUUGUUUGGGGGAUGUACUUCGACGAGACCAGCCGUGAUGAGCAGAUGCCUAUUAGCAGGGUUCCCACGAACAUAUAUAUCUUGUAGAAGUUUGGUAGUAGGAGAACAGGAGCAGGAAUAUUCUGCUCGUCCACGAAUACGCCAUCGGCGAGGCCGGUCUCCUGCUAAUGGUUGAGCCUUCUACUAAUUGUUGAGGCGAGGAGACCCGGUCAACGGAAGUUGACGAGACGUGCACUCCAACCCGAGAAUCAAGGCACGAAAACCACGCGACCACCCACGAUUACGGAAACGGAGCAUCCACUUCCGAGAUAUGGGAAGGCAAUGGGCGUGGAUUGAGGGAAUGUCUAAACUCAGGAGAAGCCUAUAAAAAGGUGGUCAACGAAGGUAAAAUGGUUAGAAUUUUUGACAUUAAAACGGAGAUAAAGAGAGCACUGAAUAAUUGAUACCAAAAAUAAGCCAUAAGAUUAGUGGCUAACGUUCCCAGGAACACCAAACCUUCAUUUCUGACUUGAGCGUCAGAGGGUUUACGCCGGAAAAACAACCGGCGUACUCUAACUUGUUUCUGUGUACGCAGGAAUUUUUGGAGAAGAAGUCAUACGAGGAGAGAUCCUGAUCGUGGUCGAGUUGAUUGAGCAGAGAUCCUGGUCGUGGUCGAGAGGGUAGCCAGAAUCUCGCAUCAACAAUACUUAUUCACCAUGAUCCUCAACUUUGGGGUAAAGAUGUAAAGUUCAAACCAGAGGAUUUUCUUAGGAGUUUAAAAGUUCCAACUAAGAUGUAAAGUUCAAAACCAGUGGUUUUUCUUAGGAGUUUAAAAUUUCAAACCAGAGAGGUUUUCUAAGGAGUUCCAAAAGCAACUAAGAGUAAUUGUAUUCUUACAAGAACAUAUUUUGGACAAAAUUUUGAUUUGCCGAAAGCCAAAAUGGCUUUGGCGUUGAUUGUACAACACUCUUUGUUUUAGCUGUCUCCAUCCCAUUCUCGUUCACUUUUUCCACUUAUAACUAUGUAUUCAGCUGCAAUUUGGUCCUGAUUUGAUUUGCAUACACUGUAGAGUUAAAAUGAACAUUACAUUCAGAUAUGAAUUGCUAUCAAAAUUUUCACUCAAAACUCUUUCACUUUAUUGUCUCUCAAACAAACAAAAAUUGACACUCGACAAUCUUUACUUUGUAACAAAAUAGAAAAUGGAGAUUACUGAUUGGUCCGUGAUUUUCUCCUUUGCUUUAUCUACUGCAAUUACAGCUAGUGACUGGAUGCUAGUGAAUUGGCUAUGGUUAAAAGCCCUAGAAGUAAAAAAACAUUCAGCCGCAACUCCUACUUUAAGGUAGUGUUUGGUUAGGAGGAGAGAAUGUAGGAGAGGAAAAUAAUUUAAAUUCAUUUUUUAUUUUCAUUGUUUGGUUUGAAAAAAUGUAUAAGAAUUUAAUUUCCAUUAGAACUUAAUAUCAUCAUAACGUAGAACUUAAAUUCCACACUAAGUAGUGAAGAAUUUAAAUUCCUCUUAUAUUAAAAGCUAAAAUUUUUAAAAUUACCCUUCAUCUUUUUAACUUAUUUAAUACCAUUAAUAAUUAUUAUUUAUGAUUUUUUUUUAUUAAUUUAAUAUUAUAAAUGGACCACCACCAGAAAGUCGCCGGACCACUGUCGAACCUCGCUGUAAUGUCGCUGGACCACCGUCAGACCAUCGCAGGAAUAUCGCCGGAUCUCCUCCGGACUUCCGCCGCCGGCCACCGGGCCGCCAUUUUAUUUUUUAUAUAUAUAUUUUAUUACUAAUAUAAAUAAUUUAAUAUUUAAGGUAAAAGAUAAAUUUGUCUAAAGAAAAAAAUUAUAAUUCAUUUCCUUAUCAAAUUUUAUAUCAAACCAAACAACAAAAUUUAAUUUCACUACUCUUCUCCAUUCCUUUCUUCUCCCUUCCUCUCCAUUCCACUCUUUUUCUCUCCUCCAUUUUCUUCAAACCAAACAUGACCUAACAGCUUUAGAAGUAACUAAUAACAAUACAUAGUUUGAUAUUCAUCAAGAAAAAAGUCAUUUGAAAGAGAAACACUUGUAUGGAUUAUGAUUUUCUCUUGAUCUGAUCUGUCUUUUAAUACUAGUGUAUGAUAAGAAUUUAAUUAUUUUUAUUUUUUAAUUUAUUAAUCACUAAUUACGUUAAUAAAAUUUACUCUUGAAAACAUAAAAGAUCAUGAAAUGAUCGUCCUAACAGGAACUGACAUUUUGAAAUGUUCCACUCGAUUAAUAGGACCUAACAUUUUAAUAAAUCUAAUGUGUCCACAAACAGUAAUAAAUUUGGAGAGUUUUAUUGAAAACACCAAAUUUAUUUGUUAAAUAUUUAUGAUAACACAAAAAUAAUAUUAUCACUUUUUUUUUAAUUCAUACUACAGUUGCACCUGGUCAUUAAAUUAAGCUACUUAGUCAUUGGUUCUCUUAUCAUAAUUGAAUCAUAUAAGUAAGUGCUAAUAUGAUUACACAGUUGCAUCAUAGUUGUACCUAGGGAUGACAACCAAACCCGGACCCGGAUCGAACCCGGACUGAACCCGAAAAAUCCGAUCCGGGUUCAACCCGCACUGGAGUAAUUUUUAUCCGGAAUCCGAAUCAGUUUUUGACAACCCGUAUAUUUCUGGGUCCGGAUCCGGUUUCAGGUCAACCCGCAAAUCCGAAACCUGGACCCGGAUAUUAUUUAUUUUAAUAUUAAUUUUUAUCCACAAAUCCCUAAAUAUAAAUAGAAAAAAAAGCAAAAGUGAACCCUAGAUCUAGAUCUCUCAAUCUCUCUCGUUCCUCUCUCAAAAUUUCUCCUGAACUCUACUGUAAAUCUAUAAUUUCUCCUCUCAAUCUCUCAAGUCUCAUUUGUAAUCCGUUCCUCUCUCAAUCGCUCUCACCCGUGAGCCGUGACUCGUUCCUCAGUUCUCACUUAAUCUCUCUCACUCUCUUUUCCGAGUUGAACCCGAACUGGACCCGAAUUAAAAAAAUCCGGAUUUAAUACGGCUUCGGUUAUGAAUAUUUUGUAUCCGGGUCCGGAUCCGGAACAGCCAAACCCGAACCCGGACCCAGAAAUUGCCAUCCCUAGUUGUACCCUAUACCUAAUCUAAUAAAUCAUUUCAAUGCAAGAGACACGAUGCGGGACCCACAAACGCGACAGAAUUGGAUAUCCCGAUAUUUUAAAAUGGGGCAAUGAUAUUCGGCCACCACAGGAACAUAAGGAAGCCAGAAACGCAUGCUUCCUCUGCCGUUUCGAAGUUUUCAAUUUAAAAAUAAAAAAUAGAUUUUUCCAUUGAAAAAUAUUAAAAUUAAAUCUAAAAAAGUGAAAAAUCUAAAAUUCUUACCCCUCCCUCUCACUGUACCAGUCACUCAUUUGCUCUGUUCUCUCACUCGCCUUCCCUCUCCCUUACCCGCUCUUCUCUCUCACACGAUCCGUCUCUCACUCACCCUCCCUCUCACACACUCGAUCUCCUCGUAACAAAUCUGCCCGUUUUUCGAAAUCGGGCGAAUUGGUCUUUUGCAGUUGCUUCUCUUGGGUAUGCAUCACGUGGAGGAAAUAAAGAUGAAGCAUCAAAACUGAGACGACAGACUGCUUCUUCCAAAGUCUUACGAGCUGUUGCAGCCCAACUCUUCACGAACGGGCUGAAAAUUGUGCCAUCACCGAUCAUAUGUGAAAUACCAGCACAAACAACAAGACCACCACAAGCAAAUGAUGUUACUUGUACCUUAGCCGCGUGAGCUCCUGCUAUUUGUCCACUCUGAUCAUUGCCAUCUGCUGGAAAGAAUUUAUUAAAGAUCAAUGAUAGAUCUGGUUCGCUGAGAAAUUCAUUAAGAGAAAUUACAGCACCGACGUCUACAAAAUAUACCCCCUCAUCAUUGCACGGUGUGCUUGACGAUUUUGGACCUUUUUUCACCAACCUAGGUAACUAAAUUUAGUAUGUUGCGGAAAGGUUUUGAUUUAUUGUAUUUAUAUUUUAAAAUUAUUAGAAAUAAGUUAUUUGAAAUAUAGAUUUUGUUUGAAUUGUAUAUGGUUAAUACAAUUUAUUUUUCAUGGUAUAGAAAUGACGGAUUCAGGAAAAAAUUACGAAGUCGAAGAUUUAGAAGAAUUAGAUGACAACAAUUUAGAUGGAAAUAAUGAAGAAACUGAUAAUGUUGUGGAUGUGAAACAAAAAAAGUAUGAGCCAAAGUUUGGGAUGUUGUUUGAUAAUCUUGAGGUGGAUAUUGUAGUCCCAACACAUGAGCGCAAUAAGGAUCCAGUAAGUUUUAUGUUUUUUGAUGUAAUACUAUUUAAUUUUUUUAAUUUUUAAUGAUCAUUAAAAUUUGCUAUGAUUGUAUUUUUAAUGGUCAUUAAAUAAUGGUCAUUUUUUAGGAACCUCUAUUCGCAUGCCAAUCAUAAGGAUGUGAUAUUUAUCCAUCGUUUCCUUUUGAUUCUUACAUUAUACGUUAUAAUCCAAUUUCUAUGUUUAUGCUUAGUUAAUUUUGUAUUUUUUGGAAUGUGAUAUGGUUCUUAAUUUGUGCAAACUAGCAAUCUCCAUCACUCUAAUAUUCAAUUAUUGAACGUGGGAUAUUUUGAAGGUUUUUUUAUCCAUAUAUUCAAAGGUUGAGUAUGUCAAUAACCAUUACAACAAUAAGAGUAGUUCAUGUAGAAAUGCCAAAUUAACAAAAAAAUUUUAAAAAAAGAAGGUACAAUUAUUCACUUAAACAAAUUACAUAAUGAAAUUGCUAUUCCUAAAAUGCACAACACAGUGGAAAAAAUAAUCCAAAAAUUCAACCAACUUAAAGUUUUGAUUUAUCAGUUUGCACACUCUUAUCACAUAUUUUCUACGUUAGUCUUCCCAACUUAAUGCGUAACUGAAUUGUUCAUUUUCCUCACACAAUUGUAAGCAUUGUAUGUUGAUUCGGCACCCAACAAUGAUAUGUAAGAUUGGAAUGAAUCAAAUACAUAUUACCAACGUAAAGAGAAAAAGAAAAGGCUGUAUUCUAUUUUUCUAGGAUAAAAAUCAAAUACAAGUCACGUUUGGUUUGAUUUUAGAGGAUGGUUAAUGAAGAAAUAUAUGCUUUACUGCCAACAAACGUAAAUGAAGAACCUUAGAAUGAAGCUGCAAUUACUGGAUUAGCAGUAUAUGCUUUACUGCGAACAAAAGUAAACAUAUAUAAGCAAAAACAAAAUUACGACCAAAUCAUAAGCUAUAUAAGCAAAAACAAAAUUACAACCAAAUCAUAAGCUUUUAACAUUUCACAGAGUAUCACACUUCAAAUAACUUGUUUCUAGUAAUUUUCAAAUAUAAGUACAACAACAAUCCAAAUAUUUUUUUCUAAGCAAAGUAUCACAUACAAGGUUUCAUAAAGGCCGUGUCAAAAGAAUUUCUUUAACUGAUUAAAUAUACUAAUUUUAGGUGAUGAUGAUCUAAUACUAUUAAAUUAAAUUAACUAAAUUUCGCGAUCAAAAAUUCAAAAAACGCAUAGAAUUACGGAUCAGGUCUAAUUAACAAUCAAACUUAGCAACCCAGAUGCAUUUAUGGCAAAACAAAAUGUUCAUCAGACUGCACAAAACCACCCAAAAAAGAAUUUAUAAAAUAAUAAAAGCAACAACUGCGACCCGUAUGUGAAUUAGACAACUAGAUUUUGCCAGAACAAGAAACACAACAAAACAAAGAGAAUAAAUCAAUCAAGGGCAUAAACAGAAUGAACAAAAAAGGGCAAGAUCAGCGAAGAAACUGACCCACAACACCGGAUCCUCCUGAGCCUAGCGUCAUAGUUGCGGGUGAGUGACAGCCAAACAGAGGUCCAAAAUCGUCAAGCACACCCUCAAGUAAGACCGAUCGGCGACGUGAAAGGCGUGACAGCAAUGUCGGUGAUUUUCUGGUCGGCGAUGGGCGUGGCGUGAGAACAAGCUUUGCGGGUGAGGGACAGCCAAACAGAAACAGCUCGCUAGGGGGUGAGUGAGGGAGACAGAUCGGGUGAGUGAGAGAGAAGAGCGGGUGAGGGAGAGGGACGGUGAGCUAAAGAGGCAAAGCGAGUGAGUGGUACAGUGAGAGGAAGCAUGCGGAAAGGUGAUUUUCUUUAGAUUUAAUUUUAAUGUUUUUCAAUAAUAAAAUCUAUUUUUAAUUUUUAAAUCUAAAACUUCGAAACGGCAGAGGAAGCAUGCGUUUCUGGCUUCGUUAUGUUUUCGUGGUGGCCGAAUAUCAUUUUCCUUUAAAAUGAGGAAUAUAAUCAAUCGCCUUCCAAGAGGCUUCAUUAAGAAUCAAGAUAUAGAGUAGUUAAGCACAGCCUCUCUCUCUCUCUCUCUCUCUCCCUCUCUCUGUCUGUUUCCUCUCUGUUCUGUUCAAUGAAAAUGGAGGCUACACUUUGGGCUGUGACUUUCUCCAUUGCUUUCUCUACAGCUAUUCUAGCCGUAGCAUGUGCCUGGUGGAUGCUACUGAAUUGGGUAUGGCUAAAGCCAAAGAAGCUAGAAAAGUUCCUCAGAGAGCAAGGAUUCUCCGGAAACUCCUACAAAGUAUUUCAUGGGGACAUGAAAGAGCUUGCCCAGACCACUAAAGAAGCUAAAAGCAGACCCAUCAGCCUCUCCGACGAUAUCGCCCGGCGAAUUCUGCCUUUCCACCAUCGUAUCAUCACCAAUUUUGGUAAGCCUUCCUACUAAUUUAUCUCACUCAACUUUGCUUGGUAAUAAUUUUAUUUUGCUUUUAUAUCAAUAAAAUUAAAUAAGAUUCAAGUUUUUCUAAUUUUAAAGGGAAAAGGAGAAUGGCAGAUAAGCUCUUAAUAUUUCUUGUUUUUAUCACUUUGCUAUUUGAUUUUUUAAUUUUUUUAUUACACCCUUAAUGUUAAAAUCGUAAUUAAAACAAAGUUUUUUUUUUUUUUUACCGUUUUACAGUUAUUAUCUUAAUUUCACUCUAUCGAUAUAAUAUGAAUUUUUUUUUUUUAAUGUCAAAAUUCAUGUUACUCUUCAACAAUAAAAUUCAAACAUUAAAAUCAUAGUUAUGUAAAGAAAGUAAGAGUGAUUAAAAAAUGAAGAAUAGUAAGGACCAAUGUGCCAUUCUUCCACAAGGGAGAAGGGACCAAAAAGAAAAAAUGGGAUGGUUUUUGGAAACUUUCAACCAAGUGUCUGUUUCUGAAGAUUUCUUUUGUCUUUUAUAAUUACGACAAAGUAAUUUUUUUUAAAAAAAAUUAUAUAUCAAAAGCGGAUUGAUAUAUUGGUCUUAGUUGACCGAGAAUUAUUUACACCAACCAUGAGAAUUAAUACAGUAAAACCUUGAAAUAUGAAUACUCGAUAAAGAAAUAAUUUUUUCAUAAUAAUAAAAAAUUAUGAUCACAAUUUGAGAUUAGUUAUAAUUAAAAAUAAAUUUUAUAUUGUAAUAAAUUAUAUUUUUUGUAAGUUCUAUUUUAAUAAACUUACCUCCACAGCGUAAUAAUAUUUCAAAUAUAUAUAUUAUGUUACAUUAAAUAAUUAAGAUAGAAUAAAAUAUUUUUUUAAAAUUACUUGUGACAAUAAUUUAUUCUUUAAAAUUGUAACUAUAUCUUUCAAUUUGUGGAUAUGUAUUAAUUGGUCAGCAUAAAUGCUUAAUAAUUGGUCAACAAUAUCGAUACAUUAAAUUUGACUAACUUAUUAAUUUAUUAAUACGUGACAUAAUUUAUCUUUAUAUCACUUGUAUUAGGAAUAAUUAAAUAAAGAAUAAUUUUUGUACUAUACUUCCAUUGAAUUAUAAUUUUUUUAUAAGAAUAAAUUUCUCUAUUUUCAAUGAUACGACUAUAUAAUUAAUAAUGAAUAUUAGGACUCCUCCUUCUCUUCUUUUGACUAUUAUUACUAUUUUUUUAAAAUUUGAGAUUGUGAUUAAAUAGCAUCAGUCUAGGUGACUGUAGAAUUUUAGUUAUAAAUAAAUUAAUAAAUUUAAACAUGUUAAAAAAAUAAGACAAAAUAAGAUAACGAUACUGAUACGCUGACGCAGACAUAUAAAUGACGUCUGUGCUUAUGCGAGGAAGCCACGAAAAAUAAUAAAAUACGAGAAGGCUGUAUUUUAUUAUUUCAAGAUAUUACUUGCCUAACAAGGCGUUGAUGCCACCUGGUGGAUCGGUUCUGUAGCAUUUUUUUUUCUCCUUUAAUUUGAAUUUGAGAAAGGGCUAAAAAAAUUGAGUUAAGUUUCAACGCUCGUCUAUUUUUAAAAAUAAAUAAAUAAAAUAUGGUGUUCACCUGUUUUUAAUCAUUUUCUUCGCAUUACGUGUUUUUUAACUCGCUAUAAAAAUAUUCAUCUCGGAAGGAUGGUAAUGGCGUAAUGCGUACUUAAGAAAAAAAAAUUGAAAAAACUAAAGGGUCCUUUUUUUUUUUUCAAUUAUAACAAGAUGACGAUGCCAUAAAAUAAAAUAAAUUUUGCGUUUUUUUUUUCUAAGAACAAUAAAAACAAAGAAAAACAUGAUAAGUUGAAAGAUUCUAAUCCGUAAGCUUAUUGCUAAAAUUACAGGUAAGAAUUCUUUCAUAUGGAUGGGUCCAAGACCAAACAUACACAUCACAGACCCUAAAAUGAUAAGGGAAAUCUUUUUGAAGCAUGAUAUCUUUAAAAAGCUGAGAAGCCCACUUGCGAAGUUGCUGGCCACUGGGAUGGUAGGCUAUGAUGGUGAACAGUGGUUUAAAGUUAGAAAAAUCGCCACUCCAGCUUUCCAUCAUGAUAAGUUGAAGGUUCGUUUUCACCUUUAUACUUCGUUUAAUCACACACAAAAACACACCAUUUUCAAUAUGCAUAUUCAUAUUGUUACAUGACCAAUGACAAUGUUUGACAAUUUCUUUUCUUCUUUUUUUCUUUUUAAAGAAUAUGUUACCUACAAUUCAUAAGAGCUGUAACGACAUGCUAAGGAAAUGGGAGAUGUCGUUUUCAAAGGAUGAGUCCUGUGAGUUAGAUGUGUGGCCUCAUAUUCAAACUUUGACAGCGGAUGUGAUUUCUCGAACAGCAUUCGGCAGUAACUUUGAAGAAGGAAGAAAAAUAUUUGAAGUCCUAAGCGAACAAAUUAAUCUUGUAAUUCAAGCUUCAUUGUUUGCUUAUAUUCCAGGAUGGAGGUAAUUUUAAUAAUCAACUUAAAUUAUUCCUCGUAGUACUCUUGGUGACCUGAGCUGUGCUAAUUUUUUAAACAUCUUAUAUCAUGUGUGUUUAUAGCACUGCAUAAGAUUAAAAGUGGUCUUCUAAAAAAAGAAUCCUUAUCAUUAUAGUGUAGAAAAGUGUUGUCAAAUGUUUUAGCGUAUGAAUAAUUUCCACGUGCCUUGCACUUAAUUAUGAGAAUGGUUUAUUGGUAGGUUUGUGCCUAAUAAACUGAACAGAAAAUUGAACAGCAACCACAAUGAAAUGGGAGAACUGGUAAAAGGUAUCGUUAACAAAAGAAAGGAAGCUCUGAAAGUUGGAAAAGCCAGCAAUAAUGAUGACUUAUUGGGUAUAUUGAUGGAAUCAAAUCACAAAGAGAUUCAGGAGAAGGAAACUGGAAUGAGUAUUGAAGAGGUGAUUGAAGAGUGCAAGCUGUUCUAUCUAGCUGGGCAGGAAACUACUGCAUCAUUGCUUGUGUGGACAACGGUUUUGUUAUGCAUACAUCCUGAAUGGCAAGAACGAGCAAGGGAAGAGGUUUGUCAAGUUUUUGGAAAUAGAGAACCAAAAUUUGAAGAGCUGAACCAGUUGAAAGUAGUAAGUAAUCUUACUCUUACUUAAAUAUCUAAUUUGUCGAAAAUUUUGGGAAGACUCAAUUUCUUGUUAAUUUUCAGGUGUCAAAGUCUGGAUUUACAAAAUAUAAAUUUGAACUACCAUUAGGACUCUAGGCUGGGGUAGAAUUAUUUUUAUUCUAAUCAUAGAUCAAAUUUGGAAUUUGGAAUAUCCAAACAUCCGCACUUGAAAACUACUUCUCCUUAAAUUGAUACCAAUUGAAUUUCUUAACCUGACCAGUUUUUGUCAAUAUUUUACUAUCAAAGAUAGAGGAAGCCACAUAAAUUAGGGAAAAUCUUGGGAGGUGCCAACAGAACUGUGUCAUCGUCCCACAACAUCAGAAUUAUAUUCUGUGAUUUUCACAAUUAAUUAUCCUUAAUAAAUUUGUUAUCAGUCACCAAGAACAAAGAAUUUCCUUGUUUGAAAAAAUAAUUCCAGUGUAUGGUGCAGGUAAGAAAAUUGAGUUCUAUACAAGGUACUUAGAUUGUGCAGUGUUUAUGGCCAUGGGGGUUGGUUACUGGAAAUGAUAAAACCUACAAAAAUGUCGAGGGUUCAAAUCCCUUCUUAUACAGGGAAUGGGAAGGGAUUUGUUAUAUAUGUAUGUAAUAUUUUAAAAAAUCAAAGUUUAAAAUUAACUAGUAGUGAUAGCUUAUUUUGCAAACCAAAAGACGGGAAAUCCAGUGAAAUUUAGAACCUUAACUAAUUUUUUUCUUUUUUCCCCUCCCAAAUGAUUCCGUUUUCUGUUGCAGGUAAGCCAAAUUCUGUACGAGGUACUGAGGUUAUAUUCACCAGCACCUCUGCUUACUCGAGCUAAUGUUAAGGAGAUUAAGCUAGGAGAAAUUGUUAUACCAUCUGGAGUUUUACUUUCAUUGCCAAUAAUGCUUGUUCAUCAUGAUCAUGAAUACUGGGGCGAUGAUGCAAAAAAGUUCAACCCAGAUAGGUUUUCAGAAGGAGUCUCAAAGGCAUCGAAGAAUCAAGUUUCAUUCUUCUCAUUUGGUUGGGGUCCUCGAAUCUGCCUUGGACAAAACUUUGCUCUGUUGGAAUCGAAAUUAGCUUUAGCAAUGAUUUUGCAGAAGUUCACUUUCCAGCUUUCACCAACUUAUAUGCAUGCUCCUACUCGUGGGGUAACUGUAUAUCCACAGCA